UUCAUGGGUGUUCCUGAAUCAAUAGUGUCAGAUCGGGACCCUCGAUUUGCUUCUAAAUUCUGGGGAGCUCUUCAGGCAGCUUUAGGUACCCAAUUACUCUUCAGCACUGCUUUUCAUCCUCAGACUGAUGGGCAGUCCGAGAGGGACUAUUCAGACUUUGGAGGAUAUGUUGAGGGCUUGUGCCAUGCAGUUCAGAGGUAGUUGGGAUAAAAACCUAUCUUUGAUGGAAUUUGCCUAUAAUAAUAGCUAUCAUUCUAGCAUUGGUAUGGCGCCCUUUGAGGCUCUUUAUGGGAGGCAGUGUCGCACGCCUUUGUGUUGGAAUGAAGUAGGGGAAAAAGAGCUUUGUGGCCCAGAGUUAAUCCAUGUUACGAAUGAGAAGAUUAAAGUGGUUAGAGAUAGACUCAAGACUGCUCAGAGUAGGCAGAAAAGUUAUGCGGAUGUCCGUAGGAGAGAUCUUGAAUUUCAAGUGGGUGGUUGGGUGUUCCUGAAAUUAUCUCCUUGGAAAGGGAUUGUGCGUUUCGGUAAGCGUGGGAAGCUUAGCCCGAGGUAUAUUGGCCCUUAUGAGAUUAUAGAGCGAGUUGGCUCACUUGCUUAUCGAUUAGCCUUGCCUCCAGAGUUAGCUAGGAUACAUAAGGUGUUUCAUGUAUCCAUGCUUCGCAAGUAUAUUGCCGAUCCUUCUCAUGUGCUGCAAGAGCAACCGAUCAGUUUGACGAGAGAUUUGACCUAUGAAGAGGAACCGGUUCAGAUUCUCGACCGAAAGGAGCAGGUGCUUAGGAACAAGACAAUUCCGCUUGUCAAGAUGCUGUGGAGAAGUCAUCAAGUAGAAGAAGCUACUUGGGAAUCAGAGGAACAAAUGAUGCAGCAGUAUCCGUAUCUCUUCGGAGGACAUGUAUAUUAAUUUCGAGGACGAAAUUUUUAUAAGGAGGGGAGAAUUGUCACAUCCCGACCCUUAUAUUUUUACCUUAUUUACUAGCGUGAUUAUAAUAAGAAUUUUACCGUCUCGAUCAUUGAGUAAAUAGUUUAAUUGGUCCCUAUAGUGGUUUCGGGGACGAUUAUGUGCGGAGGAUUAUUCGUAUGAGGAAAAUACGACGACGGUAAAAAUAGUAAAUUUUAGCUAGAAAAAGGUAAUUUUUAUUCGGGUAUUAUUUUUCGGGGUGUUUUUAUUUUGGAAGUUUGGGUUAUAAAUGGUGUGUACCGGUUUGGGGUGUGAGGCCCAAACCCUUUUUCUUUUCUCUCUCCCUCCCUCCCGAUUUUUCUUCUCCUCCCACCCGAUUUUCUUCUCUCUACACCCACCGGUAUUCCGGCCGUCCUCCCGCCGCCGUCCGACCUCCGUUCGCCGCCGGACCGGUCCCGUUCGGUCGGUCUCCCUCCCAGCAACAUUUCUAGACCGGUGAGAGGAGCCCUAGCGCCGCCGUGAGAGAGCGGUGCCGCCCGAAAGCAAGGGCUGCCGUAGCUCUCCUUCGCCGGAACUUCCUCCUCCGGCCACCAAUCCGGGCAAGCUUGGUAUGGUUUUGUAGCCCUCCAACCCAGCAACCUUGCCCUAAAAGGACUCACUCCCUCUUGAGCUAGGUAAGGAGAAAUUUGAAGUGGAAGUUUUAUGGUGUUUUUGAUGUUUUUAGUCGAUAGCCCUAGUUAGGCUUGGAAUUGGUGUUUGUGCUAGUUAUGAAAGUUGUAGAGCUUGAUGAGAGGAAGAUGCUGUUAAAAUUUCAUAGGUUUUUGGAGGUCGCCGGAAUUGACCUCCGGCCGCCGCUGCCGGCGGAGCCGCCGCCGGUUGGGAGAUUUUAAUGUUGUUAAAUUUUGGAAUAUUAANNNNNNNNNNNNNNNNNNNNNNNNNNNNNNNNNNNNNNNNNNNNNNNNNNNNNNNNNNNNNNNNNNNNNNNNNNNNNNNNNNNNNNNNNNNNNNNNNNNNNNNNNNNNNNNNNNNNNNNNNNNNNNNNNNNNNNNNNNNNNNNNNNNNNNNNNNNNNNNNNNNNNNNNNNNNNNNNNNNNNNNNNNNNNNNNNNNNNNNNNNNNNNNNNNNNNNNNNNNNNNNNNNNNNNNNNNNNNNNNNNNNNNNNNNNNNNNNNNNNNNNNNNNNNNNNNNNNNNNNNNNNNNNNNNNNNNNAGUCUGCAGAGUUCGGGUUUGGAUCUAGUAGGAGACGAGGCAUAGUCACCCGCAUUUCUGCCAGUUUUCGCCAGUAGGUUACCUGUUCAACCUACUCGUGUUUUCUUGCUUCCGCUUGUGUUUAGUAGCUCUGAAUACUUUAGAAUUUUUGUAUAUUAUGGGAUGUUCAGAAGUGUUAAAUUAAGAGUGUAAUAUGAAAUUUUCGAGUUAGGGUUGUCCAUCUACAAGGGAGAUUUUCUUAAUCUUUUCAGUAAAUUUUCCUUGGAGGUGGUCCCCGCACGACUUACUCAGGGUUUCAGGGUGAAAUUCGGGGUGGGUCGUGUCAGGUUUCAAGCACGUGUUUAGCAUUAAGUGGGUAAAAGGUUAAAAUGUUGUUGGUACCCAAAAAAAAUCAUGCGAUCAAUUAGUAUGUUGUUUCACAACAAUUUUUCAUGCAAUUCGUACAAAAUCCAACGAUUUUGGGUUGAAUCUUUGAUUAUAGCAUCAAGCAAAUAUGCCCAUUGCACAUCCAUGCAUCUUUGGGUCUUGCAAAAGUGGGUAUGGUGUGGAAAAUUACGAAGACGCUCAUCACAUGGAAUCGACUCGAUCAUCAUACUAUAGAUAAUAAGUUCAUAACCCUAACCCAUUCCCAUUUUCAGCUGAACAAAUAUACUAAUUCUUUAAUUUCAGUUGGUAAGAGGGAUCAUUUAGCUAUUACAAUUUUUUUCUUGGCAUGUUUACUUAUUUUGAAUAGAAUUGAGAAGUGAGGGAAUGAUUCUAGCAAAAGGGAAUUCAUUUUACUUACACAUAAUGAAAUUGGAAUUGAUGUGGGUCCCACCUCUUAAUAAGGAAUCGAUUCUUUAACAACACGGAAUUGUAAUACUAAGAGGGAGGUGAGUUUAGGAAUGACAUCAUCAGGAAUCAACUUUUAUGCCAAAAAUACCCUCUUUAAUUUUAAUAUGCUAAUAAUAUUGAGGAAUUUGUUUAAGAUGCUAGUAAUUUCAAAAAAAAUAUAUAUAUAUAUUCUUAAAGCUGUUCUAGCAUAUUCCAUAUGUGUGUCUUAGUCUUAUGUCAUCAGGAUAUGUAGUUGGAAUAGGACUAUGUAUUCCUUAUCAUUACCAUAUUGGUACUUUAUAAUUCCUUAUAUAAAGGGCUCUUAUCAAUGAAUAAGAUGAUGAUUAUCUUGUUAUCUUUGUCUUUACACUUUAUCCUUCAUCACGUUAUCAUGCACUUUGUUAUAACCCUAGAACUAAUAGCCCACCACUUGUUUUUCGAAACCCUAAAAAAACGUGUUUUUCGGCUCCUAUGUCCGACCGUCGCCGGCACCCUUUUCUCGGCCGCCGUCCGACAUCACUAGCUGCCAAUCCCUUGGCCGCGGCCCGCCGACGAUUCUUGGUUUCCUCCGACUACAAUUUUCGACUUCUUCAAGCGUUUGAAGUUUCAAAAGGUAUGUUUUGAAACCCUAAACUUUUUCAAGUUCAAUAACUCGGGGAGGGUAAAAUUUUUCCUCCCUUCUCCAUCUCCAUUCUAUGCUUGGGAUUUUGUGUGUGCAGGUAAAAAUCCCGGAAUUUUAUUAGCGGGUCAAGCGUGUGUUUGAUCACUCUUGUUUCCUUGUCAGGGUUGUGUAUGAUCAACCCCGACCUUUCUCCAGAUUGUGUUUUGAUGAAUCCGAAGCUUUUUUCCGAAUUGUGUUUGAUCAAUUCGCAGUUUUUCCGGAUUGUGUGUGAUCAAUCAAAGGACAAACCAUUAAAAGCAUUGUUUGUGACCUCUAUUGAGUCUCAUAACAGCUUGGUUUUGUAUGCAAGAGCAAUGUCGUAUUAUGCUCAUUUGAGUUUUGACGUACUCGAUACCUAAGGCGAAUCUUCGCUUGGUAUCUGUGGAACCUUCCAUUGGAAAUGAUUAAACCACAUAUUUUGACCCUAAGGCUAACAAGCCUAAAUGCCGAGAUUUCACAUCUCUCGCGCUCAAAGUUUUAAGGCGCCACAUCGACAACAGCCUUCAACGGCAAUCUGUGCAAAAAGUAAUGACCACAAAGUACUGUGGAAUGCACUCAUGGAGCGUUUCUUGAAACGUUCAUAUAACUCUACUUGUUGAGUUACUAGUCACAUGGUUUGUUUACCACAUUUUUAUGACUACACAUUAUAGGUGAAAUUUUGUGGCAUCAUGCUCCAUAAUCUUUAGUGGAUUUGAUCAUCAUCAAGUUCUCUAAGUCCCCUAAGUUGGUUUAUGUUUCAGUUUACUCUUUUGGAAUUAUCGACGAUGCUUGAUUUUGAUCAUGCAAUUACAAACGGGAAUUGCAUAUACACUAAUGCGAUAAACGUAUUGGUCUACACACAUGGAUUAUCCCCUAGUGUGGGAAAAAUAAUAUAGGUCACGACAAUGGUAGAUAAAACAGCGCCGAUGUCUAGAAAAGAGGAAGAGGUGUCGCCGGCCCUAAUGGCGACACUCCCGGUCUAGACACCAAUCUGUCAAAACUACUCAUGUCAGCUCCGAACAAUGCCACCGUAUAGAUCUCCAGAUCACUGGUUGAGGAGUUGUCGAGCUCAUCCUCAAAUUAUGAAUGCAUACAAAAAGGUACGGAAAAUCAAUACGAGGACAAGAACGUCAUUCUCAUGAUCGCGGAUUUCAAAGAUUCGGAUCCAACUCCAGCUACCCCUAACUUUAACGUCAUCGGCUAGAUCGACUUUGAUUUUCUUUCCAAGCUAUAUGUAAUAAGGCAUCGUAUCGACGUCCUUCGUCUAUGUACUCACAUUAGCAAUAAUGAAUGCCUUGAGAAUUUUUUCGAAGUUAUGAAACUAUUCUCUUCUUAUAGUUCGUAUUGAUUUACAAACAAGAUGUACAUUUUUACAUCGUCCUUAGAAACAUGGCAUAUUGUGCCGAUUUUGGUCCCUUCCUUUGAAGGUGACUCAUGGCACCGCAUCCUCAAGGAGGAUCGUCCACGUGUUUUCCGGUUAAGUCUUCUACCCUAUAGCGGAUUUUUCAUCAUCAACUGUUCAACUAGGCUCAUCCAAGCUCAGUGUGAUGUCUUAAAAUUGUCUGAAAUUAAGAAGAUACUGGUUUACAUGUGCCUCGCACUACUGACCCUCCAUGGACAUGUCUGGUCAUGCUAACUUGGAGUUACCGAAAGCUUUUGAUCUUGGUUUCCCCCUACGCUAUUAACCAAUAGUCGUCUUGCAAAAGACGUUGAAGACUUAUCAAAACCGGACAAUCAUCAUCAUGAUCGAAUCAUCUAGGUCCUCUGAGUUAGUUUAUGUUCAUGUUAGGGAGCUUUUGCUAACUAGUCAUGGGGUUUAUGACCUUGGAACGACCGAAAUGACUUGAUUUUGAUCAUAUACACGUCAUUUUGGCUUCGGCUUAUGCCCGCAUGCCAUCUGUAAGCUUCAUAGCUUCGCACAUGCCAAUUCUGCGAAAAACAGCAAUAUGUCCCUUCUGGAUAGUCAACUUCGUUUGAGCUUUGUGAACAGCUCCGGACGAACCAGAUAGUGAGCUUUAUAUCAUUGCAAAGCCCUACGAAUCUAGUUUUCAGAACUUUUUGCAGUUUGUCCAUAUCUAUUUUAACGAAGAAGUUAUGGCUAUUUUAGUGCGCAAAGGUCAUUUUGCGUGGAAAUUUUUAUACACUCUCGGGAUUGUAGUUUUUCGUAGCUUCUUUCAAUCUCUCUAAAUGGUUCAAGUGGAAAUAUUAAUUCUCCUAUCUACUCCAUUUUGUAGAUCUGUCUCAUAAAGAUAUUGAGUGUCUCGCAAAUAGUGGAACUAUCCACAACAUUCUAAGGAACCAGCAACUAUCUUUGGAUUUUGUGUCUUUUGUAAAUCUUCUGUGACUACAAUAAUUGAAUCAUAUCGGUCAUUCAGGGACGCGGUCUAGCUUGAAUCUUGAUGCCUCAUGGCACCAUGAUCAACGUCACAGAUGCCCUCUAUUCAUUGAGAAGCAACCGAAUCAUGUUAAGCUUUAAAGACAUUCCUGCUAACAGUUUUCAUUUGAAAACACAUUGUGAGAAUGAACAAGAAUUCUUUUGUGUAUAAUUUCUUAUGAAUGCGGACUGAACCGCAUCGUGGAGAAGUUCAUGAGUCAAUCUAGUGGACUAUAUGUCACUAUGAUUCGAAUAUUGAAUCACAUGUUGUCGCCAAACAUGAUAUUUGGGACACCGACUCAUAUAGGCUUUGGUUUGACUAAAUCGGUCAUCUUGGAAGAGACAUAAUGAUCCAAAUUUUAAGAAAUUCUCAUGGACCUCCAUUCUUCCGCUCAAAACGAAGACAUUCGGGAUCUAGCUUCAUCAUGAAUCAUGAAGCAUGAUGGUGACGCCAUGGUUGUAAAUGGCGGUACCUUGGGGGCAUUGACGUCCCCCGAACAUGGCUCCAACUUUUCGGAGGCCGUCCGGUUAAUUCCUCAAGCAAUUGAGAUGCACCGACCCUCCCUCGAUGUCUCAUUGGCCCCUACAAUGCUCAUUACUCGUUUUAAAAGCCUAUUUUUUUAGCUAAAUUAGGAGUGAGACCCUUCUAUGCUAAAUGACACAAAAGUGAACAUUUCAUUCUUACAUCAAAUUAUGUAGAUCGAUACAACCAACUUGCGAACACUUUUUUAUGUUUUAUGGUGUUGGUUGAAGUGUUAACAUACUGGUCACGUGUUACACUAUUAUCUACUGUUUAUGUUGCUUAUACUUCUACGGGUUCACUACCCAUUCUUUAAAGAAGUUUAUUGGGAUAUAAGUUGAAGUGUCUUGUAUCCCAUGUUCACACGCAAUACGGUCUCACCGAGGCUAGGACCAAUCAACUUUUGCUUGUCGCUUGUACAUUAUUGAUGCGCGCCAAUCUUUCUAUUGCGUCUUGGGGCUAUGCAAUAUUUGCAUGCAGUUUUACUAUUCAUCUACGACCCACCAUCAUUGAAUAUUUUUGUACUACAACUCAUAACUGUGUCGAGGAUUGACACGAAAUUGUAAUCCUUGAGCUCGGUAGGAUUGAAAAGGAUCUCCAAUCUUUGAGCUCGGCUAUAUGUUAUUUCUAGAUGUCAAAUCGCAUUGUCACUGCGUAUAAUGAUGGGUCAUUUGAGAUGAAUAAGUACUUCGGUUGGUUAGAUAUGAACCUCCAACUAUUUAAUCCGCCUAUAUAGAAACCUUGUCAGACGAUCUCUUUCACCGCUAUAUUGCGGAUUGUCACUUUGAUGAGACAGUAUUCCCGCCGUUAGGGGGAGAUAAGAACACAAGUGUUCAAGUGGAAUGACGUGACUUAUCGUGGUUUGUCCCCACUAAGUCUCAUCUUGAUCUCAAAUGCUUUAAAUGUUAAAGUGACGAAAUCACAUGCUGCAAAUAUGUCUGCAAGGAUUGAUGUCCUAUCAAGAGGACAAGACGCGACCAAAAGGUAUUGGUCUUGACGCCAUCACCAUGGAUGGUGAUAUAGUGAUGUCAUAUAGUGGCCAAAUUGGUGUCACAAGGCUGUGUGGCUCCCCAAAAUGAGGGAGGCCUUUAGGUUCGAUACUUUCUCGCACUGGGAAGAAAUUGGCAAAACCUGAUAUAUUGAUCAGUAAUCCGUCUCAUGAAGUCUAAAUUGUGAUUAUCAUUGGGGGACGCCUCAAUGUCAAAUCUAAUCUAUAUAGAGAUCUCUACAGGUAUUACACUAGUGUACAUGAGGACGUGGAAUAAUGAGUCUACUAUCGAACCACCCUUUGUUGAUGGAUAUCAACUUAGUUGAUUGGCCUAAUGGAAAUAUGCGAUCCAACAUUAACAAAGAGAUAGGUCUUUGGGCAGGUGAUGCUGACACCGGAAGCUAAACCUUAUCAACUAUGCAUUUGUUAGAUAGCGUGGUGAGAACAAUGUCUCUCACUAACAUGCACAGGGGUCAAGUAUGAUGAGAUAUGCUCUUGUAAUGGAUGUCAUUGCACUCCUCUACUUUGUCAAUUUGGUAUGUUUACUGAUUUGGAAUAGAAUUAAGAAGUGAGGGAAUGAUUCCGACAAAAGAGAAUUCAUGCGUUUACUUACACAUAAUGGAAUUGGAAUUGAUAUGGGUCCCACCUCCUAAUAAGAAAUCGAUUCCUUAACAACACGGAAUUGUAAUACUAAGGGGGAGGUGAGUUUAGGAAUGACACCAUUAGGAAUCAACUUUUAUGCCGAAAAUACCCUCUUUAAUUUUAAUAUGCUAAUAAUAUUGAGGAAUUUGUUGUUAUUUCAAAAAAAAAAAAAAAUUCUUCAAGCUUCUUUUUAUAUGUUAAUAAUAUACUAUUUGUUGAAGUUGUUUAAUUUUUUAUUUAUAAAAUUGUUUGUUUGAUUUAAAUAUAGUAUUACUUAAAAGUAUAAAAGUAUGGCGCCUUAAUUUUGUUGUUCAACCCUUUGCAUCUUGCGGUUUGAGAUACACUCAAAAUGCUAGUACUAGGUCCAAAUGAUGUUGAUAAAUCAUGAUAGAAGAGCGUUUAUGCAAGGACGAGAUUCCAAUAUACAUAAGCACACACAUAGCCUCUGUAUUAUAUUAUUAAUAUGUAACCACAUGAUUACAAUCAAUACAAUGAAUUGAAAUAUAUAGUCCAUCUUCUUCUCCAAAAACAAAAAGUUCAUCUUGGUUUGUUGAUUAUACAUAACUUAUCAACUGAGACAAUCAAAACGACAAAGAACUCAUAAUUAGUUACAUUCAUAUUUUAAUUCCAUAGGGUAGGUAAACAGCUCAAUGGAAUUGAAAUCUCCACAUACGAUUUCAUUCUAUCUUUCAUUCCUUCCGUCUUUCAUUCAUGAUAAAUUUCAUUCCAAGUAAGUAAACGUGUCAUCUAAGUAACGAGUCACAUGUAUAUAUAGGACCAAUUGGGGGAUUGGUCAUUGAGUCAAAAAAAAGUAUCAUAAAACAAGAUUUCAUUUCCGGUUAAACUCCCGAGUUAUUGCAAACUAAAGAAAAACGAAACAAUGAGAUUACGAUUUAGCAUCGUUAAUAAUUUCGGUCUUACCGACUUAAAUAGAUGACGAAAUUAUGAAAGUAAGAGUAUCAUACCACCUAUUCUCUAAACCCAAAAGGAUUAGCCCAACAUCUUUCUUUUGCAUAAAAAGCUCAAACCUCUUUCUUUCUUCUUCGUCCUAGUUCUCCAACCUUUUGUCUCCCGCAACAAUUCACAUCUUAUUAAAAGGAAACUAUAUUUUCCGACCUAUGAAAGAAGAAGGUGUGUGGUUGGUUUCAAAGUGAUUCCUUCAUCCUCAAAUAACGAGUUUAGAAAAUUCCAAGUCACCUCGUCUACCUCGUUCCUGAUUUUCGGUCCCUACAAACGUCACUAUUGUAAGUUUGUAGUUUGCAUGGAGUCGACCCUUUCAGAAGAUUUUCAAGUAAGUUUUUCUUUUCCAGAUUUUAAGGCAGAAAUCAUGUAUUUAUGGAAGGAAGCCUUUUACACAACCGACUAAACGUCAUGAGUCACUCCAAAAUCUUCCAAUUGAACUCUAUAAAAAGAGGGACUUGGAGAUGAAAGGGACAUCAUGCAACAUACGUAAAAUCCUCUUUACACACUCAAUCUCUCAGGCCUUCAAGCAAAAACCAUAUUUUCCAUAAACCCAUUCUUAAAAACUCAUCUGAUUCUCACCGUAAUGCGUCUUUAGCUCCUACACCAGGCUCAUUUUGUCAAGUUUUAUUCAUGUUUGAAUCACGCAUAAAAUAACCUCAAUUAUCAAGAUUUUGAGUUAUGGCCUAGUUACCUCUCAAAUAAAAAAGAACCCUCCCAAUUGCAAAUUGACAACCAAGUGAGAGAAGUUUUUGGUUCGGUAUACUAGGAUUGUACUAGUCUUCUCCUAUGGAUAGUUCAUUUUAUGUUGCUCUCCAUCCAUUAGGUUGUAUCUCUCGUCUCAAAUGAUUCAAUAAUAUAUGUAGGAUUUUGAUUUCUCAAAUUAAAAUUUUUAGGUCGAACGAUCAUACAAUUUGAUUCAAUUAAAUGUUUAAUAAUAAAAUAUGAAAAUAAAAAUAAAUGAAGCAUAUUCACACCAAAAAUGAGUGAACCACUGCCCAGUACCAUUUGGUUUAGUGACAUUAUCUCAUUUUAGUAAGCGAGAGGUUGUGAGUUCGAAUUAUGAAGUUAUUAUAUGAUAAAAAAAAUUAAAAAAAGUAAUUGAUGUUACAGAUCAUAUGCACUAUGCACAUCUAUAUAGUAUUAUUCAGCCACAUUGUGAGUGGGAGGUUGAAUAUGUUCAUGAAGAAUCUUGCAUGUAUACUUUGGAAAUCCAUCAUAUAUUUGAGAGAUCUCUCUUUCUCUCUUUGUGGAGAUUAUAGAAUUUGGUCCCCACACACAGACUCAUCAAGACUUCCUUUUAAUCUCCCCCACCUUGCUGAGUUUGCUCUAUACAGUCACCGUUCCAGUCCUUUUUACAAGGACAACUCCGACAAUGGUGUCAAAUCACGAUCGAACCCUAAUCCGCUAAUCUUAUCUUUCAUGUAUUGGGGUUCUUGUAAUGAAACCACAGUACAUCUGCUUGUUUAUUAGUGGCCAACAAGUUUUUCUCUUUGUUUGGAUAAUCCCAGUUUCCCCCAUAUUCCAGUAUUCCAUGAUUGUCUCCCUAACUUUAUACAUGCCACACCAAGAGAGAUGAACCUAGUGUUUAAAACUUCGAAUAUGGAAACUAGUUUCAUGAUCUGGUUGGAAAUCAAAAGGACACUAGUGGUUUGUCCAUCAAGAUCUUAUGUGACAUGUCCCUUGAACAAUUCUUGCUAAACUCUGUAAAGCUAUCUAAAGCCAAAUGAUGAAAAUGGGAGAUUAGUAAGUGAAUAAGGUAGAAGAUCAAAUCAGAAUUUGAUGCAAUACAACAUAGCUUAUAACUCUCUUGCAUAGUAGUUGAACGUAACCAAAAACAAACCCCUCGAUUCGUUCUUACAUUGCUUAUUAGAAAGUGAUAAUAGAGAAAGGAAUAUGACCAACUUUUAUGAGAAAAGAUUGCAAAAAUUCUUUAUAGCAAGAGAACAAAGAGAGUGAGAGCAACAAAAGGUUUCAGGAAGGACGAGACAAGACAUAGUGUGCUGUGGUCAUAACCAAGAACGAUAAUCCCUGUUCAGAUAAUUCAAUCAGGAGAUAGAGCAGGGAAGCCUUGGAUAAGCUGAAUUUAGUAAAUGUAAGCGUAAAACACAACCAAAUGGUGUAGAAAUGGGCAGUACAAGCAAGUUGUUCUUAAUCAGGGUCAACAUUUUCACAAGUCAAAGGAAACACUAAGUAGUAAGUGGUAAGCUGCUUCGCCUGCAUCCGUUAGGUCGCGGGUUCGAGUCUCCUGGGGGUAAGUGGGGAACCACUAUUGAUCCUCUUUAAAAAUAUAAAAAUAAAAAAAAAAUAAAAAAAAAAAGCUGCAGCUGCAUUCAAAUCCUCAAUCACUUCACAAAUUUGAACAUUACAGGUUGAUGUUUUUUGCAGUCCUCACCAUAGCUGCCUGAAAUUAUAAUGGACGAAAAGUUAAAUACAGCAGUUUAAGUCAUGGAAGGUCCAUACCCAUCUGAUAGACCAACUGAAAGGACAAUAAAAUGCAUCACACUACAUUUUAGUGAAGUUCUUGAACUGAUUACUUAUACUGAAAAACUCGUGAAGAACACAACCAAACAAAAUGUAUUAAUGUAACCUGAAAGCUACAACUAAAAAUUGAUGUUCUAGACAAAACUUGAGGGUACUCUACUGACUCAAAGGCACCUCUCCAAUUUAGGCUAGUCUUUUUGGGCAAGUGGAGUUCACACAGGAGUUUAACCUCAGUACAUAUUUAGAUUUUAACUGACACAGUUUAGAACACAGAGUGAAAGGUAGAAAAGUCACGCAAAUUGUUUGACGAGAGGUGGUUUUUGUAUGUUCAGCUGUUGAAAACUUCAUCAAGGAGGAUCAAGUGGCUGCAAGGAACUUAGUUUUGCUAAUAGACAAGUAGAUUAUUGGGGAGAGGUGAAACUCAACAUGAUAGGAAAAAUCUCAAUGCCACAAGUCCACAACCAAAAACAAAAUAUAAGGGAAAAAGGCGGGAGUCAAUGAUUGUAACAAGCUUCCGUUCUAAAUGGCUGUGAAACUACAUAUUAUGAUAUAUUUUCAGUUAUACCAUCAAAUGAUUCAAAUCCAAUUACAUCACUAGUGCAGAAUUAGGAAUGUAUAUGUUCUGAUAUAAUUUAAGAAUUACAAUACCACCUUGCAACAUUGAGAAAAUAAUUUGAAUGCUACCUCUUGCAAAACUCUGUUAAAUACCGCGAGCCGUUGUAAAAGAUGAACCACAUCAAUACCAGGACCAAAGUAUCUGUCAAGAUUAAGGAAUUCACAAGUGCAAAUACUAUAACUGCUCACAGUAUAUGAGAGAAUCCUUUUCUAAAUUUGAUCAAGAAUGGUGGGAAACAUAGUAAUUAAAGUUCCGACCUAUCUGCUUUCACAACUACAAAACACAUAAGAAAAAGGUGUAAAUAGGAUACUGAAGAGAUAACGCUCCCACCAAUCCAACAUAUAGAGCCCAAAAGUGACAUUGUAAAGAUAGAUCUUACGUUGAACCCAAUUCAUGGAUCCACGACCUUACACACACAAAUCAUAAAACUAUCAGUUUCAUAUUCUACUUGGUUCCCAAGAGCUGAAAUUUGAGAAACCAGUUAGAUUGUUGAUCCAAACUCCAAACUAACCAGAUAAGCAGAAGAGAUUUGAAGUGAAAUAUCGACAUGCAAAAUUGAACAUGAUGGAAACAUUUAGAUCAAUUCAAAGGUAGAUUAACUUUAAAUGGGUUAAAAAUGAUUGGAUCAAAUUUCAAUAAUUGAAACAGAAAGUGAAAUAUUGAAAUGAAUGAUUUAGAAGCUAAAGAAUAAAACCCAGAACUAUGAGAGAGAGAACCCAGAAUUGAUCAUUAUCAAAGAUGAGAGAUUCAAGUGAAGUAGUUACCCGAGAAAGAUGCCGGAGAACCGGAUCUCCGGCGAGGUUGAGAUAGAAGAAUUGGAGAGAGAGGAGACAAGGUGGAACUUACGAAGAUGGUCGCAGCUCGCAGCGAUGCUCAAACCUGGUUUGAUUUUUCAAAAAUAAAUUAUGGGUACCUCGCGUAUUACCCAUACCCGACCCGUUGUUAUAUACGGGUAUCUCAUACUAGUCAUCACUUGGAUCUUGGGCCCUAAACUCACCCUAAUUCCGACUUGUAUCUACCUUGACGCAGUAACGUUAAUUAGAGCUCGACUCUGUUACCUACUUACCUUAGAAAAAAUUAAGGUGUGAAUUCUGAUAUGUUUUUAUAACUUUAUAACUUCAAACAAAUUUUUGUUUGGAGCAAUACUAAGCGAACUACGUUGUGUGAAACCAGUUGAAUCAGUUUAUUUGACAUAUAAGCAAUUCAAUUUUGAUGAACUUAAAAACAAGAUGUUAUCCCCACCAGUGUUUUAAAAAACGCUCCUCGGGCGCGCUUAAGACUUAAAAGGCGCGAGGCGCAAGGAAAAUUCCUUGUGUUUUGCUGGUUAGGCGCAGAGGCGCAAAAGGGGCGAGGCAAGGCGCAAAAGGCACACAAAGCGCACCCUAAGGCGCAUAAGGCGUGUGCCUAGUCUGAUAAGAAAACGGGGUCGUUUUAGUUUGACUGAAAUAAUAAGGCACACAUCUUCGUGCGCCACCCUCAGUCCCUCCUUCAGUCCUUCCCUCUCCCGAUCUCCCUCUCCCUCUCCUUCUCCACCAGUUCGCGACCAUCACCAAUUCCCGACCUCCCUUUCCCUCUCCCUCUCCCUCUCCCGAUCUCCCUCUCCCUCUCCUUCUCCACCAGUUCGCGACCAGUCGACCACCACCAAAUCCCGACCUCCCUCUCCCGUUCCCGACCACCACCAAUUCCUGACCUCCCUCUCCCGUUCCUGACCACCACCACUUCCCGACCUCCCUCUCCUGUUCCCGACCACCACCAGUUCUUGACCUCCCUCUCCCUCUCCUGACCACCACCAGUUCGAUGUCUUCUGCAAGCCGAGGCCUGGCAAUCGCCUCAAACCACCACCUCGCCUCACCCUCCAAGCCGAGGCCGCACCCUCAAACCACCACCUCCCUCGGUCACUAACUCAUCAUUGAUUCGAGGUACGCACAUCAUUCCGAAUUUCCGAUUCAAUUGUGUUUUCUUAAUGAGAAAGAUAAAUGUUUGAGCUAUGUGUGUGGUUCAUUGUGAAUUUGUGAUAGAGUGAUCAAUCAUCUGGUGUGUAGUUCAUUGUGAAUUUGUGAAUUUAUUUCUGUGAUAAUGUGUGGUUCAUUGUGAUUUGUGAAUAUGUUAUAUAUAGCAGGAAAUUUAUUUUUUUUCAAAAGGCUUACGCCUUCUUACGCCUUACGCCUCAAGGCUUACGUUUUGGUGAGACUCUCGCUCCAUAGCCUCGGCUACGCCUUAGCCUUUUAAAACAUUGAUCCCCACAAAAGACUAUAUAGAAUGAUAACUUAACUCUACAUUAUAUCCAUGUAAUUCUCUAAAUUGGUUAUAAUGCGACUAUUUCAUUCACACACACAAAAAAAGAGAAAAUCAGCUUUAAGAUAGGGCAAUAGGUGAUUCCCUAAAUUGUGAUUUACUUAGAUUUACUUACCGAAUUAGCGUUAUUCAUUUUGUUUGCAAUGUUUUAAGAUCAGUUUUUGUGUUUCUUAGUUUCACAUUAUAUUAUUUGAAAUUUUAUUUUUCCCAUCUUCAUAUUUUUCUUUUCCUUUCCUCAAAAGUUAGAACUAAUCAUCUGAGAUUGUGUGAUUUGUGUGAUUACUUGAGCAUAAAGCUUCAGCACCUGGCAGCACUUUGGUGUUGAUAGUUACCCACCUGGCUGGAUUGUGGUGGGUUGCAGCCUUCUUGAGUACAUGUCCAUUAUUCAACAACAGUAAGAAACACACUUAGAAUGAUGCCAUGAUCCUUGUGAUUCAUAUCAAUAAUUAUGAGUGCAAACCUCUGACUUUUAGCCUAAAGGAAUAGUCAACAUCAUCACUUUUGCAACCCCAACCUAUUUCUUUACAUCUCUUGUUUGAAAAGAAAGCUCACCAGAAGACCAGACCAAUCCAGUUCCUUUUCUUUUGUGUUGGGUAAUUCAAGUUUUCUUUGCAUCAUUAAAAAAUCCAUGGAGUAGUAGAUUUGGGAAGUUUUGGCAACAUAGUGUGGUUGGUUGGUUUGGCUGGAUUAAAAGAGAAGAAGUAGAGAGUAGUUUUAGUAGAAAGAAGCAAAUGGAACCGGAAGCGGAACAAAUGCAGAUAUUCCAAAUUAGGCAAAAGCCACUUUGUUUCAACAGAAAGUGAGAUUGAUGACCAAUUCUGUGCAAAAAAAAUAAUCUUAUGCUCUCAAAUGAGAAAUCUCAACUCUCAGUAUCUCAGUCCCAUUGAGACACGUUUUCUCUAUUAUUAUCACCAGUCACCACCAACUGAGAAAAGCCACUAAAAAUGCAUCCAAAAUCCCCACUUGCGCGUGCCUUUAGGCGAGAAAGGCGAGCGAAAGUUGCUUGUGUGCGAUCUUCAACCGUUGAUGCAUUUAAAUUUUAUUACGUAUGUUUUAUGCGUAAUUUUUUAUCGAAUAUUAUUAAAUGCUUUUGAUCGACCAUAUCAUUUAUGCGUAUUUUUUGUUGAAUAUUUUGAAACGGUCUUUGUUGAUAGUAUCGUUUGCGUAUUUUUUUCUUUGAAUAUUAUGAAAUGCUUUUUGUCUACUGUUUUAAGCUCAUUUUACUUGAUAUAUCUCUCAACAUGCGGACAAAGUCCUGAAGUUGUCCAAAAAUUUAUCAAAAAGCAAGUGAAAAUCAUAUUUUCAUAAGUCGGUAGAGUAUAGGUUAAGAAUUUGUCAGCAUGAAGUUGUGAUAAAAGAAUCUUACUAUAAUUAAACUACGCACAACAUUAGAGCAUUUAUCAACAUAACAACUUUGCGUGAGCCGUUAUAGUUAAGCUAUGUGAUAUGUUUUAACAAAUCAUAAGCUGACACAUGGGCAAAAAUGGGAAAACAGAUAUAGGUUUUGUUUUAGCGAUUCAUGACUCAGUUGACAAAUUUAGCAGUUUUGUUUAGCAAUCGUUUAGGUAUACUGUUUGAGUUCUUAUUUAUCUCAAAAAUUGACAAAUUUCAUAAAUAAAUAAAAAAAUAACAAUACAACUGAAUAUGCUCUAAAUUAUCUUUUCUUAGCUUCUGAACUAUCUCUUUGAAGCAUACUAUGAUUUUCGCCACCUUCAAAAACAAACAACAAUGGUGUCAAGAAAUCUUAUUCUAUGUCUUCAUCAAUGAAAGUUGAUCUUUAAUCUAGUCUACUACACUAAAGAUAAGAGAAAUGCUAACAAUAUUUUUUUUCGUAUCUUCUUGUUCAAUCAUUUUUUGUCCAGUACCAUUUGAUUUAGUGGGAUAAGUCUUCUCUUGUAAGUAAAAGUUUAUGAGUUUGACUCACAAUAGACUCGUUGAUGUAUACAGACUAAAUUUUAUCGUCACUCAACAUGCCUCAUGAUCAUAGCGUUGUUUUUUCAACGGUCAUCAAAUAAUAUUGGACAAUUAAAUGAGAAAGUUGCUAGAAUCCUUAUUAGCCUAAAAGAAAUAUCUGUGCAAAUCUUUACGAAUCCUUUCGGGAGGGUGAAUAGUUGGAACCACUGCUCAGAGCUUGCAAGUUGAAUCAUGCAAAUCCAAAGAAGCUGUCACGAGCAGAGGGCUUUUUGUGUGGUGGGGCGAAUCGAACGACUCUCUAGUGAGUGAAAGGGUAAUGGUAAUGCCAAAUAUACGAAAGUGAUUGUGAUGUGUGGGAGAGGAGCCCUUGGAUCCAUUAACAUCAACUCCAACAUUAUAGGAGAGAGAAAGGAAUGAAAGAAAAGGGUGGGUGAUACACAUUCAUUCGUUCAUGUAUGAAUAAAGAUGUUGAUAGUGAUUAUUGUUCACAUGAAGGGUUUGUGUCCUUGAUUAAUUCUAGUUUGCUUCUAGGGUAGGUUUAUGUCCCGAAAUAUGACUUGGCUGAAAACUUUAGGAUCAAAACAGCUAGUAGGGCCGUUGAUAGAUGUUGCGCUGUAAAAUUGAAUUGUUGAAUGAUAGAACUUGCGAUGUUAAAUUGAAUUAUUGAAUGAUAUGAUUUCGCGGGUAUGAUUGUUAAUUUUAGAGGACCGCUAAUGACACUCCAAUUUUAAGAUAGUGACAGUUUUGCUCCAAUCCUGAUCUAUGGUGCAUUUUUAUCAAAGAGUGUAAAUGGCUAGAUGCUUUAUAAAAGAUCGAUUUAGAAAUCAGGUAGUUAAAUUGUAACAUUAGUAUCACUUUUGAGUUCAGCCACUUAAUUUUUCUAGCAAUUUUGUCUAUAAUUAUAACAUUGGCUUAAUAGUUUUUUUCUUAUCAAUUACACAACCUAAAUACUAUAAAAAGUCUUUUAUGAGUUAAAUUCAUGACCUCUCUCACUUAUAAAAAAGUGAUUAUGUCACUAGACCGAAUAAUAAUAUGCACAUUGGUUCAAUAACCGAAUAAUUAUUAUUCACUAGACCGAAUAAUAAUAUGCACAUUGGUUCAAUAACUUGUCGAACGUAUUAUACAGUCCAAAUGUUGUGAUCGUUUAUGAACAUGACGUCCUAAAAUGUCUUUUAAAUCCGUAAAUAAUUCAAGAACAGUUUUUGGACUUUCCUAAUUUCUAUCUUGAAGUCGAUGAUGACGUGUAUUAUUGAAGUAACAGUUAAGCGAAAAUUCUUCUUGUAGAUUUGGAAAUCUAAACCAGAAAUGGACCUCUCGAAAAUGGUAUAUGACAUUAACAAUAAGAAUAUAAACGAAGUAAAACACAAUCAGAAGACUAAGUUAGAAUACAAGGGAAAAUUAGGGUUUCUGUUGAAAUGAAAAGACAACCCACAGCAAAACAAAAACGCACGUCAAAUCAGAUACCUUUUCUUCCCCAAAAUCUCAGAUCACACAUAUCUCUCCCUCCAGCUCGACCUCUCACCGGCCACCAAUAUUUGGUUUUGGCUGUGUUUUCUUUGGAACCAUAUCAUUAUUCGUAGCCAGUAUUGUUUCAGCCUUUCAGAGCUUCAGGUUUUAAACCGAUCCCACAUAUAUAGUAGGUUUCUGAGCUUCACGUUUCUGAACCAUCUCGGAACUGGAAAGCUGCAAAGAGAAGCACCAAAGAAACCCUAGCUAUUCCCGUGAUACGGUGAUAGAGGAUCAGAGUGUGGCCAGGUUUUUUGCCAACUGGGUCGAGUUGGGUUUUGUCUGAGAAGGACUAUAUGAUCUCGGGUCACCUCCCACAGAUCUCGUAUAUAAUUAUAUGUCUGAGUUGGGUUCUUUUCUUGAUGCGAUUACGUUUGUGUGCUCAUGUUUAUCUUAAUAUCCUGUUACUAUAAUGCAAGCUGAAGUUGUCUUCCCCCUUUAGAACCUUUAUCUAGUUAUCUACACUUUGCGAUUGAUAUAUGACUAUAUAAGAGAUAAGCAUGAUAAACAAGUGACAUAAUUUAGUUAGACGUCAACUUAUAAUAACCUGUGGCUUGAGAGAUAAUCAAGUGCAAUUGUGCAAACAACAUAUAUAAAUCAAAUUCUCAUGUAGCAGAAGAAAAAAAGUUACAGAUUAAGAAGGUUAGUUUUCGAGCUGGUUCCUUAUUAUGCCUCCUAUGUUGGACCGUCGAGUUUGCUUCCAAUGAAGGGAAUGUAACAAUGUUGCUAAUUCAUUUCGAAGGAAUGUGAUAGCUUCUAAUCCAUCCCUUCUAUCGGGGUCUAUAAAUAUCUCAUGAAUUUUGGUGGCUAUAUUUCCAAGAGUUCUAUAGGAAAGUGAGAGUUUUAAACUUCGAAUUCAAAAAGCUUAUGAAACCAACAUGCAAGAAAUGAGUAGGAAAUUAGGAACGCAGCUAUAACGUUAGUCCGCCUCAUUGCUCACUGAAAUUUCUACGAUCGUUAGUCCGCCUCAUUGCUCUAGAUUGGCCGUUUUGACAUAAGACCAAACCAAAACGAGAUUAGCCAAAAUUAAUCACCUAAUCAACUACUCUAACCAUCUGCUCACCAUGUUUAUAAAACAGAAAGCUCAAUCUCACUUUUGAAGGCCUCUCUCUUUUCUCCAAAGUUACGACAGCGACGGCUGCCUGGUUGCUCCAUUUGUAUAGGUGGACACGGCAUCUGUAUCUAUCCCCCCACAAAAAUUUAAAGUGCCCAACAUUCAAGUAUUCAACCCUAAAAGAAACCCAAAGUAAACAAUAACAGAAACAAAAGAACUCGAAGAAGAAGAAGAAGAAGCAGAAGAGAGAAUCUAUGCUAUGCUCUCUUUCACCAUGUGUUGCUCUUGUUGUUGUUGUUGGUAUUAUAUCCCCGUCCCCACCACCCCAAAUUAGACCUCCUCCUCCUCCUCUUACUUCCUCUCCCUGCAACUAACUCCUGCUUCUUACUCCCCCAGCAUUCAUCUCUCUCUCUCUCUGCUUUACUCUUUAUCUUCUUCAUUUAGUUUUUUUGUUUUCCGAUUACUCCAUCUUCAUUAGUUUAUUCCCAAAAAGGUUUCAGAUUUUAUAAAACCAAGUCCGGCAUAUAUUUUAUUUGUGGGUUUUGCUCACAAGUCAGACGCACCCUUUCAAAAUCUCCACACAAGAAUCGUUUCUUUAUUCAUUCUCGGAGAAAAGUCUCGUGCUUUAUUAUUUUAUCCAUACACUACACAACUCGCUAGCCGGCGAUGCCGACGCCGGUAGGCGCAGCGAGGCAAUGUUUGACGGAGGAGGCGGCGCGUGCGUUGGACGACGCGGUGGCCGUGGCGCGUAGGCGGAGCCACGCCCAGACGACCUCGCUUCAUGCUGUUUCGGCUCUGCUUUCACUUCCUUCGUCUGCUCUCCGCGACGCGUGUACACGCGCCAAUAGCAGCGCGUACACGCAACGCCUCAAGUUCCGGGCGCUGGAGCUCUGCGUCGGGGUGUCGCUGGACCGGUUGCCGUCGGCGAAGGCGCAAGAGGAGCCGCCGGUGUCGAACUCACUGAUGGCGGCGAUCAAGAGGUCUCAGGCGAACCAGAGGCGACACCCGGAGAGCUUCCACCUGCACCAGAUUCACAGCCAGCAGCAAACGGCGUCGCUUUUGAAGGUGGAGCUCAAACACUUCAUUUUGUCGAUUCUGGACGACCCGAUUGUGAGCCGGGUCUUGGGCGACGCCGGGUUUCGGAGCUGUGACAUAAAGCUCGCGAUUGUUCACCCGCCCGUGACGCAAUCAAAUCGAUUCUCUCGGGCUCUGGUCCCGCCCAUUUUCCUCUGCAAUCUAACGGAUCCCGACCCGGCCCGUAUGAGAUUCCCUUUCCCGCUCGCGGGAAUCGAGGAGAGGGGAGACGAGAAUUGCAAGAGAAUCGGGGAGGUGUUAGUUAGAAAGAGCGGGAAGAAUCCCUUACUCAUCGGCGUAAACGCCGCCGAAGCUCUCGGAAGCUUCAUGACAGCUGUACAGAAAGGCAAGUUACCACUCUUGCCUCCUGAAGUUAGUCGGUUUGGUGUAGUCACUCUCGAAAAGGAAAUUGCGGAGUUUGUGGUGGACGGUGGGAGUGAAGAGAAGAUGAGCUCGAAGCUGAAGGAGGUGAGUCAUUUGGCCGAGCAAUGUUCCGGGGAUGGAGCCGGUGUGAUAGUCAAUUUUGGCGAAGUGAAGGCUUUGGUUGAUGAGGGUGUAGUGAGUGAUGCUUUGAGCUUUGUGGUGGUUCAAUUGAAGGAGUUGGUUGAGAUGCAUAGUGGGAAACUGUGGUUGAUCGGCGCAGCGGGGAGUAAUGACAUGUAUAUGAAGCUUUUGGCUCGGUUUCCGGCCAUUGAGAAGGAUUGGGACCUUCAUCUCCUUCCCAUUAGCUCUUCCAAGGCUUCUGUGGAUGGAGUUUACUCUAAAUCAAGGUGAUGCUUCAACUCUAGUUUUGGUUUUUUCUCCUUUUUCGAGUUUAGAUUGUUAUUGUUUCUUUGGAUAAUGUGUGAAAAUUUGGAUAGUGUUUAGAGAAGAAAGUAUUGCUUGAUUUCAUCACUCUGGUUUUCUGGUUGUAUAAUUUUUUUUUGCCAUCUGAUCACUCCAGGAAAAUAAAUAGAAACUUUUUUUUUGAAUAGAUUAGUAACACUAGUAGUCUUUUUCCUUUUGUCAUCUAGUCUUUGCUGCAUUAUAUUACCCUCCAUGAUUCUGUACUAUGAUGUCACUGCUGUUUUCAGUUAUUUUAUAAAAUAAAAUACUUUACAUCAUUAAAUCAGACACAAACAUUCGCUUCUGAAUGACACAAGUAUUGCCUCUAGUUUGAGCUGAAAAGCUUGUUUCAUGUGAUUUAAGAUGGGUAAUUGUUCCAGAUUUUUCUAUGAGAUUUUUUUGCUGCGGGAGUCGAGGUUUUUUCAUUUUCUAACCAUGUUCCAGAUCAGUAAUUGUUAUCACUCAAGUUUGAGAUAAAUAGUCCAUCUCAUGUUAUCAGUAAUUGUUAUGAGAAAUGUGUGUUCCGGUAGUCAUCAAGAAUUUUUCAUUUUUUAACCAUAUUCAGGGUCACUAUUGUUAUAGCCUCAAGUUUGAAAUGACGAGCUCAUUUCAUGUUAUAUAACAUUAAUAUUUAUUCAAGCUUUUACUAUGUGAAAUGUGUUUUCCAGUGAUCAUCAAUAACUUUCCAUUUCCUGACCAUGAUGAGGGUCACUGAUAUUAUUGCUUCGAGUUUGAGAUGAAGGGGCUUGUUCAUGUGAAAUAUUAGGUUGAACAUUAUGCUCGAGUUCUCUAUAAAAAUUAUUUUCCAGUGGUAGUCAAGAAAUUUGUAUUCUGUUAAUCUUGGAUCAAUGAUAAUUUUUUUAAUGAAAUGUCAGUCUUAUAUUCUAGAGAACAGAGCAGUAUUUGAACAAGUAAACUACGUAUGCAAGUCAAGUUUAGUGGGAAGUUUUUUUGUCCGAACUUUAUCCUGCUUGAAGUUUCAUGAUGAAAAAAUAAGGUUGAUAGCUCUUUCUUAACCAAAUUCACGGGGCUGGUUUCAUUGAGCUCAAAAUGUGUGUUUCAUUCAUGCCUUUCGGUCUUUUUGUUGGUAGUUUUAACUUUUUUAGACUUAUAUACGGUAACUUUCACUUGAUUGUAAGAUGUUUAUGAAUUUUUCUGCAGCAAGCUAUAGUUUCUAUCUGUUGUUACUUGGUCUAUCUACAUAUAGUAGUGUAGGUUUGAAGCUGACGACCCAUCACUAUGGGGUUAAUGAUUCUGCAAUCACUAGUUCCAGAGUGUUACUUGGUCUAUCUAUAUGUCAUAUGUACCCUAUGUUGUAUGUGCUGUAUGCCUGUAUGUUAUGAUGUUUAACUUGCUAGUUCUAUUGCAAGCUGUGUAUGUGUGCAUGUUUACAUGUUUAAGACUUCAAGGCAUAUGCUUUAGCUUCUGACUAUUUUGUGCUCGUUGGGUCUCACAGUUCCAUACUCAUGAUAUACUUACAGCUUGUUGGGGUCCUUUGUUCCACUUGCGGGAUUCUUCUCUGGACCUUCCGACUUUAUAAAUCCACUGAGCAUCACAAAUCAAUCUUUUAUACGCUGUCAUCUGUGCACAGAGAAGUAUGAGCAAGAAGUUGCUUCUAUUUGGAAAGAUGGAUCAGCCAUUACAGUAGGUGAUCAGUGCUCAACUAGCUCACCUUCUUGGUUGCAAAUGACUGAACUUGACACUGGCAAGGGAGUGGAUCUCGUAAAGGUGUGUACGCCCUUCAAAGUUUAAUUAUAUGGCUCAAGUUGGCAUUAAGUUUGUGCACACAAGCAUGCACGCACACACAUAUACGUGAAGCUAAACACACGCUUCUCAUGAUUGGUUUGAUUAAUAUGUUAUUCAUCAAAUUAAUUUCGAAAAUAAAUGAGUAACAGUGCUCUCCAUUAUUCACUGCAGACCAAAGCUGAUAGUACGACAUUGAGUGAUACAGUAUCAGGACUGCAAAGGAAAUGGAAUGAUAUCUGCCGAAAAAUUCAUCAUGCUCAAUCAUUCCCUAACAUGGACAAUUGUCAUGCUGGGUCUCAUGGUGCAUCUCCUGAGGGCUCUCACAUUGCUGCAGAUAGAAGAGAAAGCAGUGGUGAAGAUUCAUCUAUGCAGGAAAACCAAAGUGCAAAAUAUCUCUGCCUUCAGAUGGACAGGCAGAAGAGUUUUCUUUCAAAACAAAAGUUACUAAUGCAAGUAGCUUCUGAUGCUGAAAAUGCUGGUACACAAACCAAGCAAUUAGUUAUAGAUUCAAAUGGUCAGCAACUUGAACUGGGAAGCCCCUGCCGUUCACCUUUUCCUAUCGUCACUAUGAAUCUUGCCACUGAUCGCACGUCAUCCUCAACUGUAACUUCAGUGACUACAGAUUUAGGAUUGGGAACCUUAUAUGCAUCAACUAGUCAGGGACCAAGCAAUCCCAAGUUACAAGAUCAUAGAGAGUGUCGCCAACGCCUCUCUGGUUCCGUUUCUGCUGAAUUCGAUGCAGUAAGUGACAAUAGUUUACAUCAAAUAACCCAGUCCUCUUCCUGCUCUGGAUCUAAUUUUGGUGGGCAGUUUGAUCCAAGAGAUAUCAAGUCACUUAGGAGAGUUCUCACAGAAAAGGUUGGCUGGCAAGAUGAAGCAAUAUGCACCAUUAGUCAAGCUAUAUCCCGUUGCACGUCUGGUGGUGGAAGGCAUCGUGGUUCAAAAGUCAGAGAAGAUAUAUGGCUGACUUUGGUUGGACCCGACAGAGUUGGAAAGAAGAAAAUCGCUGUAGCACUUGCCGAGCUUAUGUUUGGCACUAGGGAAAGCUUAAUCUCUGUUGACAUGGGAGAGAGGGGAUGUGAUUCUGACUCUAUUUUUCAAUGGGAAUCCCAAGAUGAUUAUGAUGUGAAGUUUAGGGGUAAGACGGCUGUAGAUUAUGUUGCCGGGGAAUUAAGCAGGAGACCCCAUUCAGUUGUCUUCCUUGAAAAUGUAGAUAAGGCUGAUUUUCUGGCCCAAAGUAACUUGUCCCAGGCCAUUAGGUCUGGCAAGUUUCCAGACUCUCAUGGCAGAGAAAUCAGCAUUAACAACAUGAUCUUUGUGAUGACUUCAGCUACUAAAAAGGGCAGCAAAAUCCAGUACUUGGAGAAUGAACCCCUGAAAUUCUCAGAGGAGAUGGUACUUGGUGCCAAGAGGUAUCAAAUGCACAUAGUGAAUAUUGGGGAUGCCAACCAAAUGAAGGGUGUGAAUGUGAGGAUUGCAUCAAGGGAAGGAACCUUAAACUCAUCUUCUGUAAAUAAGAGAAAGCUGAUUGACAGCAGUGCCGCCAUAGAGGAAACCUCAGAGUUACAGAAACGGGGCAACAAGGCAUCAAGGUCCUUUCUGGAUCUGAAUCUGCCUGUUGAAGAGAUAGAUGAGGGAAUGAAUUGUGGAGACUAUGACAGUGACUCCAUCUCCGAAAACUCAGAAGCUUGGAUGGAAGACUUCCUUGAUCAAGUAGAUGAAACAGUGGUUUUAAAGCCAUUCAACUUCGAUGCUCUUGCUGAGAAAAUAGUGAAGGAAAUCAACCAAGAAUUUAAGAAAGUCUACGGACCUGAGGAUCAGCUGGAGAUCGACUCCAGAGUCAUGAUUCAGUUACUUGCAGCUUGUUGGUUAUCAGACAAGAAGAGAGCAUUGGAGGAUUGGAUUGAACAGGUUCUCUCCAUAAGCCUUGCUGAAGCACGUCAGAGGUAUCGUCUCACUGCUCAUUCUGUAAUAAAAUUGGUUGCCGGUGGAGCACUUUCGGUGCAAGAGCAAACUGCCGGUGUUUGCCUUCCUGCUAGAAUUAGUCUGAACUAAUUUUGUGCUCACUGUGCUAUCUGUAAUUACAUGUAUAAUGUAGCUCUUAGCAUAUAGUAUCUGGCAUUAGAAAAGCUUUUGUUUUUCUGAUCAAUCUUUAUGAUUUUUUGGGUAAAUCAUUCUGUGUUUGUAAGAAUGUGCAAAUUCCUCUAGAUCUUGGAGAGUUAGUCACUUAGUUGUCUAGGUUGUAACUUGUACCCUAUGUUGUAACAUGUAUCCUACAUUGUUUGCUUCAUGAUCCAUCUAGUCUAGUUUGCAACCUCAACCUACUUCUCCAUGUUCUUCACUUCUUUUCAAUUCUCAUAUUUAUUUUGUUCGGGCUACUGUUUACCAUUUCCAAAGCCCAAAUUUGAAGAGUGCUGAAGGUUUGCAGCCCACUAUUUUUAUAAACAAAAAGGUAGGAGCAAGAAAAGAAGAAAGGUACACACACCUCCCCACUUACCCACUAUUACCAUGAGGAUUUUGAUCCAACUUUCCACUGAAAAUAUAUUCCCCACUUCAUGAAAAAGAAACCAGCAUUUGAAAGUUUGAGGAGAAAGUGAUUGUAUUUCCACUUUCUAAAAAAGUUGAACAAUUAAGCCCAUCCUUAUUAUUAUUAUUAUUUUUUUUUAUGAAAAUGAAAUUCACAAAAAACCUAUUUGAUAUUCUAACUAAGAUUCUUCUCCGCUUUUUUAUCAUCUCAAAUCCUCGAUGGAUUAUUUUUCGUAUUUGAUAAAUUUUUACGAAUGUGAUCCUCUUUAUCUUUCUAAUAUAGGGUUACUAAUUGUGACUGUUUACUCUAAAUAUUCGAAUAUCGACUAAUCUAACAACAUUUCAUUUGGUUAUAUCUAACACGAAUCACAUCAAUUAGUUAUGAAAGCUUAUAGAUAACAUAUAGUUGGCACCUCCAAACUUCUCGAGACUUCAUUUUGCGCAUGCAAAUCGAAUAACGCUUGACAAAGAAAGCGAAAACCAAAGGAGAAGAGCCAAAAAGAAAUCCACCGUCCGUGUGCCAACAUCAAAUUGGAAUCAGAAACUUUGAUACUGAUAAAGUGAUAAGUGAUGAAAGAGGAAGUGGUGUGAAAGAAGUGAUCACAACACAUAAAAAGUCUCUUUCCACAUUUCCACCUCACAAGAAAACGACACCAAGUGAUUCAGACCCCUUUCUCUUCUUCUUUGCUUAUUUCAUGGACCAGGAAUUUCCUCACAAAUUUCCUCAUAUCUUCGAUGUCGUUUACUCACCACUGGUGUCGUAUUCGAGCCUGGACUUUUCAAUCUGAAAGGGGAAGGCCUGUGUUUCAACUUUGGGACUUUUUAUUUAGUCAAAUUUGGCUUUGGCAUUGGGACACAAUCUGAGCCGUUGGAGUGUCCACUCUGCCAUAGAGGGAAACUGGAGGACCGUCAGAUUAUCUUCUUUUUUGGAUUUUCUUUUUAAAGGAAUUGGAAUUUUUCUCUUUGCGAAGUAGCAUCCAGAAACUGGGUCUAUCCAAUUAUUCAUGAAUUGUGUUUAGUCCUAGACUCCUUGUCUUGGAGCUCAACUUCAUAUUCUUGCCUCUCUUCAAUGUAUGGUGAUAUUUAUAGUUUAUGUCCGUUUAUUUAACAACAUAUGACUCUUCAAUGAAAAUUGAGCCAUGUCUAUUUCUAGUUAUAUAAUUGCAUUAAGCAACUGUGAGAGCCUGUUAUGGUUAAACAGAGAUGACACAUGCACCAAGUAAAUCAGUGUGAAUCCAAACCUUCUACUCGAAUAUAAGUUUGAGAAUGAGAAGCUUGUUAAGAUAUCGGAAAGAGGUUUAGUUAUAUUAGCAAUGUUUACAUAUUCAUUAAUCGGAGAUAAUGAAUAUUGGAGAUAAAUUAAAAGAUACAUGUAGAGUAAAUUAUCACGAAGUCUAACAACUACAUGACAGACUCUUCUUUAAUAAAACUUGAUUUGGCAAGUGUAAAUUGACUCAUCAACUGAGGGUUAGAAUAGAACGCACCUCGUGCGUGACAAAAAAGAAAUAGAGCGUUGUUCUCUCCCGACCAAACACCGCCGGUACUCACGCCUCUGCGUUUCGGUCCGGGAGGGGAUGUUUGUCCAUGACAGUGGUGAGAUUACUGGGUAGAAACAAGGUCUGGGUUUCGUGAAGGGUUCUUGCGAUCGGGUUGGGUAGAUCAAUCUCGAUUUAUGCCUCUCAGAUCGUCGGCAAGCGCAGGUGAAGAGUUGCGGCCUGAGUUUGUUGCUUGAAGGAGGGAAUCAUGCAAAACUUGUACAUGUCUUUCUUAGAUUUGGGAUGUUGCUGCUUUGGAGAAGGAGACUGAAGGUCGGAGAGUAGGCUGGAUUCGGUGGUACGACGGGCUGGCUUGCCGAGGGGCUGGCGGUGCCGCGUUGUUCGAUAUUGAUAGGGUGAAGUAGGGUAUGACGACGGUGGUGAGAUCUGGGUGGUUUUGUAGCAGAUAUCUCUAACUGGGAGGGUGGUGUACAUCUAAUCUGUCAAGGCUCUAUGGGCCUGGGCCUUGGGAGCUGCUGGGUAUUGGGCUCCUGAUUACCCUGGGCUUUUGCCUUAUGAUCCAAGGUAUGUGCCUGUGCUUGGGCUAUAGCUUGGGUUUGGGGUUUCAACCAACGAGGUAUCUAUCUUAUAUUAUAUUGCUCAUUACUUUAUCAAGUUAUUUCAGGCUUUAGUUUUUCGGCCCAUGUCACCCAUGUGGUGCAUUUUUAUCCCUACGUGGAUUAUUCUGGUUUGGUCCAGCAUAGGAGGAAUCGGUUCUUCAUACUGGUGCCAAUCAGUCCCAAAUCUUUCCAAAUUAUUGGUCACCCAACACCAAAACAACCCAUCAACCACCAUUUUUAAACCGUCAUGAUUAUGGGUGCUCAUGCGUGAGUUUAUCACCCCUCAUCUUAGUUGGUAUCAGUUCUUGGGUACGUUUUUCGGUCCUCUCUCGGCAGCCUCAGCUUAAUCAUGGCUUUGGUUUAGUUGGUGGAUUGUAUGGUGUUGUUUUGAGAAAGUUUUUCCUCUUGGUUGUGGGUUUCCAUAUGAUUUGUGCGUUAAGAUUUGGUAGAUAUCAGGUAGUCGGGCAACAACGCUCCGAUUUAGCACUCCACACUUACUCACAACUGUUGGCGGCGAUGGUGAUGACGAUGACGAUGACGAUGACGAUGACAAUGUUAUCGUGCAUGGGUGGUGUGUGUGGUAGAUUUGUUAGUAUAGUUGUAUUUAUGCUUUCAGAUGUAGGGCGGCGAUGACAAUGCUAGCGUGCAUGAGUGGUGUGUGUGGUAGAUUUGUUAGUAUAGUUGUAUUUAUGUUUUCAGAUGUAGGGUUUUCGGUCCAUAGUUUAGUGAGUUGGUGGUUUCUUUUCACUCUUUCUAUUUUGAUCGAGUCGGAGACUCAUGUUCUUCAUUAUUAGUUUUUUCAGCCUUGCAAUUGCAGGUUUGUAAUUUGAGUUUGUCUCUUAAUUACUAAAAUAUUAAUUUCUCUCCAGAAAAAAAAAAAAAGACAUCAAGAAUCCUAAUGACAAUGUGAAUAGCUAGACUUUGAUGAGUUAGAUGAUCCAACACCACCCGAAACACUAGGAACAUUUAAUGCAUGAGACAUACCAAACAAACUAGUAUCAUUUUUUUUAUAGGAAUUGUAACCGUAAUUGUUAUGUUAAGUUUCCUCAUUUCAUCAUAUCUGCAUAUUGUACUAUGUACACGAAGGAACUUAAAUGACAAAAUUAAAUAAUAGUCUGUCAUUCAUAUUCAAACAUAACAUGUCAAAAAGUUGUAGUAACUAACAUCGAAAAUAUGACAGAGAUUAAUCUAAUAUUUUAUACCAUCAUAGAUUCAUCAACAAAUAAGAAGAAGAUAAAAAAGAGCAUAACGAAUAGAAACAGAAGCGAUUACAAAAGCUAAGAAUACGAUGUGAUCAUGUUUCCCAAGUUGACUACAGAAUACUACGAUUCUCUAACAUAAAUGUUGCAACCAUUAAUUUAAUUUAUGAAAAUGACUAGCGGAAAAUGUUGAAAAGAUGAAAAAUAUAAUUUUCCAGAAAAGAAUAAACCUAGGCGGCCCACGUUUUUGGACUUUUUGAUCAAUUACUCAAUUAAGCUUAUGUCAUGAAUAUAUAUCCUAUUUAUAAUAUUGCGCAGUUAAUCAGAAAAAAUAAGAAAUAAAAUUCCAUUUUGCAGGCGUAAAGGGUUGUUUCUAGAAAUCAUCGAAACCUGCCUUUCUCAUUCGUCCAUCAGUCGAUCCUAUCAAAGUGUCACUUGUGCAUCCACAUCCUUAACAUAAUCUAUUAAUAUCACACACACACACUUAGUAAUGAUAACAUUCGAUUUCAUAAUCGUUUAUUUUGAUUCUUAAUCCGUCGUGACUUACGAAAAACCGAAAACUCUAACUUUAUGUCUUUAUCGCUCAAUCAAUUAACAUAGAAUAAACAAUGUUAAAAAAACAAAAAAAAUAUUUUGUUCGAGUUAAAAGGCUCAUUCCUACGCUCAUAUUAUAAUUCAUUAAAGAAAAACACACAAAAAUAGAUGUAAUAUUCUUGAUGGUUUUUCAUUCGGCUCAAACUUUACAAGAUCAAUUUAUACCAAUGAGACAACAAGUUCAACUGUUGUAUCGUCCAAAAAUCCCCUUAGCUGAGUGAUUCACAAGAUGAACAGAUGAAAUUAAGAAUUUUCGGAAGAGAUCAUCGUGGAUGGAUGAGGCUAAACGAAGAUUGACCAAGAGUCUAACUCCCCACUUAUAUUCGCCUGUCAUGUCUACUGUUGUGACUGCCCGGUACACUUAUCAUGAUCAAGUGACCGACGGUAUUAAAUGCGUCCACGUCAUCCGCCAAUGACAAAACAACGCGUCAAAAAUCAGGUGUCAGAACCACCCAACUUUUCCUGAGGUCGGCUCCAGAGGAUCCUCUACACGUGGCAACCCCUCACUCGAAGGCGGUUUGAUAUUAUAAACCCCCUGGGACCCACCCCCGAGUUUUAGAAAGCUUUACCCUUUGCGAUUUGUCAGAAGGAAAAUUAUAAGAAAGAGAAAAGAAAUUUGGAGACGAAGUCGAAGAAGAAGAGGCAGAGGGGUAGGUGUUCAUACAGCCUCGUCUUUUUGACUCCAAAAACAAAUAAAUAAAUAAAAAGGAGAAGUCUUUGUCUUUGGUACAGUUCUGGCCGGCUAGUUAAACAAGGCUGUUUGGGUUCUUCUGAGCCCACUCUUGACUUGUGCUCCUCCUCCAUUUCUUGGUUUUAAGGUAUGCUCCCUGAAUGCUUCCACUUCUUUUUUGCUGGGUUUCAUUGAUUUGAGGUUGGAUUCUACUUGGGUUUUCUUUAAUCUUGUCAAAGUUUGUAGCUUUAUGAAUAAUUGAGUAGUUGGGGAGUUUAAAGUUUGGUUCUUUUGGAUUGUUUUGUUUUGAGUUGAGUUGAAUUUUGAUGUUCCCUGUUUUUUGGGUAGAGGGUGUGUUUGUUAUUUGGUUUUGGUGGUUGGGUUUGUAACAGAUUUUUGUGUUUGUUAUUUUUGUUUAUAGAAUUGAAUUGAAAAUUUGAAACGAUGUUUGUGAGGGUUGUGGAAUUGAUUGUGUGUUUUGAUUUUGUAGAAAGAGAGCUUUUUGAAGGCCGAUUUCCAUGUGCAGCGGUUCGAAGAGGAAGCCUUGUUCCACUGACUCGACCACCACUGACUCGACCAUGGAUCAUGAGAAACAGGAAGGGUUCAGGUAUAGCUUUUCGAUUUUGCUGGAGUUAGCGGCGGCUGAUGAUCUUGAUGGGUUCAGAAGUGCUGUGGAGGAAGAUGGUCAUGAUGUGGAUGAGGCGAGUUAUUGGUAUGGGAGGCGUGUUGGAUCGAAGAAGAUGGGGUUUGAGGAGAGAACACCGCUGAUGAUUGCUGCUAUGUUUGGCAGCAUGAAUGUGUUAAAUUAUAUCCUUCAGACGUGUCGAGUUGAUGUGAAUAGAGCGUGCGGUUCGGAUAGGGCCACUGCUCUUCAUUGUGCUGCUACUGGUGGCUCUGGUGCUUCGGCUGAGGUUGUCAAGGUCUUGCUUGCUGCUUCUGCGGAUGCCAGUUGUAUUGAUGUUAAUGGAAACCAAGCUGGGGACUUGAUUGCACCUGCUUAUAGUUCAUCCUUCAACUCAAGGAAGAAAGCUUUGGAAGUCAUGCUCAAGGGCGUAUCCGGUUUAGAUGAGGCUUUUGAUUAUUCUGAGCAGAUGGCUAGAGAAGCAGAAGGUGAAGAUCAGCAAGAGGUCACAACUCCUCGUGCCUCAAAGGAUGGGACGGAGAGGAAAGAAUAUCCUGUUGAUCUUUCUCUUCCAGACAUCAAGAACGGAAUUUACAGCACAGAUGAAUUUAGAAUGUAUACUUUCAAGGUCAAGCCUUGCUCUAGGGCUUACUCACAUGAUUGGACAGAGUGCCCAUUCGUUCACCCAGGAGAAAAUGCAAGGCGGCGUGAUCCAAGGAAAUAUCAUUAUAGCUGCGUUCCUUGCCCAGAGUUCAGAAAGGGGACUUGCAGGCAAGGGGAUGCUUGUGAAUAUGCACAUGGUAUUUUUGAAUGCUGGCUUCACCCUGCCCAGUACCGAACUCGUCUUUGCAAGGAUGAGACUGGAUGCACACGAAGGGUCUGUUUCUUUGCUCACAAAACAGAAGAGCUUCGUCCCUUGUAUGCUUCAACAGGUUCGGCUGUCCCUUCUCCCAGAUCAUUCUCUGCAGGUGCUUCUCUGGACAUGGGAUCAUUGAGUCCACUUUCGCUCAACUCGCCAUCUAUCCUGAUUCCUUCUGUUUCAACUCCACCUAUGACUCCAACCGGUGCUUCUUCCCCUAUAAAUGGAAACAUGUGGCAAAAUCAACCAAAUAUUGCACCCCCCACCUUGCAGCUCCCAGGUAGCAGGUUGAAGUCUACUCUAAGUGCUAGGGAUUUGGAUCUAGACAUGGAGUUCCUUAGCCUGGAAAAUCACCGUCGCAGGCAGCGCUUGAUAGAGGAGUUGUCCAGUCCCUCAUCCAACUGGAACAAUGGCUUAUCUAGUCCUUCAGCUUUCUCUGCCUCCGGGAAUCGAAUGGGGGAAUUGAAUAGGAUUGGUGGAGUGAGGCCUAGUAACCUGGAAGAUGCGUUUGGAUCAAUGGAUCCUACAAUGUUGCCUCAGUUGCAGGGGCUAUCACGGGAUACCACAGCAUCCCAGUUGCAAUCCCCAACUGGUAUCCAGAUGCGCCAAAACAUGAACAUGCAACUUCGGUCAAGCUACUCAGGCAGCCCCUCUUCAUCUCCUGUUAGGGGUUCUCCUUUGCAUGGGUUUGAUGCAUCUGGUGCAGCUGCAGUUUUGAGUUCCAGGUCAGCUGCAUUUGCAAAGCAGCGGAGCCAGAGCUUCAUUGAGCGCAGUGCUGCAAACCACAAUUUUGGGUUAUCCUCACCCGCCGAUUCUGGGUCUCCAAAACCUUCUAACCUCUCAAAUUGGGGCUCUCCUAAUGGAAAGCUGGACUGGGGUAUCCAGGGGGAAGAACUGAAUAAGUUGAGGAAAUCUGCUUCUUUUGGAUACCGAAACAAUGGAAAUAGCUUUCCAACUGUUGAUGAGCCUGAUGUAUCUUGGGUAAACACCCUUGUCAAGGAUGCACCACCACCUUCGAGACCUGGACCACUUGGUUUUGAAGAGCAGCAGCAGCAGCAGUGUCACCUGGAAAAUGGAGAUGCAGAGAUACUCUCUGCUUGGGUCGAGCAGUUGUACUUGGAGCAGGAGCAGAUGGUGGCUUAAUCUAAAUCCAAGUCCCACAGGAUUGCUCAUUGAUUAACGUUUAACUAUUAUUUUUUUUGUCAUUUGUUAAAUUUUUAUUCAUCAUAUCUAGGUCGAAGAAACUGGAGAAUGGGGGGGGGGGGGAGGGGCAAUAACCCAACGGAGAAAAAAGAUUAGUUGUGCUCUUACCAUUUCUUUUUAUUUUGUAAUCUUCAUUGAACUUUCUAUAUGAAUCUCAACCAGAAAGAUGCUUGAAUUAUGAUAGCAUUUCAUCAACGAGAAUCAUCAUUUUUAAAUUUUAUUUAGAUAAGGUUGGUCUGUUACACAGAUACUGAUGCAUUAAUCAUUGGUUAAUGAUGUUCAUAUCAAUUAGGCCGACUGUAUGUUCUCAUGUUGAUUCUAUUGUACACUUUCCUACUUAAUAAAGAUGUCUUUCUCAGAUAUUCAUGUCUUGAGGACUCCUGCUCAUUUCAAUAUUUCACCAUACUGGUUUGCCAUUUAGAUAGCUGUUGAACUUCGAAAUUCUUGCCAUUUUAAUUGCUCACUUCAAAGUUCUCAUCUGCAAUUUCUAUUUAGACCAAUCAGACAUAGAUUUUGAUACUUUUGCUUUUAUUUCUCUAUUGGCAUUAUAUAUCCCUGGAAGUGGUAACUAUCAUGGUGUUAAUUUGUUUGUUGAGGACAAACCUUGCUCUAAUUUCUUUCGUCUUAGUCUACUUUUGUGGUCGGGUGCAGUUGGGUCUUUGUCUUUCUUGGUAAUUAUUUGUUAGUGGUGUCAGACUAGAAAGAACGAGUAGUAUGGCUUUAGUACCACCAGCCACUCGGUCAGUGAUCCCUUGCUUCUAAUAAUUUUGAUACGCCUCAGUUGUGUUGUACCCACUCAAAAGACAUGUUUAGAGUAUUGUUAAUCGCUUUAUGUGCGCUCUCCUGUGUAUCUCAUGCGCUUCUGCAGGAGUAUAUGUUAUGAGAUUUUCUACAGUCCUACGAAUCAAACGAGUAGUCGAAAAAUAGUGCAUGCUCUAAAGGAAAAGGUUGUUAUGUUGAUCCAAAGGCUAAAAACAGGUGCGCGGGUAUGAUAGGUUUCCGGCUUUAUAACCUUUAUUAGUUGUCAAAUCAUCCUACUAUAGAGGUUAAGAACCUAAAUCUAUACAGGUGAUAUCGGUUUUGUAUGUAAAAGUAUGAAAUUUACAAUCAUAUUUACCUUAUAAAGAGGAGGAAAAAAAUGUUAGAACCGAAAGAGUGGGAGUUUUAUGACAGACCUACUAGUCUAAUACCAUGACUUUCAAUCAUGAACAUGGUUUGAUUAAGAUAUGCUAGCCAGAAAGGACCCCAUUGUUUUGAACUUCGAACUUUGAACAUGAAAUCCUUUUGAUGACAGAGUGCUAAAAGUCAUGUAACACAAGUUUGAAUUCGAAUCCUUUUUGAGUUAUGCUGCUUAUUGGUACAGUAAAAGAAGUGAUACAAUAGUAUGUUAGUUGCUUUAAUUUAUAGUAAUACCAAAUUUACAAUGGUGGUAAAUCUUACAGGUUUUGAAUUUCUAGUAGGAAAAUCCGCAAGUUGAUCUACAAGCUCCUCUAUCAGUUGGCCUAGAAUUUGCGACUCAAAAUCUGCAACUAUUCCUGCAAAACCUUCAUGAUUAUUCCAGAUGCCUUUGUGUACGCUCCAAUUUGAUCCAACCAAUUCAGCUUCAGUCAGACUACAAAUUUCAUCCAAAAUCGCAAAGUACUCUUCAGUACGAUACUCUUUCUUCAUUGUUGCAAGACCUUUCCCUUCAAUAUUCUUUGUUUUUCUUGCAUCACAAGUCAAACAGUCCUCUUUUCUUCUGGGAAAUGAACUGGCCAAGACUGCACCUUCUUCUGGUGUACAAAAUGUAAAGGUUAAUCACUUAAUCAGCAUCCUAUAAUUUAUAUUUAUAAUUGAAAUGAAAUAACUACCACAAGCUGAAUUGAGGGUACAAACCUGAUGUAGGAGCUUCAUUAUCAACAAGUAACUGACCAUAAUCAAGGACAGAAACCGGGCUUAAAUCUUCCGAGGUACAAUCAGAUUCUACAUUGUUAAGCACAUCACAGAUGGUCUCUUUCUUGGGUUUAUGAGAGGUUUUGCUUCUUUGCAUUUCCCUCCCAUUCAAAUCUUUCAAAACCCUUGUGCUCUUUUCUUCUUGAACUUGCUGCUUUUCCUUCUGAAGCCCUCUUUCUUUUCUAUUUUCCUUGUUUCUGCUCUUUCCUGCUUCCUUCUUCCUCAACUCUCCAUGGCCCGUUUCACAUUUCCUCCCUUUCGAUCUCCUUUCUUUUCUUUCACUCCCAUUCUCGAAGCUAAGAACAAGGAAUUCCUCACUUUCAAUAAAUGUUGGCAUCUCUCUUAACGACUUGACUCGUCGGCGCUCAUGUGCUUGAAUUGGAUCAUGGUCUCCCGAAAGCCGGUCCACAGAAUUCAGAGACCGGCUACGGGAUAUCGAAUUUGAAAUCGAGAGCAGGGUGGCAGCUGGAACUGACUCCAGCCCCAUUAGCCUUGCCACUAAGCUUGGUGUGGCAGAAGACUCUGUUUCCUCUGCUUUCUCUUUCGACUUGAAAUGCCGAUCAUGUCGAGAUUUAUCAACAGAAUUGGAUUCUUCUGGGAUAUGAUCAGAAGGGUAUGUAGGCAAGCUACCAUAGCAGAGAAUUCUGCGCAAAAUACCAGCAAUGCAUCCAUUAGUAGCACCUUUUGAAUUGGUUAGAUCAAAAGUGGUGGUGGUGGUGGUGAUGGUGGAUGAUGAACACGAAGAAAAAGAAGAAAAAGGAGAGGAUUCAGAAGAAGAUAGCAACUUCAUGUCGAAGGUGAACCGAUAACUAACAAAGGGUUUUGUUAUGUGGGAAGAUAGACAAUGAACAAUUUUGAGCUGUUGGGUUAGUGGAGGGUUGCUGCAACUUUGAAGCCGGAAAAAAGUGAAAAGAAAUAGUGGAAGGGACAAGAAAAAAGCAAUGGCAGAGAAGAAAAGAGAGAGAUUCAAAUUUGUUUUGUAGUAGCAAAGUGCAAAUUAGAGUGGGGAAGACAGAGUUGGAAGAAAAGUGGCGGGAUCUGGAUUUGAAAUGGGGGCAACAAAGUAGAUGAUGUUGGUUUGUUCAGCGAUAUGUUUCCACGCGCGUUGUAAAGUCAAUUUGUGGGAUUUGGGACUCGAAUUAUUGGAGGGUUGUUGGGUUGGACUACCACCUUAAUUCUUUUGUUUUUUACUAUGGCAAACUCCUAAUGUGCUUCACACUAGUGUUUGUGUUUCUAUUUUGGUGCUUCCCAAAACUUCUCUAUGCUCACUUGGAUCCAUAAUCUGGAAUCAGGUCGGCAGUCCCCGAGCACUAGUAAGUAGAAUUUGAGUUGUAAAAACGCAAGACGAGAUUCUGUAAAUCAAUGAGCGAGAAAUAUUAUCCAAAUAAUCUUAUUCUGUAAAUCAUUGGUUUUGAAAGACUUUAAUCUUCAUAACUUUUAACAUUUCGUCAUCCUAAUAUAUUUUUCAUUAAACAUGAGAAAUGAUUAUUCUUUCAUUCUCUAAUUAACUUCUAAUUUGCAAACCGAACAAUAUUAGAAGACUAGUUAGUAGCUAAUGAUUGGUCAAUACUGCAAGCUUGAAACACAUAUGAUGAUUUAGAUUCUAUUAUUUGUGGAAGACCUAAUGAACAAAUAACAAAUGAAUAGUGGAGUUGUGGUCCAAUUUACAAGUUAUCAAAACUCAGUAUUUGGGUUGGGAAAAUGAGGAUGAUGUGGGAUUGUGGGGUUUUGAGCAAGAAGCCUUGCUGAUGAAAUUAUUUUUGGGGAUUUGCAGCAGGAGAUGCUCAUAUCAUUUUUCUGUACGUGCUUGUUUUCAAACUCAAUCCCCGUCUCAGAGAAAACAUGUACAGCAAGCAGUGUUGGAUCGGACCGGAUGCUAUUUCAGUCCUCAACCGGACCGGGCAUUUGCUGUGAUGUCAACUUCUUCCAUCUUUUGUCCUAAUUCCAUCACAAUCACUCAGCAAAGCUUGGCAUCAUGUUGCUUGUAGCUAGCCAUUUCAAACUUGGGAUGGCCGAUGCUCAUUCUUUGUUUCUGGCUAUUUCUGCUUCCAUUGUGAUGUAAGACAUAUAGGGUUUGUUACAUUUUGCACAGUUUCAAAUAUUGCGGGAUCUAAUGGCAUUGAUGUAUUAUGUAUAGACCAUCUACACACCAAGGACAGUUUUUAAUAAGGAUGUAUAUAUGCAUGUAUAGACCAAAUAACCACGUUAUAAAUGUUAUCUUUAACACAAGCUAUACAUGAAACUUUUGAGCAGACGAGUUGUAAUGCCCUGCAUAUCAUCAACAUGAUCGUGAGUAAUGAAAGAACUAUGAUUUCAUCCAUUAAAAGGGAAGGGUCAGAAUGAAGUUCCAUUUUUAGUUAUCAAUGAAUUUAUGCACUUGGUUAGCAAAUGUCUCCAAUUUACAAUUAAAAAAGCAACUGUACUACUGUAGUAUGAGUGAAUGAGAUGUUGGUAGAAACUAAGAACAAACAACUAAAACAAGCAAUUCGAUGAACAAAGUUGCACAAAACAGUAUUUAUUAAUAACUGUAAAUAACUAAAAUAAAAUUAAAACCAAAUAAUGAUCAUUAAGUGAGAUAGAUAGAUAGAGAAAUUGAGUACUCACAGUAACAAGAGCAGAUGAACAAUUCAGGUCAAGCUAGAGUUCAGGUUUUAAGAAUAGAUGAGGGCUUAAUUAAUUUCCUUUCUGACAUGUAUAUAUUUAUAUACCACUUACAGUCUACAGUAUCCUACUACAACUCCACCUCAUAAGCCAUAACAAAUUAAAAAAUGGGGUUAAACAUAAGAUUAGCAUUGUAAGAGCAUCUCCACCUGAAAGGCCAAUUUUUGUUUACUAAAUUUAAAUUGACAAAAUCUUGUUUACUAAACGACUUAUCCUCAGGCAGUGUUAAAAUUAAAGGGUGCGGCUAUUUCCACCCCACUAAAUGCUCAGUUCACCCCACGUCUAAUUUUUUACCUUUAAAAUUCCAAUUCUGCCAUUAAAAUUUUGUGAAAAUCUAGUUUUUAUUUUCUUUCUUUUAACUUACAAUUACAAAAAUGAUAAUAUUUCAUCAAUAUAAUUGACGCAUACCUCCAUUCUUCUCAAACCACAUCCUAUAUUCUCCUCGAUCUCUUUCUUGAGUUUUUCUUUACGAUUAUGAAUAUUAUAUAUNNNNNNNNNNNNNNNNNNNNUCGUAAUAUGCAAUUGUUGUAGUUUACAUUUUCAACUAUUAUUACGUAGUUUCCACCAUAUUAACAUAUCCCUAAUUACUAGAUACAUAUCCGAUACUUAAUACACUACCUAUUAACCUUAUUGUUUUAACAUUGGGUGCGGCUAUUUCCACCCCACUAAAUGCUCAGUUUACCCCACGUCUAAUUUUUUAUCUUUAAAAUUCCAAUUCUGCCAUUAAAAUUUUGUGAAAAUCUAGUUUUUAUUUUCUUUCUUUUAACUUACAAUUACAAAAAUGAUAAUAUUUCAUCAAUAUAAUUGACGUAUACCUCCAUUCUUCUCAAACCACAUCCUAUAUUCUCCUCGAUCUCUUUCUUGAGUUUUUCUUUACGAUUAUGAAUAUUAUAUAUAUAUAUAUAUAUAUGAAAUACUACGUUUGAAACCAUAAAUAAAAUAAAAAUAAGAACUAACAAUCUCAUAUAUCACACUGUAUAACCACCAUGUUGAAGAUUGAAGUGAUUCUCAAAUCUGAUUUGAAAAAUGUAGAGAUUUGUUUUUGUUUUUUUUUUCCAAUGUAAAGAUGUAGAUAAUUGAUGUUGUUUGGAUUUUAUUUUAAUAUUAUAUUUUCACAAAAAUUCUUGAUUGUGGGGUUAGUAUUGGAAUAUUUAGUUUAAAAUUGAAAUAUGGGGUGAAGAAAGCAUUUGGUGGGGUGGCAAUAGCUGCACCCAAAUUAAAUUGAUAAAAUCUACUCCAAGCUAUACAUGAGACUUUUGAGGAGGAGAGUUGUAAUGGCCUACAUAUCAUCAACAUAAAAUGAUUGUGAGUAAUGAAAGAACUAUGCAUGAUUUCCUCUUUUAAAAGGCUAGAGUCAGAAUGAAGUGCUAUUGCCGUUAUUAACUUAUUAUUACUUAUGCGCUUGGUUAGCAAAUAUCUCUAUUACAACUAAAACAAUCUCUAGUAAGAGAUUAUCUAUUUUAUAAAGAAAAUAACAUAAAUAUAAAAUUAAAAUUAAAAUUAAACCAAACCAACCCAAGCCCAAAGACUAAUUUGGCCCAGCUGCCAGCUCCACAAGAAGACCCAUAUCCAAAAUGGGCCUUGACCCGGAUCCCAAAUCCGGAUCCUAACCCGACCCAGAUUCAGCCCAGACCCAGGCCAGGCCCAAUUUCCAGAUUUGAUCAGGGCACCCCAACCAAACCCCCUCCCGUCUGCCGCCAACGAUGUCCUCCAUCACGCCGCUGUUGCCAUGAAGACGCAAGCCGCCGUGAUUGGUAUAUGCCCAUCAAGUUCUUGAUUAAGGACGUUCAGAGAUUGUUGCAAGGUCUUGGUUGGAUAUUGGAAGCCAAUGGAGAUUAAAACCUCUCGGUCAGUGAGCAUAGAAAAUUCAAGUUAAACUACAAAAAAAUAGAGUAUGUACUAUGUACUUGGAAAAACAGUCUAAAAUCCUUAACUCCUCGAAGUCAUUUUCAAUAUCCUGAGGUUGAACCUAACUUAUGUUGCAAGAAAUUGGGAUUACAUGAUUAAUAGGUUUCGAAUUAUCUAAACCUAUGUUGCAAGAAAAUGGCAAUUAAAACAAAGGCAACCCCAAGACCCCAACUAAUGUAAAAUUUGUAGAAGUAUUCCAACAGUGACACAAUGUCAAAUGUAAGGGUGUAAAUUUGAACCACAAUAACACAAUGAUAUCAAACGGCUAAUACCAGAAAAGAAAAUCACAAUCAACUUUGAACGGAGAAUGAGUACAAUAGUAAGCUUUCCUCACAAAUAAAGGCCCUCGGGAACCCCUUCUUUCUUCUUGUACAUCACUUUCUCUUUUGCUUUCUUGAAGUCCCCAUGAGUGACCUUCAUGCGUCUCUCCCUCAGAGCCAGCAUCCCAGCUUCAGUGCAUAUGGCCUUUAUGUCCGCCCCGGAGUACUCAUCUUUGGUCAUCACCAGCUCCUCUAAAUUGACAUCGUCGGCCAAUGUCAUCUUCGACGUGUGAAUAUGAAAUAUCCGUCUUCUAGUUUGGAUAUCAGGAAGUGGAAACUCAAUCUUUCUGUCAAUCCUACCGGGUCGAAUCAAGGCCGGGUCAAGAUUCUCAAUCUUAUUAGUCGCGAGAAUCACUUUCACAUCUCCUCUGGAAUCAAAACCAUCCAACUGGUUAAGCAACUCCAGCAUGGUUCUCUGAAUCUCACGCUCCCCGCCGGAAUGCGCAUCGUACCUUUUUGUUCCAACUGCAUCAACUUCAUCGAUGAACACAAUCGAGGGUGAACACUCAUCAGCAACCCUAAAGAUCUCCCUCACUAGCUUCUGACCCUCUCCGGAAUACUUCUGAAUCAGCUCACUCCCAACAACCCUCAAGAAAGUCGCCGAUGUCGAAUUCGCCACCGCUUUCGCAAGCAAGGUCUUGCCUGUUCCGGGCUCACCGUAUAAUAUGACUCCCUUCGGAGGCUUGAUUCCGAUGUCUUCAUAGAGCUCUGGAUGUGUGAGAGGGAGCUCAACUGUUUCUUUGAUCUCCUGUAUUUGGCACUCCAACCCACCAAUGUCGGCGUACGACUCCACCGGAGCCUUUUCGACCUUCAUCACCGCCACCAAGGGAUCAACUUCAUCUUGAAGAAGCCCCACAACUGAAUGCUGCUUGUUGUGGAGCAAAACGUCGCAGCCUGGCUCCAGUUGGUCCUUGUCAACAAACGACAUGAUCCCGACGUAGUGCGUCCCCGACGAGGACGACACAAUUGCGUGAUUGUCGUCGAUGAGCUCUUGGAGAGUGCCAACGUCCAUAGGCGAGCCUCGGAGUUCUUCAACGACCUUAGACUUGUCUUCCUCUUCUGCAUUCUCUUUUGGUUUGCGUUGCUCUUGGUUUGAUACAAACUCUUCCUCCAUGAGGAGAUAGUCUUUGAUUCUUUCUAGCUUCAAUAGCCGGAGUUUGCAUUUGGUGAGCGGCCUCACCGAUGGAAGCCGAGUCGCAGCAUCGGGGCCCUUUUGCUUGAGCUGCUUUUUGCCUACUCGAGCCGGUGGAGCUGCCGGCUCGUAUUUCUUCUUCUCUUCCUUCUUGUCACCAUUAGGGUUUUGGUCACCCUGUUGAUUUGAACCACCCUGCGUUCCUAAUUGUUGACCCAUUGGUAAUAGAUAUAAGCUAUAGAUGUAUUAAGAGUUGGUAUAUAUAGAGACGUCGAUGCAACAUAUGAUCACAAGACAAAGAAGGAUUCCGAAACCUAGCAGGAAAAUUAAGUAGGUGCAUACUGGCCGACAAGGAUCGAGUACUCUAGAGAGAGUUGUGUUUUAUUUUUAUUUUUUUAUUGAAUCUAAUAAGACAGCCCUCGUACCAUUACUAUUAAUGAAACCACAGAAUAUAAGGGAGACAUAAAGCCUAAACCUCAUAAUGUAAGCCUAAAAACAAUAUAAGGAGACUUUACACAACUUAUGCAUUCAAGCAAUAACCAUUUAGUAAACAAAGAGUGCAUCAUUGACGACUCUAUUUGUUUUGCAUAAAACAUGACGACAUAAUAGAAAAUUAAAACUCAUAUGAAGCCAUAAAAGACUAUGUAUAUCCUCUUUUCCAUUAUGUGAAGAUUUCACUCUGCCGUAAAGAGGCUACAACUAUUUGACUAAGUAAGGAACUCGCUACCUGAGUAAACUAGUCAUAGCACGAUGUGUGCUUAUCAGGACAUAGCCCACGGGGCCCUAUAGUAGAUGAGCUUAUUGACGGCAUAAAGCCACAAAGAGUUAACCAACUACAAUUUAUUAUACUUAAAACACAACAAAAAAAUUAUAACAACAGUCCAGGCUGGGCCAUAAUAAGAGCCCAAGCUCAGACAACAAACCUAGGGGAAUAGGGAUCACGCACAACCAGCCGCCAUCGCAGCAAACCUAUAGUCACGUUAGAUGUUGUGUCACCACUGCCGCACCACUUUAGCUAGACCACUGCCCAACCAAGCCUACCGGCCACAUCGCUUCUCGAGAAGACCAUAACAUAAGCCAUACCAGUGUCCAGAUCGGAUGCAAAGUAAACAAGCCAAAUUAAGGUAAUCUUGUUCAAUCUACUCCAAGCCGACCUGAUUUCAUCCCCAUCAGCCGGCCUCCGAAUCUGCGGUCGCCUACCACGCCGCCACCCAACCCUGCAUAAAUGGAGCGAAACUCACCCAAUCAACGUAAUCCCCAUCUCCUUUACCUCACGCAAAGCCACUGCAGCCUCCCCAACCAUAUCUUGUAGGGAGCCCAACAUUCCAUCAACAGGCACAAGGCCAACGAGGGCUCGUCCGAUGACGACAGGGGACACGCCAUCAGACAGGAAAUUGAAUCUCUCUUCUAUCUGCCUCAGACGCAUGGUGCGACGAUAUUUGAGUAGUACUUGUAGAUAGUAGAAGUUUAGUUUUUGGAGAGCAAGAAGUACAAAAAUUUCUGACAUAUAUAUGUGACAGGAGUUAACCUUGUAUUAAAGAUUAAUUACAAAAGACCCUCGAACUAUAUGGUCAUUUUGAUACCUAACUAAUAAAUUUUAUCAUUUCAAUUAGGGCUGGGCACAAAUCCCGUAAAUCCCGGUCUCGUCCCGGUCCCAUCCCGAUCCUGGCGGGAUUUGAAACUAAAAACACCGGUCCCGUCCCGUCCCGUCCCAUUAGUGAAACAAUGGGACGGGACGCGGGAUUGAAAUUUUGAGUCCCGUCAGGCCCGUCCCGUCCCGUCUAACUUUUAAAAUUCAUAACUAAUUGUAGAAAAAUUAUUUUUGAGAGAUCCCAACUCUCAAAUGAUCUUUAAGAUGUCAUCUAUAACUUUCAUGAAGACACUAAACUCAUAUAACGAACCAAUUUGUACAGUUUUUGAAAAGAAGCCAACUGGUUCAAAUCUCAGAAUUUACUGAUAUAGACCCUAAAGUUUAAGAAACCAUAACUUAAUCUAGAAAAAUAGUUUUCACGUGAUUCAAAUUCUGGAAUGAACCUUAAGAUGUUUACUACAAAUCUUAUGAAGACACCAAGAUGAAAUUUCAAAUGCAACGGUAUGAUUUCCAGAAGAAACGAAACUGAUGCAGGAUGGCUGGGAUUGGGCUCGUCCCGUCUAACUAUCAAAAUUCAUAACUAAUUGUAGAAAACUUAUUUUUGAGAGAUUCCAACUCUCAAAUAAUCUUUAGGAUGUCUUCUGUAACUUUCAUGGGAACACUAAACUCACAUAACCAACCAAUUUGUACAGUUUUUGAAAAGAAGCCAACUGGUUCAGAAUCACAGAAUUGAUAUGCAGAAUUUAUAGAUGCAGACCCUAAACUUAAAAAAUCAUAACUUAAUCGAGAAAAUCAUUUUCAAGUGAUUCAAAUUCUGGAAUGGACAUUAAGAUGUCUACUACAAAUCUUAUGAAGACACCUAGAUGAAAUUUCAAAUGUAACUGUACGAUUUCUAGAAGAAAAGAAACUGAUACAGGAUGGCCGGGAUUGGGCCCGUCCCAUCCCGAUCUCGUCCCGUCCCAUACGGGAUUAGGCCCGGCGGGAUCGAGUCUGAAAAAUGUAAGGCCCGUCCCGAUCCCGUCCCAUGUGUAACAACCGGGACAGGACGUGGGAUGACCUCAAUCCCGUCCCAUCCCGUCCCAUGCCCACCCCUAAUUUCAAUACCUCAAGUGCUUUCGUUAGCAGCAAUUCAUAUGACAGGACCCACCCCGAAUUUCACCCUGAAACCCGAGGUAAUUCCUGCGGGGUUCACCUCCAAGGAAAAUUUACCGAAAAUUCGGCAUAAUCUACUUUGAAAAUGGACAACCUUUACCUGAAAAAUCAAACUUAACACUUCUAUAAACCAAUAUCCAUCCUCAACACCUGGAGCCUUUCUGCUCCUCAAGUUCAACACAUCUCCCAAUAUAACAAUUACUCAACUAAACUAAUCCCACAACCGACAAUAGCCAACAUUAAUUCAUUAACUGAUUAUCAGAGCAGAUCUAAAGUUAAAUGAAAAACAAUGACUCAAGAAUAAGCGGAAGCAACUUCUGACUAUGCCUCGACUCCAUGUACGCUCGACCUCAAAUAACUUAGCCUGCAAACUGGGCGUUUAAAACCAGAGGGUCCAGGUAAUUUAAAACGUUAGAGUGAGUGGACGAAAAGUAAUCAAGUAACUGAUCGCAACAUAACUAACCAAACUUAAUUACUUUCCCAUUUUCCAAUAAUCAAGAAAUCUGUUGCAUGCAAGUGUUGGUAAAACCUUCAUAAAGAAAAUCCCAAAGAAACGGACUAGCCCCGCUAGUCAAAAUACUGACAAAGAUAAAUACUAGCCUUCAUUGAAGAAAAUACUAAAACAAUGGACUAGCCCCGCUAGUCAAAACAACAAUAAAUAAUAAACCGAUUUAACCAUACAAGUGAGCCUCCCAGACUCGGUUGCCUCCCAGGCAAAGUACUCCUAUACUCCCUACACUUUCAUGUCAUGAUAACAGAGAAGGUGCAGGGCUUGCGUGAUGUCGUCGACUACAUCACAUCACCCGAAGGCGGAAAGGGCUUGAGUAACCCCACUUAAAACGUGGAAGCUACAUCGUCUCGAAAGGCGGAACAACAUACUAGCAUGAAUAAUAACAAUCCAACAAGUAUGGCAUAAAUAAAGAAACAUAAAUCCAUGUGAGUUUCCCCGAAACUCAUAACUUAAGCAUAAGUACGAUUCCCAACCGUACUCAAAGAAUUCAAAGAGUAAAGAAAAUAAUUAAAUUCGAUGACGUGUCCCACACGUUAAAAUGCUCAAUGAAAUAAUUAAUUUAAAUAAUUUUCACCUUUCGAAAACCCGGCAAUAUGCAAAUCUGGAUAUAAUCUCAAAUCCGGAAAUCAUAAAGAAAAUCCACACUCAAAUCUCAAAUUAUCAAUCCGAGCUCAAAUCCAUAAAUUAUGACCAACAUUUAAUCCAUGCAUCAAUCUCAAAUAAUUUCCAAGAUCAUUUCAUAUGCCGAAGUUAUAUUAUAUGCUCGGAAAAUAAAUUACUAAUUUAUAAAAUCUUGCAUGCAUAUUAUUUAAAAAGUAAAAUAUCCACUCACAGAUUUUGGCCUAAGCCUGUCGAAUUCUGAAUCACCACUCAAGCGUGGUCUCCUCGAAUCCUGGCACAACAACCAUGCUUAGGACCAAACUUCAAUUCCGGAAAAUAAUAACGUGAAUAAAAAUAUCUAACUUUCUUCCGUUUAACCCACUACUCUUAUUAGGGUUAAACUCACCGGAUUCACAUCAAACUCCACCACAACCUCAAAUCAUCAAUUCUAACAUUCCAGGCUAAAUACCAACGAAAUUCAACGGCCGGAUUUUCAUUCUAAUAACCGGCAAAAUCCUUAAUCUUUUUAAAAUCUCAAACCUUAUCAAAACUCCUCAAAAAAUUCCAAACUUUACUUCCUUAAACUUCUCUCAUUAAAACAAACCCAAAAUCAUGAAAAACUGCCCCUAAUGGCGGCGGCGCCGGCUGCUGGAUUCCGGCGAACUCCAAUGCUUCUCAAAUUUUAACAGAAUAAUCCUCUUAUCAUGCAUAACAACUUAUCAUGCAUAACUAGCACUUAGUCCAAUUCUAGGGUUAACUAGGGUAAUUGAACCAAAACUUCCAUAAAUCCCUAAAACUUCUAAUUAUACAUUUCACCUUAAUAAGAUUGAAUUAGACCAAUUCCUUUUGAGGGAUUACUUACCUUGAUGAGGGCUACAAGAUGAGCCAAAAAUUCCGACCUAUGACGGCCAGAUAAGAGAACUCCGGCGAAAAGCUUCCCGGCAUCUCCGACGGGUUUUCUCCUCUCCGGUGGGGCUACCGGCUCGGACACUAGGCCGGGGAGAGAGAGGAGGUGAUGAGGGUCUAAACUGGGGUGGAGUGGUGGCUGGUGGUUGGCCGGACGGUGGCAGCUGACUUCCGGCGGAGAGGGGCUCGGGGGAAACUCACGGGAAAAAGAGAGAGAAGGAAGAGGGAGAGAGAGGAAAUAAAGGGAGGGGUUUUGGGCUGCUCCACAGCCGGCCCAGCUAUAAAACCCAAUAAAAAAAUAAUAUCUAUUAUCAUUUACCCCCUUUUACCAUCUCAAAAAUUUACUCUCUUAAAUCAUAACUUUUUCAUGCUAACUCCGAUUUUAACACAUAGCAUGUCUACGAACUCGUAAUAACGUCCCCUACGACUUUCAUGAAAAAAGUUUCCCUAAAUUCCAAAUAAAAUAGAAAGUCAACUUUAAGGUCCUUAAGUAGUAAACGGCUACUCAACACGGGAAAAGACCAAAAUAAUACUAAAGUAAAUAACCGUAAAAUAACUUAAGAACCGGGGUGUGACAUCAUACCUCACAAAAAAUAGAGAUGUAAACCUACUGUUCUCUCGUUAGAGAGAGAAGCUCUGCCUUCUCUCUAAAAUUUCAAGCUCUCUCAUCUUCCGGCCUUCCUUUUGCUUAAAUCUCCUUCACCUAGGUGGUGAUUCCUCAUCUUUGUGGUGAUUCCUCACCCCUAGUGGUGAUUCAUCAUCCUAAGUGGUGAUUUUCUCUUCAUUUUCCUCACCCUAAGGGUGUUUUGGGCUGCUUUACUUUGUAGGCUUUUUAUUGUAGUUUAAUUUAUGUUUCUCUUGUCUUGAUUUCUUUAUAAAUACUAUGAGUGACUUGUUUAUGGGUCUGCCCAUGACUUUGUUUGGACCUCCUAUUUACCUUUGGGCCUCUUAUAAAUAUGUUUCACGACCAAAAAAAAAUAUUGUUAAAACUCUCUGUUAACUGCUCACGUGGCUGUAGAGUGCACACGCAGCAGGGGGGAAAUUUGUCAUUCGCAUGUUAUUUUACAAUAAAAUAAAUAAAUCUCAUUGUUUUGCAGUCGUAAAGUGUCAAAGCAACUUAGUUCACUUCAUCCACAUGGACAUCCACCCGAACAAUUACUUUCAUGAAUUGCAAACAUUUAUACUUCUAAAAAGACUCGCACUCUGAAGAACCAAGAUGAUUAAUUAGAUCGUCGUCAGGUUGAAGAAGUGAAUAGGUGCACCCAUCGUGAUCGCCAUCAUGACCCCCUCCUCACCUCACCUUCAUUCCCCCGACAGACGUUCGACACUCCGACUAGCCUCCCAGAGAUUAGCUCCAACAUCACCAACCCUUUAAACAUUGCAUUUAUGUGACUAUCCGGUGUAUCUGAAACUUCACCUCCAUGUAGCCUCUUGUUCCUUCCAGCUUCUUCGACGUCGCCCGGCUCUCUCCGUAAAGCUCCAUCGGGCCGAAUUGUCAAAUCUUGUUAUGGACCAUGCCGAAGCUAGGUCAGCGGCGAUCUGAAGGUGAGAAAUCCAGUGGAGAUGAACGAUGUAUCUCGGGUUGUUAGAGCGGUUGUCGGAGAGCGAGGCACCGAGGAGGGAGAUGAGGUUAUUGUGGUGGUUGCAGGAGAUCUGCUAGAGAUUCCAGAUGUUGAUUAGUAGGGAUGGCAAUGGGUAGGGUAGGGUCAGGGGAUCAAAAUACCAUACUUGUACCUUUUUUUAUUUCUCAUCCACGUACCCGCCUUAUUCCCAGUAAUUAGAUAAUGAGGAUUCCCCGUACCCGUCCCAUUUGGGGAUUACAUUCCCAUACCCGCCCUGAUCCCCGUUAACAAUUAUGUAAUAAUUGAUUUUUAAAAAAUAAUUACGAAAUAUAGAAAUAUGAAAAUAAAAUCAAAUACAUAUAUAAAUAAGUUUCUUGAUUCAAUCCAACAAAAACGAAUACAAGUCACGGUUAAAAAAGAAGUUUCUAUAAAUAUUCAUGGAUUAAUUUUAGUUUACCCCCCAUCAACUUUAGGUCGAUCAUCAUGUUAGUCCUUCUUCUUUCAAUUUCAUCAAAAACACCCUCAACUCCCAAUUUUCAUCAGCCGCGCAUGUCCAAACCUCUAAUCUCUAUCAAAUUCCUCUGUCAAGUGAUGACUUGAUAUCAAGAAGAAAGAAAAAAGAAAAAAUAGACAAAUUGCAUUCAAUCAUAUCAAAAUCAUUAAGGUUAGGGGGUUAUGAUGGGAACGAAGAUGUGUAUCGAUAUGGGGGAAAAAUGGUCCGAAAGGUAACUUUUAGAAUUUGACGUUCUUUUUGAUAUCAAGUCAUCACUUGACAGAGGAAUUAGAUGGAGAUUGAAGGUUUGGACAUGCGCAGCUGAUGAAAAUUGGGAGUUAAGGGGUACGUUUUUGAUGAAAUUGAAAGAAGAAGGACUCACAUGAUGAUCAACCUAAAGUUGAUGGAGGUAAACUGAAAUUAGUCCAAUAUUCAUUAAGAAAAUCAUAGUAAAAAAAUAUUACAAAAUAUUUUACAUAAAUAUCUAUUUAUAAAUAAUAUAUAUAUAUUAAAAAUAAUAUUUACAUCUUAAAUGGGUGGGGAUGUGGACGAAUAUCAAAAUACCAUACCCGCCCCGUACCCGAUUUAAAAAUCCGAAUACUGAAGAUCCCCAUACCCGUCACUUGUUUAUCCUCGUAUAUCUCUCUCGUUAGGGUCGAAUACCCAUGAGUACCCUACCCGCUAGGGAUUAUUGCCAUCCCUAUUUAUUAGGCAGAGGAGGAGCCAAACGACGACGACAACGACAUAGCAUGGGAGGGCGUAGAUGGUUGGCAUGGGGAGGGAAAAGAGGCUGCCAUAACAAGCUUGAAGGCGACAACCAUCUGUUAAAGGAAGUUGCGCGGCGUUGCAAGAAUUUGGUGUGGAAAUGGAGGUAAGGUGAAAGGCGUUUUUUGGUGUUGGAGAGUCUGAUGGUUUUGGUGGGUCUGUGGUAGAAGGUCUGGAGGUGGGCUUGGGGACUGUGUCACCUCAUUUAAAGGAGUCAUUGUCUCUCCCAAACACGAGACAAGUCCUAUUUUCUAGGAAGCGCAAUCCAAUCCCCCUAAUCCGAGGAAGUUUAACGUGCCUUUUGAGAGACUUGAUGGGUGGGAUAAGGAUCGGCGUACUUGACAUCAAUUUGAGCGAAAGUUCUUAUAUACACCAUGAUGUAAGUAAACCGAUUAUCAUAAUAAAAUCUCAGCCAUCCAUUCAAUCUUGCUCUCAACUUGCACUAAUAUUGAUGUUAACACUGUUAACUGAGUUAAAAUUAACCAAAAAAAUCAGUCAACAUGGUAAAACACGUAAACGUUAUAUUCACUAUAUCACAUUAACCCAGGCAUUGAAUCGAGGUCGAAUGACUUCAAUAAAAAGAGCCAAAGGUCGAAGAUCAGGGCUCUAGCCUCCUCGGAUUUCAUCAUGGUGAUGACAUUUUCGGGGAAGGCGAGAAAUCACUGCUGCAGAUGAGAUUACAGAUCUGAAAACGAUGGCCGAAUCUGAUAUGGGCAAGAUUCGCAGGAAAGGGAGACGAAGGCCAAAUCUGAUAUGGCUGUAAAGAAGAUUGGGAGAUUAGGACUGAAAAUGAAUCAAUGGGUUGGAAAGGAGAUGGGGACUGCAAAUGGUUGCAUGCAGAGGGAGAAUAUGUUGUGAGGAGAAGAAGAGAGAGUUCUGGAAAGAGGAAAGGAAUUGCACCGAAGAGUUAAGAGAGAGAGGAGAUUAAAAAAAAAAAAAUUGAAGCCCCAUAACUUUUGCUACCUCGUCAAAUUAUAUGGGGUUUGGUCAAAGUCGACCACUACAACUCAAUCUCCAAUAACACGAUAACACUCACAAGACCUAAUCUCUAAUAAGUUUUUAGAUGAUAAAUUAUGUAUAAUAUUAUUAUUAAACAUUUAAUCGACCAAAAAAUAAUAUGAAUCAUUUAAAGUGAUCUAUUAUGUAAAAGUUUUAGCAACCUUAGAAUAAGGUGAUAUUAUUUUGCUUUUAUAUAAUUAUAUAUAUUAUUGUAUUUUGAUGCAUUUAAAACGUACCCGUUCUAACAAAAUUUCAAAACAAAUGCUUCCACGUUUCUAAACAGGCUACGAUGCACCGUUUUCGCACCUGAUUCCAUACAACGUAGGUUUCAUGUCAUCAAGUCAGAGUAUAGUUCACCUACACCGUCCACACGGUAUGCUAGAUGGCGUCCCCAGAGGUACUUUGAACUUCCAGAAUAGUAAAGCGGUCGACGAUGAAAUUGGCUCAGAUCCAGGUGGAGUUGAGCCAAGAGUGCCUCCAUGCCUUGAAGCAUGUGAUGGCUUGGGAAAUCGAUCGCUCUCCAAGUCUCAAGAUUUGUAAGUGAAUAUAUGAUUUAGUGUUAUUUCAACGUUGACCAUAGUGGUCAACCCUAUAUAAUAUAUACAGCCUUUCUUGGCUGCGGAAGUCCGCAUCGAAGGUUUCGGUGCGGAUUUCCAUUUUUGCACCACUUUUCGAUCGAAUUUCCUCAUUUCCACCGUUUAGUAUCUAGAUAAUAUUAUGUAGAUCAUCUCUGCAAAAUUUCAGCCAAUUUGGUGAUCGUUAAGGCUCUCAAACUCGAGUUUUUCUGGUAUNNNNNNNNNNNNNNNNNNNNNNNNNNNNNNNNNNNNNNNNNNNNNNNNNNNNNNNNNNNNNNNNNNNNNNNNNNNNNNNNNNNNNNNNNNNNNNNNNNNNNNNNNNNNNNNNNNNNNNNNNNNNNNNNNNNNNNNNNNNNNNNNNNNNNNNNNNNNNNNNNNNNNNNNNNNNNNNNNNNNNNNNNNNNNNNNNNNNNNNNNNNNNNNNNNNNNNNNNNNNNNNNNNNNNNNNNNNNNNNNNNNNNNNNNNNNNNNNNNNNNNNNNNNNNNNNNNNNNNNNNNNNNNNNNNNNNNNNNNNNNNNNNNNNNNNNNNNNNNNNNNNNNNNNNNNNNNNNNNNNNNNNNNNNNNNNNNNNNNNNNNNNNNNNNNNNNNNNNNNNNNNNNNNNNNNNNNNNNNNNNNNNNNNNNNNNNNNNNNNNNNNNNNNNNNNNNNNNNNNNNNNNNNNNNNNNNNNNNNNNNNNNNNNNNNNNNNNNNNNNNNNNNNNNNNNNNNNNNNNNNNNNNNNNNNNNNNNNNNNNNNNNNNNNNNNNNNNNNNNNNNNNNNNNNNNNNNNNNNNNNNNNNNNNNNNNNNNNNNNNNNNNNNNNNNNNNNNNNNNNNNNNNNNNNNNNNNNNNNNNNNNNNNNNNNNNNNNNNNNNNNNNNNNNNNNNNNNNNNNNNNNAGAAUGGACUCGCCGGGGAGGGAAAGUAGUCGGGGACGUUGCUGGAGUGUUCUGGGGUGGAGGCGCACCAUCGCCGGUGUCGGAGGGUGGAGAACGGACGGACGUCCGCUUCGUAUCCUUCCUGUACAUACAUUUAUAUAGAAUUUUCUUAAGUAAGGAUGUCCUUAACUUAACUGUAGUGUAGAUUUGUUUAAUUAACUUUUCGAUCAUAUUUUCUCAUCUUAACCGUUCAGUAUCUAGUAUAUAUGAGUAGAUCAUCUCUGUAAAAUUUCAGCUCAUUUCGUGAUCGUUAAAACAUUCAAAACUGUGAUUUACAACUAAGAACAUGGACGGUUCAAGUUAAAUAGAUUCAGUUCAUUCAUUGAUUUUAUAUAUUUUCAAGACUUUAACGAUUAUCAAAUUAGCCGAAAUUUUGCAGAUGAUCUACUCAUACAUACCUAGAUACCAAACGGUUAAGAUGAGAAAUUAUGAUAAAAAAAUUAGUUAAGUUAAAAAGAUAUGCACCAUAGUUAAGUUAAGAAUAUCUUUUGUCACACCCCCAAACCGAGACCAUUAUUAUAUGAAAAUAUGGUGCCCGAAUUUGCGGCGUGAGUUAAAACAAAUAGAAUUUUCUCGAAUAAUUUAUUAGAAGAAGAAAUAUAUAUGUCUGAAUAAUACUUCUAUUAGAAAGCGAAAGCAUAAAUAUUUUACAAUACCAAAUAUUUUACGAUACGAGAGUUUUAGUAAAAGUAUAUAAGACAUUACAUUUAUUCUCAAAAUAGCAAUAGAAAACAUUCUUUUAUUUAGUAGGUUCAUCCCAUUCCCCAAGCAUCUAUUCAUUACCUGAAAACAAGAAUGUGUAGCAUCAUGAGUAACACAGACCCAAUAAGUACAACUUACAUUCUUAUAAUAAUGUGUCUUAUAAGAAACCAGAAAUAAACACAACUAAGUAAAAAUGUACCAAGAAUCAUUUUGAUUUGUUCAUAUUUAUUCUUAUUUAUGCGCACACAUAUAUACAAGCGUGAAUAAAUUUAUCCAUGUGAAUGUUUAGGAAACUGGUAAUAAAUCACAAAGAUCACAUGCUAGGUCCACUAUACUAAAGCACGGAUAAGCCGCAGCAUACCAAAGACAAUACCAGAGUAUGUAUACUCAAGGUUGACACUAUCUUCCUAUGAGUAUAAUAAUGCACUAUCUGUAGGGACUAGGGCCCUGGUUAACUUCACAAAUCACAAAUCACAAAACACUUUUACCAGUAAUUCCCUUAAGCAUGGGGUAGUACUAAUCACCCGGCUUCACAUUUCCAAAACUUAAUUACGUCAAAAGAGUGUAGCAAACUUUAAGUAAGAUAACUUCUUUAUUACCAACAAAGUAUAUAAGCUUAUAUCAAUAUACUUUAAAAAUUAUAAUAACUCAAUAUAUACACAAAAUAAGCAAUUUAAUAAACUUGAAAGUAAAAGUGCAAUAAAGUAAAUGUUCUUUAAAUAAACAGAAAUAUUAGUUAGUAGUCAAAGAAUUAGUAGUCAUAUUUCCCAUAGUGAGGGAAAUCCUUGUCCAAAGAACCGUCAACUUAUCAUUUUCAUAUCUCAUUCAAUUUAUGUCCAAAUUAGGCAAGUGAGGAGUCCAUGUCGAAGGAUUUUUCGUAAGGAAUUCAAUGAGAUAAGUCAUAUAAUCCAGUUCAAAGUCAUAGAGUCCAGAAAUGGUGAAAAACAGUAGCAGUGCAGAAAGCUGAUAUCCUUUAUAUUACCUUUGAUGUCUAAGUCUUUACGUGCUUUAUAGUUUAUCAUUGCUUCUGAAACUUUCCAGAUUUAAAGUAGAGAUCCUAAGCUUCAAUUUGAUAUAAAGUUUGUAGAAAAUGGUUAAGAAAUGAGUGAGAUAUGCAUUUUUGAAGUUGUGGUAGUUGUAAUGGCUUUUCAACGAGUUUAUUAGUUUGGAAGUUUGAUUAGACAUAACUUGUUCAUUUCCAAACCCCUUUUUAAAUGAUUCAAAAGCCUAAACUGAAGCAUAUUUCAUGAAGAAUCUAAUACUGUGACCAAAUUUACAAAGUGAUAUUUAAUUAUAUACGAAAAUAUAAGUUUCUAGAAAACAUAUUCUUUUCCAUUUUAUCCUUAGUUAUGCAUUUUGAUAAUCUUAAAGACAAAAGAGUAUAGGAAUGUAAUCAUGUACUUACUCUUGAAUUUUCAGGAGUGAAGUGAAGGUUUUGGUAUUGACUCAAGGUUGGACUUCUUUGACAAAGAGAGAACUUCUCAAGAGAAAAAGAGUGAAGGGGAUAGGAUUUUGGUGUGGGAGCUUUUCUAUUCAAUUAAGGGAGUUUGUGAUCAUCUUUACGUUUGAUCUUGGAGUGUGAAGAAAAGAUGUUGCAGCUCCCAAGUAUAAAUAGGCCAUGAAGCAUGCAUUGUAAAUUAAUUUCCAGCAAUUUUAUUUGACUUAAAAGGCCAAACAUUAAAUUUGAGUGAUAGUCUAGCUAGUUAGGUUGAUUGUUCACAAAGAAAACCAAAUAGUAAGAGGGGUAAAAGAAAAAUCAGCUAGUGCAUGAAUCUAUAUAUGAGGUAUACCUUAUAUAUGUAUUGACGUGAAUCUAUAGAUACACAAAUAUUUAUAUAUGUAUAUAUAGAUAUAUAUCUACUCAAGUUAAUAAGUAAAGGAAUAUGAUGUUUUCCUUUCUUAAGAUCUUGUAAAUGUGUUAGUAAUAUUUAAGAUUAGAAUAGUAUGCAUGAUAAAAGCAAUACUAACACGAAUCUUAAAUUCAAUCACGAGUAUCGAUUGUAUGUAAGAAAUACGGGUUAAGGUAUUUAAGUAGUUUACUUAAAUUCUAAUACUUAAUAAAAAUACCUAUCUUGUAAGUAUGAUACUUGGAGUCAUUGGCUUCUAAAAUGAAUAUUUUAGAAGAUAUUUGGAUUACUAUCUAAGGUUAAAGAGCCUUAGUGUGCUAUAUAAUUUGUGCUAAAUUUCGGGGUACUACAUCUUUAAUGAAGAAGGAUUGUGUGUGUGUGUAUUUUGAGUUUAAGACUAAACACGUAGAUGGAGGCUGCAAUGGAUCAUAGCCAUUUUUUAUUUUUAUAAGAUGAAAUAGGGUGACAAUAACUGUACCCAGAUAAUCUUAAAUCUGAUUGUCAUGAAGUUGCAAUUAUUUUUCUUUUUAUAUUUUUAUUAGUAAAAAAAUCCUCAUGAAGAAUAAAGUAAUACAAUUGUUUAAUUAUUAUUUUUUGUUUAGAAUACAANGGUUAAUUUUUUAUUGUCAUCUUGGUUUCAUUUACUUUUCUACUUUUAUUUAAACAUAAUAAAAAGUUUUCUUUUUCUAGGCUAAUGUAGUUUUUCGCUCAGGAAAAAAAUACAAGACUGCACAACAAAAUAAAAAAGAUAAAAAUGUAACCAAAAAUAAAAAAAAUAAAAAAGACAAAAAGCACAUCAACAAAACUAAAAUGACCACAUCAUCUCUAUGUCUCUCUCAUGAAACCUCAGCCACACCCACAGUCCCUCUCUCACUAAAAGACCACCCUCAGCCACCCACACAAUCACCCCAACAAUCAUGAACUCAAAUGAAUCGGAUCCAUCGAGCAAGUCGAUAGUUGAGAAGAUGAUUAGGGAGAUUCACACUCAGACGGAGGAUCAGAAUUGGAAAAUUGAUCCCUUAAGGUUUAGGGGCAAUAAUACCCAGAAGAUGAAUAAAAGUUGAGUUGAGUCGAUAGUUUCUGUAAUAUAUGAAAGUGGGUUGGUGAUGGUAAUGGCUAUUUGGUCUGGGUUUGAGCCGUCAGCCGUGGGUAGGAGAUGAGAGAGCCAUUGAUGGAAGAUUCAAUAACUGAGGUAAAAUUAAACUUUUACUACACCAGCAUUUUUUGUCUCGUUUUUCAUUUUCGUUGACCGAGCAAUGAUUCAUUUAACUUUCCGUCUGAAACAAACGGUGCACGUGCAAGCCACGUGAUCGGUUCAAGUCCACGUAGGUGCACUGCAUCCGCUCCGCAAUUUGAGUUGCUGCUGGGUUGGGCCUCACGGGUGAGGCUGGUGGUGGUGGUUGGACUGAGUCUAUAGACGGUCAACAUGUGUGGUUUAGGGUGGAAACACUGAGAAAUUCUGAUGGCGGUGGUCAACCUGAGUUGCAUGGAGCUACGGUUUCUAGUGGGCUAGGUUGCUGGAUUUGGGCCUCGAGUGGGCUCACUUGUUUUAAGCCUUCCCACUGCUGGGGGCUUGGCUAGAUUAGGUCUUUAUGAUGAGUAUUUUCUAAUUUGAAUCAAGGGAAGUCUUAAUUCAUUUUGGUUGUUACUCUUUAUUCCAGAUUCUAAGAGUUUCAAGUCUGCUGAAAUAAAAAUGUUAUAAGCGGUCUUAAGAAUGUGGAUGUACUUUUGAUUGUUAAGAUCUUAGUUGCAGCUAGGUAUUUUAGUAGUCAUUAGGGGGUAAUUGUUUUUGUCCCUUGUAUUUUAUGGCCAUGAGUAUUUUCUACUGUAUUUGAUGUUUGUUCCUUGUGCGGUUCGUUGAGCAAUAAAAUCGGUUGACUUCUUGAUUAACAAAAAUGAGAAAAACUAACAAGUAUAAAGAAAACUAAAAAAAUUAAACUCUUUAUACUUCAAUCUACCAGUCACCUUUCCUACAUCAGAACUUCUGAAUAAGCUUCCUCAAUCAGCCUACAUAGAGCUUGCCGCAGUGCAACACUCUUGUCCAUUUUCUGCCGAAGAUGAUUUGUUUCCCGCAUAAGAACUAUGAGUCUUCUUUGGUACCUCAAGUAAGCCAAAUACUCUAAACGAAAACUGAGGCUGCCGAAAGCAUGGCAAGUAAACAGCUUCGGACGAGGCACGUUCCAUUUGACAUAUUGUAUAUAGCAAAGAACUGAACGAUAACGUAUAUCGUCUUAAAUUUCAUUUGUAACCGACACGUUCCAUGUUAAUGCAACUCAACAUCUUUAAAUUUCAUUUGUAUACGUUCAAUUUCCCGAGGCUUGAAACUCUAAAAUUUAAAAUUUGAAAUGAACAGGGGAGGCAUGCAAAACAUAACUCUGUAGCUUUCUAAAAUAUCCAAAAAGAAGUCGAAGAAGUCCCCAAAACACUGUUUAUUUUGUAGAAACUAACAAAUGAUCAAAAUACAGCUUUCCUUCUCAAGGUUUUAAACAGCAGAUUAUGCGGUACAGAAAACAAUUCAUAUCUGCCGUUUCAAUUAAGCUAACAAGACACUCAGAUCAACUUAUUCUUGAGGCUUUUGUAAAGCUUGGGGUCAGUCUGGUAGUAUACUAUGUCACCGGUGUCACUGACAUAGUGGUCGUUGCUCAUGCUUGCCACAAGAUUGUUGAUCAAGUGAAAUGGAAAUGGUCCGGAUUUUUUUGGCUCCCGGUAAUACUUCCCCAGAACAUGUUUCGCUGACCUGGUCUGCAAUACAAGUAUGCCAAUGCCACCAUCAGAAUUACUCAAGUAAACUGAAAUCCUAAUAGAUUGCACAUGUAAAUAGUAAAUUGAGGUGAAGGAGAACAUACUGCUUCAACUAGAUGAUAGUGUGGAAUCUGAGGGAAGAGAUGAUGGAUGACAUGGGUGCCAAUGUCAUGGUGGAUGUUGUUAAUCAAUCCAUAGUCACGAUCAACGGUUGUGAGACCUCCUCUUAGAUAACUCCACUCCUGCAAAAUGAAACCACGAGGAAAAGAAGGCUUCUUAGUUAAGUUCCAACAAGAAUCCAGCUAUAGCCUUCAAGAUAGAGAAUCGAGCACAGAUAACGUUUCCCCUUAUGACAGAACGUUUCAUUGAGGUAUUAAAUUCUUCAGUUUCAGCAAAUAAGUUAUGUGACACCAAGUAACAAUAAUUAAUUCAUGUAUCAUCAAUACCUUGCCGCGGUACCAAGGAAGUUUGUGUUCAUCAUAACCAUGGUGGUGCAAAUAUGUUACCAUAUCCAACCACAUUACGAAAAUCUGCAAGUAAACAGCCAAGACAAAAUUAGGAAAUAAUCUGUUUGACGGUACUGUUAUUAUCACGAAUAAAAUUGAACUAACCCAGUAAGGGACACCAUAGAUCUUCAAGACUUGGACAGGUCCUACUAUAACGGACAAACAGACAAGGAAGGCAAGCAUCACAGUCCAACAAACAGUUGAUGUUAUGAUAUCAUUUCUUUCAUUUGGAGCAAACAAGUCACUGUAUGGGUUGAAAUGUGAACCUUGCUUUCCUGGACUUCUUGUCCACUGCAAAUCAAUCCAGUAGAGAAAACACAUCAGACUCUGUGAACAAUAAAACAUAAACAAUCUUGAACCAAAUAUACAUAAGCUUAAUGAAAGAUGGGUUUCCUCACCAGAUAGAAAGGAUAUGCAAAAAUGGGGUAAGGCACUCUGAAUCUAAACUUUCUUGUACUUUCAUCCAAACUUGUAUAGAUCUUCUCAGUCAGCUAACAAAGAUAGCAAAAGAGAGACAGGGUUAACAACAAAUUGAAGAUUAAACAACCAAAACCUCAGCAGUAACAAUAUGUUUAAGCUAGCAAGCGCUAGCAUUGUGUGUCAAAAGAAUAAGCACAUACAGGAACCCAGGACUCAUCAUUCUCAACAUGACCAUGGUUCUGAUGGUGAGUUCUAUGGCUGAUUCUCCUGCAAAGCCAAUCAAAUCAUAUGUAAAAAACCUCAAUCUUGAACCACACAUCAACAACAUUCUCAAACAACAAUGUAAAGAUGCAAUCUUUUCAGGUAGGAAGCAUGGAAGAGUGAAUAAAAACAGAGGAACCCACCAUCCAUUAUAAGGUACAAGAAUUGCAGAAUGCAGAAAAUGCCCCACAACGUUGUUGAGCAGGCGGCUGUCCGAAAAGCUUCCAUGGCCACUGUGUUCAAUCCAAAACCAAAUACAUCAGCCAAAAAGAUGCCAUUUUUUCAAGACUCAUUUCAAUUAAACAGUAAAAAGAUGCAAUCUUGAUUCAGAAAAUGCAGAACCAUGAGAAUGAAAAACGAGGAAUUACCAAUCAUGUCCGAGAACAAAGAGAGCCCAGAACAUGGUUCCCUGAGCAGCCCAGUAGAGUGGCCAGACAUACCAAUUGUUAAAGUAAAUGGCUGCAGCUGCCAUUGCAAAUAUGACAACCAAGUCCCUCAACACAUAGCUGAAGGACCUCCAUGGGUUCUUCACCCAACAGUGUUUGGGAAUGGCGGCUCGGAUCUCAGCUAUCUUGAAUGGAGGUGGAGCACUUGGGUCGAAAUCUGCAUCGUGGUCUUCUUUGUUGUUGGGGUCGUGGAUCCCAUUGACACCCUUCAUGGGUUUGGCUUCAACACCCUCCAUUGUAGCUAAAGCUGAUUCCUUUCUUGAAGGAGGUUAACCACUUGUUCUCAAAUCUCUUUGUAUCCACUGAGAGAGCGGACAAAGAGGGCUCUAGCUGCUGCAGGCACUGGGGUUAAGGGCCUUCCUUAAUAUUUAUAAGCCGAAGGCAGAGAGAGGCAAUGAGGGGUGCACCGAGCAACGGUACACUGUUGUAUCUACACGAAUACAAAUACUCGACAAAAUCUUUGUAUCUAUUCUACGUGCGCCUAGGGCAGUUCUCAGAUACCAACUUUUUUAUACGAAGCUUCCUCCUCUCACAUUAAUCUAUGUGUUUUUCUUUCAAGAGUGUUUGAGAGAGCUUAACCUUUGAUUCAACUUCUCGGAAGAGAACGUGAAACAAGGCUAAGGGGAUCGGAGGGUUUUAGUUUUAGUUUUUCUCGGUUUUGAGAUGCAUAUGGAAGAGAGAUUUAGAAUGAUUCAACUUCUCAGAAUAAGUUAUAAUAAAUCCCGAAACGAUCGACGAAUUAUGAUUAUAUUUUUUUAGUAACAUGUUUUUUUUUAUCGUAAUUACAAUAACUAAACAAGAAAAAUAGUUUUCUUUGCAAUGUAUGUACAAAACUUGGAGGAAUCUACGGAGGGAAUGAAGAUCCAUACAACAGUUUUUGAUUUUCUAGACAGCACCUAUUGAUCACCCUAGUGAAUGUGUGACACCAAAGAGAAGAGUAAGAAGAUGCAUACAACAUUUCAUGUUUUCCUAGGGCACCUAUUCGACACCCUAUUAAAUGUGUGACACCAAAAUGAAGACCAAGAACAUAUGAAUACAAGAUCUUUUGGGUUUUCUAGAGCACCUAUUGCUUAUCUAUUGAAUUUGUGACACCAAAAUAAGGACCAAGAAAAAUCAGCAAGUAAUUCUUGACCUUUUGCUAGAAGCGUAAGACUUGGCCAAAUGUGAGUCCAUAAAAGUGACAAAACACCAAACCAUGUGAAUUGAAGGCCAGCUGUGGAGGGGUGACCAUACAAGCCUUACUAAUUUGGUCCAGUAUUACCCAAAAACGAAUAUAUGUUGGAAAAAUAGAAGGAGCCUAGGAUCAAAAACAAAUUAAUUUGUCUUAUUGAUGUUUUCCUUUUAAACUAUUAGCUACUAUUGCCUGAAAGAGCUAUUUGUAUGUAAAUUAGAAAGUGGUACUGGGAAAAAGUAUGAAACGGAUGAAUGAAAAAUGGUGUGGCCUGGAAAUUUUCUAUUCAGUCGGACCACAUAUUUAUCAAAGAUAGACACAAUUUCAGGAAUUCUCAACAGUCAGUUAUGCCAAUUUUUAUGGAUUCUGUUAUUGCAGACCAAGUUUUUUCGGAAACUUGUUAAAUCUUGGUCUGUGGUACAAUGUACCCUUUCAUAAUGCUUUGAAAUGAGGAAACAUAAAUAGGAAAGUUUCCUAGACUGUGUUUAGAUUUGUUGUUCCAAAAAAUUUCUUUGUUGUAACGAAUAGGGAUGGCAAUGGGUAGGGAUGACAAUAAUCCCCAGCGGGUAGGGUACUAGAUGUGGCAAACGGGCCGGCCCAGCCCGCCUAAUUGGGUUUCGGGCCGUGUUUGGACUGGCCCACGACGGGCCACUUUUUAACGGGCUCGGGCUUGGGCCGACCCAUUUACUCAAAUGUAAAGCCCAGCCCGACCCACGGCCCAAGCCCAUAACAUGGUGGGCCGUGCUCGGGCAGGGCCGGCCCGGGCCCAUGAAUGGGCCGUGUCGGGCCCGUUUCGUGUCGAAAAUUGAAAAUGGUCGUGAUGAAUGUCCUAUACCACCGCUUCUACUCUUAUAAUCUCAACUUUUAAUUAUACAUGAUACGAUUACAAACCAAAAUUAAAUCACAUAAUCUAUCGAUCAUUUUUUUCUUUGUUAACAAACUAAAGAAAUAAAUGAUAAAUGCUUACAAUUAAUAAAUUUUUAGGCAAAAACUUCUUAUGAGUCUAAGGGAAUACAAAUUCAUACUCAAAUAAAUAAUUAUUAGUAUAUAAGUAUAUUGUUCACACUCAAAACUAAGUUUAUUAUUUAUAAAUAUGUUAUCUUCAUAUUUAUAAAAUUAUAUUUUAUAGCGGGUCGGGCCGUGGGUCUCAUAUUAUCGUGCUUGGGCCGGGUUGGGCCUAUAACGGGCUCAGGCAGGGCCGGGCCUAUGGGCUCAUUUAUCUAAGCCCAGCCCGACCCAUUAGAAUAACGGGCUUGGGCCGUGCCGGGCCGCUUUUAAACGUGCCGUGCUCGUGCCGUGCCCGUGCUUAACAGCCUGUUUGCCACCUCUAUAGGGUACCCACGGAUAUUCGACCCUAACGAGGAAAAUAUACGGGGAUAAACGGGUAACGGGGAUGAGGAUCUUCAGUAUUUGGAUUCUUAAAUCGGGUACGGGGCGGGUUUGAUAUUUUGAUAUUCGUCCCCAUCCCCACCCAUUAAGGAUGAAAAUAUUAUUAUAUAUAAUUAUAUAAUUUAUUAUAUAUAUAUUUAUAUAUAAUUUAUAAAUAGAUAUUUAUGUAAAAAAAUGUGAUUCUCUUAAUACUUUAAUGGAACUUCCUUUCUAUUAUAUUUUUUUAUUCUCUUAAUGAAAAUUUUACACCAAAAAGAUUGUUUAUUAAAGUAAUAUAUAGAAAACUCAAACUCAAAUCUCAUACGAUCGAGCAAAUCCUAUAGUUUAAAGCAAAAUUAUAUAAACAAGUUGUUAUGUUGCAUUAAGCAUGCAUGCAUUGUGGAUUUUUUUGUCGAAUGCAUUGACAUUCAAUUACCGGUAUUAUUCUUUUUAAGCGAGACUUGUAUUUAUUUUUAUUGGAUUGAAACAUGAAAUUUAUUUAUUUUGGUAUUUGAUUUUAAUUUCAUACUUCUAUAUUUCAUUUUUUUUAAAGAAAAAAAAGAAAGAAAAACUAAUUUAAUACAUAAUUGUUAAUGGGGAUCAGGGCGGGUAUGGAAACGUAAUCCCCAAAGAGUACAGGUACGGGGAAUCCCCAUUAUCUAAUUACGGGGAUGAGGACGGGUACGGGGAUGAGAAAUGUAAAAAGGUACGAGUGUGGUAUUUUGAUCUCUUGACUCUACCCUACCCAUUACCUUACCUUACCCAUUGUCAUCCCUAGCAAUGGGUAGGGUAGGGUCAAGAGAUCAAAAUACCACACUCGUACCCUUUUUCAUUCCUCAUCCCCGUAAUUAAAUAAUGAGGAUUCCCCGUACCCAUCAUCUUUAGGGAUUACGUUCCCAUACCCGCCCCAAUCCUCGUUAACAAUUAUGUAAUAAUUAAUUUUUUUAAAAAGAUUACGAAAUAUAGAAAUAUGAAAAUAAAAUCAAAUACAUAUAUAAAUAAGUUUUUUAAUUCAAUCCAACAAAAACGAAUACAAGUCUCAGUUAACAAUGAAGUUUCUAUAAAUAUUCAUUAAGAAAAUCAUAGUAAAAAAAUAUUUCAAAAGAUUUUACAUAAAUAUCUAUUUAUAAAUAAUAUAUAUAUAUAUUAAAAAAUAAUAUUUACAUCCUAAAUAGGUGGGGAUGGGGACGAAUAUCAAAAUACCAUACCCGCCCCGUACCCGAUUCAAAAAUCCCCAUACCUGUCACUCGUUUAUCCCCGUAUAUCUCCCUCGUUAGGGUCAAAUACCCAUGGGUACCCUACCCGCUGGGGAUUAUUGCCAUCCCUAGUAACAAAGUUUUAUAACUGGUAAAGAAGUAAUUAGAAGUCAUUUUCAAUAAAUUAAUGAGAGAUCGUGUAAAGAUGAGAUAAUCUCUAAAAUCAAGAGAAGAGCUAAACCGGAUAAUAAUCCCCUAAGGGAAAUCACAAGAAUAGAAAAAGCAACAAAAAAUAGAAGAAAAAAAAAAAAAAAAAACUCUUCAUGACUUAGAGGUAAAUUGUGUACUCUUACCAACUCGACCACACGUGGUGUUUGAGUUUCGCAAUUUAUAAUCGCAUGUGUUGUCAUUCAACAAUGUUGAUUGCAUACGAAAAAUGCACGAAAAGUUUCACACUUAAUUUCUUAUCAACUCAACCACACGUAGUGUUUGAAUUUCAUAAUUUAUAACCACUUGUGUUGUCAUUCCACAAUGUUGAACUACACUGGUUCUUCGAAAAGAAAAAUGUUGAAGUAAACUAGCAAUAUAUGUUAGAGGCAACAUCAUCAUUAGGGUCUGCGAUUACACUUUUCCACUCUGGUUAUUUCUAUUUCAAGUAUGAUAGAAAAAAUCGUACUACCGACUGGACCAAAAAAUCAGAAACUUAAAAAAUGGUUUGAAUGGUUCAAUAGUGCAUUUUUAGAGUACUGAAUGACCAAAAGGAGGCUUUUGAUGAAAUGAAGGAAUGAAAACUCUGGUCAUUAGAGCAAGCUGUGGCCAAUACCUGAGGACCAUGAUGGCUGCAACUUUCACGUUCUAAAAAGACAGAUAUUUAGUUAAAGAAUAAUAACUUUAAAGGCUGCCUCCAAAUAAGAGAACCUACCUAAAAGGAGAGGCAAAGGCAAAGACAUAGGAACUUGGGCAGUGGGUAUGCCUUGCUUCAAUUUCAAGUAUGGCAGCUUUGCUAUGCAGUUAUUACCAUUUGCUCAGACAUUUUUACAGAAUCCACUUGGAACAAAGUGUUGUGGAGGUUAAAUGGAAUAGGCUCUCUUCUCAAUAAUCGAUCUUUCCCUUCUCAAGUGCCAGAAGAAGAAAAUCAUCAGACAACAACAAGUGGGUAAUUGAGUGAUUAAAUUAGGUGCUAUUAUAUAGCUUUGUAUCCGUUAAAUCUGUAAGUUGGAGAUAAGCGGACUCAAACCGCUGACAUCCAUCACAGGGUAAAUUACCGUUUCACAGACCUUUGACUAAUUCUACCAUAGAUGCCAAUGAUAGACAAUAACCCCCCCUCUCGAACACAGCUUAUAACUUUCAUUAUAUUGUGCUCUCCUGUUAUUAGCAAUGGCGGACCCAUGAUUUUAUAACGAGGUGGGCCAGAAUUUUUUUCUUCUAAUGAGCGUGUAUAUUCACGUAAAAAAUGGAUUAAGAUAAAUAACAUAUGGAUAAAAUUUGAAAAUUUGAGGUGGGAUAGAAUUUUUUUUCUUAUGAACGUGUACUAAUUUACCUUAAAAAUUGACCAAGUUUAAUAACAUAUGGGCUAAAUUUGAAAAUUUGAGGUGCGCUGGUACUUAAAUUUUAGUUUUUUGAACUAAAAUUUAGCUAGAAAUUAUUGUUUUUUAAAAACUUGGGAUGCGCUGUAGCCCAUUGAAACCCGUGUGUCGGUACGUCUUUUAUUAUUAGAAAAUUUUCUUGUACAUAUACUUGAAAAUGGUAAGCUGAUUUAUACAUGUAUAUACAUAUCUCUAUACGGGAGCAACAAAUAGACGAAGAACUUUAUACACUGGUUCGUGCUAUUUGCGACAACUUGUACCAGUCCUCACGUUGGGAUUAAUUAUUUCCUGGUAAAUCUGAUUUGUAUGUUUUUGAUUUUUAUUUUGGCUACAUGAUUUGUAUGUUUUUGGUGUACAGAAUGGAAAGAAUGCAAAUCAAAUACGGAAGUGCAUUGUUUUAAAUAGUAAUUUCAUACCUGACGCACAAAUUCUUAGUUACAAAAAUGAUUCUUCACUGUUCUUCAUUAUCACGCUCAUUAUUUUAUUCAGUUUUAUUAAGAACGAUAAAACUUUAUAUUAUAACAAUUUACAAUAAAACCAACGAUACAAUCAAAAGAAAACUCUUAAACAAAUACAAAACAUCAUAUAAAAAGUAAUUAAAGAAAGAGAAGAACAAAGAACAACAACAAGGUGUCUCUAAUUCUCCACUCUCUCCCCUGACUCCCUUAUUCUCUUCACCUCUAUGAAGAGAAUGACUCUCCAUCUUUCAAACUUCUCAAGCUUGAUAGCUAAAGUCUCUAUCCAUAAAUGCUUCCAUACAUAGCUUUAUUCUCUCAUUUUUCAUGUGAAUGAAGAGAAGUUAUGUACACAAUCUUUAAACAAUUGAAGAUUUAGUUCCUAUAAUCAUGUUUGCUUGCUUAUUGCCUCCUUGUUUCAUGGUAUAUAUAUAUCCUUGGAAAUUCUUCAUACUCUCUUCCGUUUGUAUCAAUGCAUCUAUAUACCUAUGAAUCAAACAAGCAAAAGUGAAUUCAACAAUUGAGUCAUGAUAAUAUUUCCACACAUCAUACUUAAUGCAUUAGAAAAUAAUCCACAAAUUUAACAUAUGCAUAUAUGCAUACAUGCUACUAGAAUAAGAAAAACAUGUGUUGCAAUUAUUGAUCUAAUUAAAAAGGAAAAUACUCGUGUUAAAACAAAUACUAAAUUUACUAUAUGAAAAUAGAUAACUUGCUUUCACUUUUAUUUAUUUUAGACACACUUGUAAGAACACAAAAACUGACCAAAUAAUAAAAUUCAAUAAAAAAUUACUAACAAAUAUAAAUCAGGGAUAAUAAUAUGAUAUAAAAUGUGUUCAUCAGACUACAAGACAACCAAAACCAAAAAACAAAAACUAAAAAAACCAAGAGAAAAGAAAAUAAAAAUAUAAAACUGAAACUUAGACGCCCACCUAAAAAGGGCCCAGGCCCCAUCCAUCCUACUAGAUCUCAAAAAGGAGGUUACCAGAAGCCCAACCCAAAAAAGGCUGCUGCAAUCUAAAUGCAGAGACCACUACCACGCCACCGCCUUCGAUCGCCACCCAAAGGAGCACUAUUCGCGAACCACCAUGAAGAGGCAGCAUCACCCAUCCUUCAAGAUCGGUAUCAAAACGGGAAAUGACGACCAAAACCAAGAAUGACUGGGCUAGCCGUCACCGCCGCAGUUUCCCCAUCACCACAUUACCACUGCAUCUCGCCUUAACACAUACACAGCUAGGAUCGCCGCCCUUGAUUGACAACAAGACCUCCUCGUUGACGCAACACCGCUUUGCAUGACAGACCCAAUAAUUGAACUCAAUCCGCACCUAUGAAACUCCUCCUCCUAUCAAUCCGCCGCCACCAGUCGACAAGGCUAGGCCACCAACUGGCCGCCAUCAGCUCCCGUCCGACGACAACAUCAUCAUACGUGUCGUCAGACGGACGUAGAAGAAUUUUUCAAAAACCCUAAAAGCACCUGGUUUUACGGAGAGAAAGGAAUAUAUUCACUAUUUUAUUCAGUUGUAGAAGCAUAUUGAGGAGAAAUUUUUGAAUGCUACCGGAGGACCACCUGGCUGUCUGACGUGGUCCUCAUUCCCAAUCAAAUUUUGACACGUAAAUUUUUUACAACUAAAAUAAAUUAAGGUUUUCUAUUUUUUGUGAAAUGACAUUCAUCGGUCUUUGGUGAGUUUGGACUAUGGUCUAGGGUUUAAGAUUAGGGUUUAGAGUAUAGGGUAUAAGGUAAGGAUUUAGGAUUUUGAAAUGCAACAAGAAACCCAAAAUGGUUUUUGACAAAAUAGCUGAAAUAAUUUUUUGUUAAGAAAAUCUACAUGUCAAAAUUUGAUUGGAAGAAAGACCACAUCAGACUGUCACGUGGUCCUCCCGUAACACUGAAAAAUUUCUCGCAUAAGUUUAUAAUAUAUCUUUGAUUUUAAUUUGAUUCAGUAAAUUGCAAACUACUUGAAAACAACAUAAAUGGUUACCUAGUCAGUCGUUGACCAAACAAAUUAUGUUCAACCACCAUUGGAUGCAAAUUCAAUGGUGGAGAGAAUUACUACUUAAUUGAUUUGUUUUCUUAUGGAUUUUCAUCUAAUGAUGAUUGAACAUAAUUUCUUUGGUCAACAGCUGAACAUGGGAACACUAUUGAUGUGGACAAUGUGUCCUUUAUGGAGUAAUUUUUAGAAACUUCAGUAAUGUUCAAGCCUUCACGGUAGCAAUUGAUCAAAUUAAUUAUAGUCAGUCACAUUUAGAUUUACAUCUAAUAGUGGGGAAUUAAAAAACUAAACUUCAAAUAAUUCUCUCUACCCUUAGAUGUAAUACAAUGGUCAAUCUCAACCAUCCGGUGAAAAUCAGGUAUAUGGGGUUUUAAAUCAAAAGGUCUCAGUAUUAGUGUUACAAUGGUCAAUCUCAACCAUACGGUGAAAAUCAAGUAUAUGGGGUUUUAAAUCAAAAGGGUUUUAAAUCAAAAGGUCUCAGUAUUAGUGUUACAAUGGUCAAUCUCAACCAUCCGGUGAAAAUCAGGUAUAUGGGGUUUUAAAUCAAAAGGUCUCAGUAUUAGUGUGUCUCAGUAUUAGUGUGUGUGUGUGUGUUAUAUCAUUCCUUAUAAAUCAAGGAUGACUCUUCAUGUUUCUGAUGUGAGAUUCGAAAGGGCUCUAAUCUAUAUAUCUAUAUAUUUAAGCCAAACUUUUUUCAACAAUCUCCACCUUGGCGUGAUUCGAGCCAUCUCUAAAUGUCUCACGAUCCUAGUCUCAAUAGCUCAACCUUAAUCACAAGCAUAAAAUUCCAACUCAAUAACUCAACCUUGAAUCCUUAAUAACAAGCCUCAAAUUCCAAAUCUUGUGAUCCUAAUCCAAACAAGAGCUCCACCAAAUUGCAACUCGAUCGUACGAGACACUAAGUCCCAAGUGUAAGCUGGGCUCUGAUACCAUUUGUUAGGAGAAAGCAGUUGAAGGGUCCCACACACACUAGUCCAAUAAUGCCGAUACUCUUCCCAUUUUAGCCACCAAAUAGAGAUCGGCCAUGAGGCUUUAAUACAAAAAACAUCGGCAUUAGUGUGUAAUAUCAUUCCUUAUAACUCAAUGAUUGAGUUUUCAUAUUUUUGAUAUGCAAUUCAAAAAGGGGCUUUAAUCUAAGCCACAUUUUUUUUUCCAACAAUAGGCUCGCUUUAAAAUAACGCGAGCUAAGAUGUACUAAGUGACAUGUGUUAUACUUCAUUGAUCGUACUUCAUGAUCAUAUAUAUGGUAUAGAGACCUGUUAAUGGACCGGAUCACUUAUAGUCGUUUGAAUUAUAAUUUCGGACAAUAAUUGCUAUGUUAAUGCAUCGAAUAUGUUAAUGACCAUCCCAUGUCUAAUUGUAUAAUUACUUAAAUUUUAUUUUGUUUGUCAAUACAAUACUUUGGUUACCUUAUUUGAAACUCUAAUGCUAGCUCGAUCUAAAGUCGCCACGGGUUCUAGAGAUUCUAUCGCCAAUUCCCAAGUCCCAGUCAAGGUUCUAAAAAACGCUAGGCACUAGUCGGGCGGACAGCCAGCGCCUAGCGCCCAGAGAAUUAAUCGGGCGCCUAGGCGGUUUUUUAUUUUCUAUAACUUUUAUUUGUUUAAUUCAAAUAAUUAUAUAAAUAAAAUUUAUAAAAUCAUUAUUAUGUUCUAAAAUAGCAAAAUACUUCAAAAAUAGACAAAAUGUUCAACAACAAGGUUCUUAGAAAUUAUAAAAAAAACAAUUUGAAAGAAACAAAUUAGAUUCUUACUAGCCUAUGCCUCAAAUUCUUCUUCUCCAUAUCUCUCUUGCACUUCUUCUGUGUCGGUCUCAAACUCAAAGUCUAUUUCAUCUUCUUCCUCUUCAUCCGAUAGGUUAAAAAUAGGUAAAAAAAAAAAAAAACCCAUAAUAGGGGCCAGCAAAAACAAAGAAAAAAAAAAGCAUAAUUGGGCCGCCCAGCCCGCCCAGGCACCGCCCAGCUUGCCUAGGCGGCCGUUUUUUGAGCUGGCGCCCAGUUUCGACGAUUUGUGCAAAAUCGGAACGGUCCCCUGCCGCCCAACGCCUAGGCGGCCCUGGGCGGCGUUUUUUAGAACCAUGGUCCCAGUUAAUAAUAAAGAGAAUGGGAUUGACAUUUUCUGGGUAUCGGGAGUGGUUUCAAUCCUUAGCGUAUUGGAUAUAAAUGAAAAUAAAGAACACAACAAUUUGUUUACUCAGUAAAACCUCAAUUUGAGGAAAAACAUUGUUGGGGCUUUGAGUUCAAAGCCCUUAAUGAAAACAAAAAUUCACUAUAAAUGAAGAACGAGUCAAUUAUAAACUAUGUAGCACUGAACGCAGCUACUAUCUCUACAACCCUAGCAGAUAUGUUUGAAGCAUUUUUCUUCUUCAAUCUCCAAGGAACUAACCACAUCCUUGAUCCUUCAAUCACAUAAACAAAAAGUUCAACUUAACACAAAACAAUUGAACUUCUGACCUUACAAACUAUCUCUACAACCCUAGCAGAUAUGUUUGAAUCAUUUUUCUUCUUCAAUCUCCAAGGAACUAACCACAUCCUUGAUCCUUCAAUCACAUAAACAAAAAGUUCAACUUAACACAAAACAAUUGAACUUCUGACCUUACAAAGUUUUACAGCAUAAAUACUAUCUCUCAAACGAGAAAUUUUUCUGUCUUCCAGGAGAACCACGUGUCAUGUUGAUAUGGUCCUCCCUACCUAUAAAAAAACUGACAUGUGGAUUUUCUCAAUUGAAACAUAAAUUGUGCAAUUCUAUUAUUUUGUGAAAUUACGUUUAGAUCAACCUCUACUGCUGUGAGAGCAUCUCCAAUAGCUUCCCCAAAAUUUCUAUAAAAUGGGGAAGCAAGAGCUAAAAUCUCUAAAAAAAUUAUGAUCAAAAUCCAGCAGCUUCUCCAUUUUAGAGAUUUCAGCAUUUAACACAACAAUAAAAUAUAAUAUAUCAUCAUUAAUUAUAACAAAAAAUAUUAUAUAUUUCAUUGUAACAAUAAACUACCCAAUAAAAUAUUUUAUUGUUGUCUUAAAUUCGUUGGAGCACGUGAAUAAUUUAAUUUUGGGGAAGGAAGACUUUGCUGCAAAUUUGGGGAAUGAAGUCUUCUUUUUCUUCUUCAUCCCCAUUUUGGGGAAUGGGAUGGGGAAGCUGUUGGACUUAAAAAUAGCUCUAUAUUCCCCUAAAUUCUAUAUUCCCCAAAAUUAAGAAUUUCAAGAAAAUGGGGAAGCUGUUGGAGAUGCUCUAAAGAACUUGUAUAACUCAGAUCUCGAUCUACAUAUAUGAAUAAUGAAUCCUCUUGUUCUUAAGGUUAUGGACAAUAUGCAUGAACCAAAUUCCAUUUAGUUUUUUUGUACUGCUAUGUCUUUUGCUAUUUCUCCUUGCAAAUCCCCACAAAUUCAUUAAUGUAAGCUUUCGAAUUGAAAUCCGAAACACAAAACAUUGAAGAUUUGAACCUGCGAUCUGGCUUAUCAUUUUAGUACAUGUCGAUCUCAUAAUUGCACAAGGACGACAAGGUGAUUGCACAAGGUGAUGCAUUUUUCACUAGGAGAUAAUAGAUGUUAAAUUGUUAAUUAACCAUAUAUUUGCAAAACCUCAUAUGAUUGCAUAAUCUGGGCUUUCCUUUCGUCUGAGUUUUAUUCUUAUGGAGAGCAACAUCUCAAUUAACAAGAUCAAUAAAUCUCAUAAUUGCACAAUGAUGAGGAAAUUUUUAUUUGAUAUCUCUUAAUCUGAAAUUAGUUGAAUUCUUUUUCAUAGUGGGUUUAUAACUAAAGAUUUUACAGAUAAGCAAAUUAUUGUUCAUAUGAGAGAGAAUUAGGAAAAGAGAAAGAAGAGAUAACAUCGGGAGAUGGAAUGAAGAAGAAGAUCCUAAAUGUUAUUUCACAAAAUAAUAGAAUUGCCUAAUAUAUGUUUUAAUUGAUAAAAUCUCCGUGUCAGUUUUUUUAUUAGUAAGGAGGACAAUAUUAGCAUGCCACGUGGUCCACCCGAAGGACAGAAAAAUUUCUCCUCUCAAACGCAAUGCGUGCAAAGGUAGUACUCUGAUUAAUCAAUAAACAAUCACAAAAUUUUACAAAGUUUUGCAUGUAGUCUGUGCGUCUUUUAUAUAUCUUCAAUAUCCUUGUGCGACUCUAACCUAAUUAGAAAGAUUAAUCAAUAACAAUCACAUUAAUCAAAUAUAAUAAAAUCUUCCUAAUGUAAUCUGAUUAAUGAAUGAAAACCUAAUGCCCUAAGUAUCUAGUCUCACGCAAAACAGAAUGUUAGGAGUUUGAUUACCAUAUUAAUACCAGCCAACUCAAAGAGAUCCUAAUCAUAUAGGACUUCAACUAGCACGUCCAAUAUAGCGGGUCAAAUCCAAUAAUAAUUAUCAAACAAAUCAAAUCAUAUAUAUAAUUAAAGGGUGCGGCUAUUUCCACCCCACUAAAUGCUCAGUUCACCCCACGUCUUAUAUUUUAUCUUUAACGUUCCAAUUUUGUCCUUAAAUUUUGUGGUUUUUAUUUUUUUCUUUUAUUUUCCUGAAUCUGAUAAAAUCUAAAAAUAUUUACAAAUAUAUCAUCANNNNNNNNNNNNNNNNNNNNCUAUAUUUGAAGCCAUAAAUGAAAUAAAAAUAAGAACGACCAAUCACACCACACAGUAUAACCACCCUGUUGAAGAUUGAAGAGAUUUUCAAAUCUGAUUUGAAAGAUGUAGAGAAUUUGUUUUUUUUUUUUUUUUUUCCGAUGUAAAUAUGUAGAGAAUUGUUGUUGUUUAAAUUUUAUAGAUUUUAGUUUAAUAUUAUAUUUUCACAAAAAUUCUUGAUUAUGGGGUUAGUAUUAGAAUAUUUAGUUUAAAAUUGAAAUGUGGGGUGAACAAAAUAUUUGGUGGGGUGGCAAUCGCCGCACCCAUAAUUGAAUCAAUACUCAACAAUCAAAUAUGGGUCUGGUUCCUGGGACAUUAUAUUUGACACUAAUUUUGAUAUCGUUUCCUGUCCAUUAGAUUUUAAAAAAAAUCGAUGGACUAGAUCAAUUGUAGAUAUGAUGUCAACUUAUAAAAACUGACGUGGCAAUUGACGUGGCAUUACUUAUUUUAUAACAAAUCAAAUCAAAUUAAAAAAACAAAAUCAAAACCUAAAAUCUGAAAAUCAAAUUUGAUCGCGAUAAAAAGAAGAAGAAAAAAAAAAAAAAAAAAAGAACGACAGCAGAAGACCAGAAGAAUACAGAUCAAGAGAAAGAAGAGAGCAGACGAGCAAAGAACCAAGACACUCAAAGCAUCUUCUCCGGUCUCACAUCUUUAUACUUUCGACAAAAUUAGGGUUUACUAUAAUUGGUUUUAUUGUUUACGGAAACGAAACCAAAUUGCCAUUGAUCUUUCGACCAAAAAGAAAAAUUGCUAUGGAGAGCUGUAUGAUUUGGUCCAUGGAAUGAUACGGUAUGAAUUAUAUUGUAUAAUUUGUUUCCGUAGUCAUUGGUCUAUGAAGGUUUUAUAUAUUACAGCUGCAACUUUAUGAUUUGAAUAGAGUACAAAAACUAAGCAAGUGGAGAUAAAUUUUAAAGAAGGAUAUGCAGAAAGAGCAGUAAGCCUUGAUGUCUCAAAUCAUAAACCAGUAGCUAUUCCUUUAAUAUAUAUAUAUGAUUCUGGCAAUCAUUAUAACUAAAUUUGCAUACAACUUGAUCAAAGCGUCUGAUAUCUCCAACGUUUUUCUUUAAAUGUGUUGUUAUCCAAUUUGUUUAAUGGAUAUCUAUGAUCAUGUAGUGUUGUUCAGGUUGGAAUCAAUGGACUUGACGAUAGAAGAUGACAAUCUUGAAUUCUCGUUGAACCAAGCAUCCAUUGAUAAAGCAAGUGAUCACAAUUCUCAAGAGAAAGAAGUCCGAAAACUAAAAUCCCCUUAUGUUGGAAUGAUUUUUGAAACAUUAAAUGAGGCCGGACAAUAUUAUGAAGCUUAUGGUCGACAAGAAGGUUUCUGGACUCGUAUCCGAAGUUCAUCAAAGUAUAGAUCACAGUCAAACGAAGUGACAUGUAGAUUAUUUGUCUGUGCACAUGAAGGUAAACAUGUCAUGCAAACUCAAAAAGAAGAUGAUCUGACAGAGAAAGACGAGAUAUCUGAGAAUGAUGAGGCAGAAACAUGUGAUAUACAGAUUGAAAAGAAGAGGCGUAGAAGUUGUUCAACUGUUAAAUGUGGGUGUGAGGCUAAUAUGCGAGUUCUUCAUGACAAAUGGACUAACAGAUGGAAAGUUUCAGUUUUCAGUGACAUCCACAACCAUAAAAUAGUGUCACCAGCUCGAAGAAUGAUGAUGAAGUCGAAUAGACAUAUGCCUGAUGCAGCAAAAGAUUUAACAGAAGCUUUUCAGAGAGAAAACUUACGAAUUAGUAAAGUUCCUUCAAUGUUUGGUGGUGCUCCUAAUAUUGGUUUUGACAAUAGGGACUGUUAUAAUCAUUUAAGGAAUGUGAGACACAAAGAGUUGGAAUCUGGAGAUGCACAAUCAGUCCUCAAUUACUUUAGAAAAAAGCAAGCAGAAAGUCCACAAUUCUUUUAUGCUAUCCAGUGUGAUGAAGAUGGUAAAGCAACUAACUUUUUCUGGGUGGAUUCUAGAUCAAGGACGGCGUAUCAGUAUUUUGGGGAUGUAGUAACAUUUGAUACAACAUAUCGGACAAACAAGUAUGACAUGCCUUUUGCGCCUUUUAUGGGAGUUAACCAUCACUUCCAAUCUAUACAAUUUGGAUGUGCUCUUUUACAAGAUGAGACCGAGUUGACAUUUUUAUGGUUAUUUGAGACGUGGCUUGAAGCUAUGGGAGGUCGAUAUCCGUCAUCUAUUAUCACUGACCAAGAUUUGGCAAUGAAAGGAGCAAUUGCAAAGAUUUUUCCUACUACUCGUCACCGUCUUUGCAUUUGGCAUAUAAAGAAGAAGUUUGGUGAAAAGUUGUCACAUGUAUAUUAUCAAAAGUUCAACUUCAAGACUGGCAUGAAAAAGUGUAUACGGGCAACAUACAAAGCAACCGAUUUUGAAGAGCAAUGGAAAAAGUUGAUUGAGGAGCAUGAUUUGGGACAGAAUGAAUGGCUACAACAAUUCUAUGAAAUCCGUGAAUCUUGGGUUCCAAUAUAUAAUCGCAGUAUAUUUUUUGCUGGAAUGAAUACAACAGGGCGUAGUGAAGACACUAAUGCAUUUUUUGAUGACUUUGUUACUUCAACGACAAAUCUAAGAGAAUUUGUUGUCAAGUAUGAACAAGCCUUACAGAAGAUUGUUACAAGGGAAAGCAGCGAAGAUUUUAUAUCAGAGCAUAAAUAUCGUAUUGUAGAUGAUGAUGACUUCCUUUUGAAACAUGCAGCACAAGUGUAUACCAGAAAUAUAUUUGAAAAAUUCAAGAGCGAAUGGACUAGAGUCAAACGGCUUAAAGUUGAAGAAAGGGGUUCUGACAGUCAGUUUCAUAGAUACUCAGUGAUGAGGAAAAUUGAUAACUCGUAAGAGUUUUUGGUGGAGUUGAAUUUACAAACGCAUGCGGGUAAAUGUGAAUGCCAAAAUUUUGAAUAAUUUGCUGGCAUAUUAUGAAAGUAUUUGUUCGUCAAGACAUUGAUACAAUACCGUCCCACUUUAUUCUUUCAAGAUGGAAACAAGGAGCAAAUAAGUUUAGAGUUACGGAUUCUGAAGCCUUGGUACAGAAUGAUGGUAAAGAACAAUCAGAAGCAUUGAGAUUUAGUCACAUGUGUCGGAGAGCCACUCAACUAGCUUGUUAUGCUGCACCCUCUGAUGAGGCAUACACAAUUUUCUUGGAUGGUUUAGAUGAAUUGUCAAAAAAAAUUUCAGAGAUAAAUAAGGUGUCACAAGAAGAUGAUAUGGAGUAUCAAGAUAAUGUUGUCCAAGGUGAAGCAGCAAAUAAAUGUACCAGUAAGUCCUCUGGGCCAUUGCUUUUGGAUCCAAAUAUCUCAAAGACUAAGGGUAGAAAGAAGGAUGAGAACAACAGAAGAAUAAUAAAAAGUUCUAAGAGGAUAAAAGGGGGUAUGGAGUUGGCUCAAAGUAAGCAGAGAAAGUGUACAAUAUGCCAACAGUCAGGACAAAACACUAGUAGAAAAAAAGGCUUAAGCGACGGGUACUUUCAUAUUUUGUCGCUUAAGCAAUUCCUAAGCGACGAAAACGGAUAUCAUCGCUAAAGAUACUUUUUUCGUCGCUACAAUUUUCUGGGGCGACGAAAUAUUUUUGUCGCUUAAGAUUUGUCGCCACAGGUCCUAAUAAGGCGACAACAAGGAUUUUAUCGCAAAAAAUUUAUGUAGCGACAAAAAUUUAACGCUUAAGCGACAAAUUAGUUUGUCGCACGAUAUCAUUACCCUAACUGACAAAUUCAUAUUUCGUCGCUUUAAUGUUAGACUAAAGCGACAGAAAUUUUGAAUCUUGAGCGACGAAAUUUUUUGUCGCAUUAUAGCCUUCACCUACCCGACAAAUUUAAUUUUCGUCGUCAGAGGUUAAAACUAAAGCGACGGAAUAUUUGGCUCUUGAGCGACGAAAUUGUUCCUCGCAUUAUAUCCUUCACCUAACCGACGAAUUUAGUUUCGUCGUGUUAGUUUAAGAUUAAAGCGACGGAACUUGAGUUUAAAGCGACGAAAGUGUUUGUCCCAUUAUCCUAAGCGACAAAACUUUUUGACUUAAGCGACGAAAUAUUCCGUCGCUUAAGUGAAAUCUUCUUUGCUUCACUUCCAGAUCGAAAAACUGCAGGAAAACAGAUCGAGCUACAGUGAAAAAAAAUCUGCACAAAUCAAUCUCGCAAAUCUCUGGCUUAUUUGAUGCAUGAUCAUCAUCCGUGUUCUUCUAAUGCAUUGUUCAUCUUCAUCCACUAGUUUGUAGUUUGGUAAAUGCUCUUUCUCCCUCUUUUCUACCAUUUUUUCCUGAUGAGUUUUCCGGUGAAAUAUUCCGGUCAAUUAUUGUUACUAAUAUUUUUAGAUGUGUGUUGGUUUUAUGAUGAAUUUUGGUUACCUAGCUAUUGGUUUUCUUGUUUAUAUAUAUAUAUAUAUAUAUAUAUAUUAUUCAUAUUGCUAAAUGUUAAAUUUUAGUAAUAUAUAUAUUUAUGAGAAUAUAUUUAGGUUGACUGUACACUUUGUGAGAAUAUUGGCAUGCAUGGUAAUAUAUAUGAGAAUUUUGAGAAUAUUUGGUAAUAUAUAUAUAUGAGAAUAUUUAGGUUUAUGUUGAAUAUUUAUGAGAAUAUUUGGUAUUAUAUAUUUAUGAGAAUAUUUUGGUAAUAUAUUUUUUCAUAUAUAUUUCAUUUUUCUGUAUGCAAAUGAUUAUGUGUGUUUAUUUGCGUGAUGAAUGUAAGAAUGAUAAUAUUCUUGCAUUCUAGCUACUUACAUGUUUAGCCUUAGAAAUCCCGUUCAAGAAUUAUUUUGUUACAACUUUGUUUGACAAAAUGAUUCUUGAAUUGUCCCAUUUUUAGACAGUUUGGAAGAACAUGACUUUAAUUCGCACUGAUUUAUGAUGUGGUGGUUCAGUUUUCGAUAGUGGGUAAUUUCGACAUGGUCUCCCGCUAUUGUUCCUCGAGUGCACAUUAGGUAUAGAAAUUGAUGCACUUGGGGAACUGUAGGGAGAUGUUGCCGAAAUUUUCCCACGUCGGAUUCGAAACCACUAUAACAUAAAUCAGUGCGAAACAAAGUCAUGUUCUCCCAAAUCGGAUUAGGACCCUAACCGGAGGCAUAAGGUGAUGAAGAAGAAGAAUUGAAUGGAUAUAUGUGCUUAUUUGUUGCUAACAAUGUGCAUUUUUUUUUCUAUUAUGAUAGGCAUGCGGAAAAAAUGGACAAGAGCUGGAUGCAGUACAAUAGGGGACACCCUUUAUAUAUACAGGGGAUCGUAGAUUUUCUGCAAUUUGUACAACAAUACGGUGGUGGAAAGGAAUGGCACAAGUGUCCAUGUAAAAGAUGUUGUUGCGGUAGUUGGGAGACAAUUCAGGGUAUAGAAAAGCAUUUGUCACAUUACGGCAUGGAUCCGUAUUAUACUACAUGGACUAAACACGGUGAAGUGCUAGUUAAUGAUCCUAUAAUGCCUUAUUUCCAACCAAAUAACUUGCAUGAGGCUGGCUCAUCUAGUGCUUCCGUCAGCCCUUAUAUGGAUCCCACGUUGAACAUGCUACAUGAUGCUUUUCCAUAUGCUUCAAGAUAUCAUCAGGAAGAGAAUUUUGAUGCACCCCAGGAAACAUAUUCUACUUUCUCGAACCCAAACACUGGUGAUUACGAUAAGUACAACAGGAUGCUCGAAGAAGCGCAGACCCCAGUGUACGAGGGACGUUCAGAAACUGUUUUGAGUUCUCUCAUGGAACAUAUGAGUCUGAAAAAGAAGCACAGGACCUCGAACGAACAUUUUGAUGACGUAUCAUCAUUUAUCAGACGUUUGCUUCCUCCUGCAAACAAACUACCAUCGAGUCAUUACAAUGCAAAAAAGAUCCUGAACGACCUCGGUCUUGAUUAUGUGAAAAUUGAAGCUUGUAAGAAUAAUUGUGUUCUGUUUUACAGAGAUUACAAAGACGCAUUUAGAUGUCGUAAGUGUAAUGCGUCGAGGUGGGAAGAUACUCUUUCCCCUAAAGGGAAAAUGAUUCCUAUGAAGGUGCUUCGUUAUUUCCCGUUGACUCCUAGGCUGCGGCGCCUCUACAUGUGUGAAAAAACUGCUGAGGAUAUGAGAUGGCACGGUAUUCCGAGGGAAGAUGACGAUGCGCUGAUACACCCCGCAGAUGGGGAAGCAUGGAAAUCAUUUGACUUAUCAUUUCCUGAUUUCGCUGCAGACGUUCGAAACGUAAGGCUCGGACUCUCAACAGACGGGUUUAAUCCCUAUGGAAACAUGAACUUGUCUUACAGUAUCUGGCCUGUUAUUGUUGUUUGUUACAACCUGCCUCCCUGGAUGUUAAUGAAGAAGGAAUAUAACAUGUUGGCUCUGUUAAUUCCAGGACCAAAGUCUCUAGGUAAGUGUCUCGAUGUGUAUUUGAGACCACUGAUUGAUGAGUUGAAUGGGUUAUGGGAAAAUGGAGCAUUGACUUUUGACAAGCUUACCGGUACUUCAUUCAUGAUGAGAGCAUCACUGAUGUGGACUAUUAGCGAUUUUCCUGGUUCGGGAUGUUGUCCUCUCAUACCACUAAAGGGUACAAAGCUUGUCCACUCUGCUUAACCGACAUCAAUUCUAGUUGGCACGCUGAUAGGGUGUGUUAUAUGGGAGCUCGUAGAUGGCUUCCAGAUGAUCAUGAAUGGAGACUUGAUGCAGUAACUUCGAUGGGAAACAAGAGUUUGGUCUGAAACCCCGAGAAUGGAGUGGCGAUGAAAUUUUAGAUUUGUUGAACUCCUUUGACUUCGGAACUCUGAGCAGUGAUCGUGAAGUAUUGGCUCGGAAUCCUAAACGUCCUUCGUAUCUUGCAAAUUGGACACACAAGAGUAUAUUCUUUGAGCUGCCUUACUGGUCAAAGUUAAGAAUAAGGCACAACCUAGAUGUCAUGCAUAUAGAGAAGAAUGUUUGUGACAACAUUGUUGGAACAAUUCUGGAUAUAAAAGAAAAGACUAAGGACACUAUCAAAGCGCGGUGCGAUUUGCAAAAUAUGGGUUUACGCCCACACUUGUGGGUAAAACGGACCGGCUCUAAAGUUGUUAUGCCUGUUGCACCCUACUAGGUGAAGCCGACUUUGAGGCCUAAAGUUUUCAGCUGGAUUCAAGAUGUUAAGUAUCCUCAAGGGUAUGCAGCAAAUAUAUCUCGAUGUGUUAAAGUGGGAGAAGAGAAGAUAAUUGGAAUGAAGACGCAUGACUGUCACGUUUUGCUGCAGCGGCUACUUCCAGUCGUAAUUAGACUAGUGUUGCAUUGUGAUGUUGUGGAGCCAUUAGUAGCGCGCCUUGUUCCGGUUCUGGCAGAAGUUAUGUGCUCGGGAGUUGAAGAAGUCAGAUGUUCUUACAUUAAAAGAAGACAUCGUCUACAUCCUUGCAAACUGGAGAGGAUUGCCCCCCCCCCCACUUUUUUUUCUAUUAUGGUUCACCUCAUGAUCCACCUGCCUGAACAAGUGUUGCUUACCGGUCCAGUACACAACACCUGGAUGUUUCUCAUGGAAGGUAAAAAUUUACUAUUUCCUAGCACGUACUUUAUAUCUUUGAUUUAUUAUAUUAUUGGCGAGCUCAAUAAACUAACUCCGACGUUUUUUUUUUUCAGACAACUCGGCGGAUAUAAGGGGUACGUUAAAAAUAAAUAUCGUUCGAAGGGGUCAAUAGCAGAGGCAUACAAGGCACAUGAGUGUGUAACCUCUAAUGAAAAUUAUCUCCAUCAAGAAACAGAGCAUGUUAGCAGUGAGAAUACACCUAGGUUCAACAUUUAAGUUGUUUCUGAUGAUAUCCGUUUGUUUGGGAAAUUACCAAUUUCUGAAAGAUUAACCGAUGAUGAGAUUGUUGAGGCUCAUUGGUGGGUACUGCGACACUGUGACCAAAUCGACAUGUUUAGACAUCCACAUGAACAACUUUGCAAAUUAAAUAUGGUGACAGAUGGGGAAGAGAUGCAAAAGAAGACAUUUCCAAAUACUUCAUAAAAAUGGGUGCGUUUGAGUUUCAUGUUUUUACACGUAGAAUUUCAUGUGUUUGUGAUUCCAAAAUUAACAUGUUUUGAUGUUUUUUCAGGUUGCAAAGUUGCAAGAAGAAAAUAGUGUACACUACAAACCCGAGUUGUCGUAUUUGGCUGGUAAGCCGCAACAUGUGAAUAUAUAUGCUGCUUGUGUAAUCAACGGCAUUAAGUUUUUGACAUUGCAUCGAGAUUAUGGUCGAAAGACACAAAANNNNNNNNNNNNNNNNNNNNGAAAGAUUAACCGAUGAUGAGAUUGUUGAGGCUCAUUGGUGGGUACUGCGACACUGUGACCAAAUCGACAUGUUUAGACAUCCACAUGAACAACUUUGCAAAUUAAUAUGGUGACAGAUAGGGAAGAGAUGACAAAAGAAGACAUUUCCUAAAUACUUCAUAAAAUGGGUGCGUUUGAGUUUCAUGUUUUUACACGAGAAUUUCAUGUGUUUGUGAUUUCCAAAAAUUAACAUGUUUUGAUGUUUUUUCAGGUUGCAAAGUUGCAAGAAGAAAAUAGUGUACACUACAAACCCGAGUUGUCGUAUUUGGCUGGUAAGCCGCAACAUGUGAAUAUAUAUGCUGCUUGUGUAAUCAACGGCAUUAAGUUUUUGACAUUGCAUCGAGAUUAUGGUCGAAAGACACAAAACAGUGGCGUGAUGUGUGUGGGUACAGAAGACGGAGCUGAAUAUUACGGGGUCGUUAUAUCUGUUGUCGAACUAAUCUACGCAAUUGGUAUGCCAGUUGUGUUAUUGAAGUGUAGAUGGUUUAAUGACCCAAAUAUACCAAGGAGUACCAAGAUGGAUUAUGGUUUGUUAUCAGUGAAUACAUGCACAAGCUGGUAUGAGAAUCAACCGUUUAUUGUUGCCACAAUGGCAAGACAAGUUUUUUAUCUUGAUGAUCCAAAGGAGGGUGGGGGUUGGAAAAUUGUUAACGUGAUGUCACAUAGAGGUAUUUACACUGCAACUACACUUGAGAUGGGUAUUGCGAAUAGAGAUAUUGAGAAUGUGACUCUUGAACCAUAUCAAGAAGCCUCAACGUCUAAUAUCCCCGACACGGAGACUAUUCGCAUCAACAACGACAUCCACUUCCAACCCCGCGAGUACGCUCCCAUUUCUAAUUUAGAGUUUGACUUCGGUUCACUUCCAUUCAUCCCACCAACUGAGGACUUCAUUGACGACGACGAGGAAGACUCAGACGAUCAUUUAUAUGAAGUGAGUGAGGAUGAUUUAGAAGACAGAGACUACGUUGAUAGCGAUUGAAAACUCAUUAUGUGUUCGGAGGGGUCAAAUUUUCGAUUUAUUAUGUCAUGAAUUUAUUAUAUAUGUAAUGUAAUUUAUUCUAUUAGUUGUGAUAUGUAUUAAUUUCUGAUUGAUUUAGUUUUAUACUUUACUAACAUUUUCGAUGUAGCAGAAAUAUAAACGUUAGAAUCCACCAACGGCAACUUGAAUCCACUAGUCAAGGUUUUUUAUUAAUAUGAAACUAUCGAGAGGAGUUCUGGGAUCCACUAGAGAAUUAAGAUAAACUCAAGGUUUUUUAUUAAUAUGAAAGCUGACAACUAGAACUGAUAAAUGCUCCUUAUAUAAGAGCAAAUAAACCUUAGGACAACUAACAUCAAAGCCUAAAAGCCCAUGGAUUAAAAAGAAAACCAAAUUCAAAACAAACUAUUAAAAUAAAUGUCUGAAAAUAAGUAAAUAUGCAUUUUGAAGGCCUAAAUGGACUCGGAUGGCCUAAAAAGCCCAUAUGUCGUGGUAAAACCACGAGUUUUGUUCGUUGGGCCGUUCUGCUUCCAAAAAGGUAUCAUAAUAGUCAAUUGGACACCGAACGCCAAAUUUGAAGCAAACCGGGUAUAGACUUAUUUCGAUUGUUCUCACUAUCUAUUAUAUAUCAAAUUUUAUGAGUAUUAAUUAGCAGAAAAUGAAAUAAGUGAAAUAUAAAUGAUUUUCCAACUUAAGCGACGAAUUUUGUUAUUUUCGUCGCUUUAAAAUGUAUAUUAUUUGGCGGAAAGUCAAAAAUUUAAGUCACUUAAGCGACGAAAAAUAAAUACAUCGUCGCUUAAGUCCCAAAAUAUUUGGCGGGCUGCAUUCCAGGACCAAAUUUUGGCCCAAAUUUAAACAAACUUAAGCGACAGAAGUUUUAAAUGUUGCCGUCGCUUAAGCCUCACUAUGUAUAUUGUUUCAGCGCGCACUUCCUGAUCUCAAUCCCUAACACAUUGAAAAAAACCCUCAAAUCCCUUCACUCCCAGCCCUCCCUUCACUCCCGGCCCUCUUCCUCCUUACUUACCGCCCUCCUUACCCCUCUUCCUCCUUACCGGCCCUCUUCCUCUUUACUGGUCCCCAAAUCCCUUCACUCAUCUUCCUCCUGGUUUCACUCCCGGUCCUCUUUCUCCUCUCACUACCUAGAUGCCGCCGGCGCUCAGGAAAAGGAAAGCUAGGGAGGAGGCGGAGGAGCGUCUGCGACUGGAGUGUGCGCAACAAUACGGCUCCUCUUCUGCCGGGUCCAACACAGCCACUCCGACGACGACGGCGCCUGCAGGAUCUCUUGCUUCAUCGGCUCCCCCUCUAACCGACGACGAAGACGAGUCAACGACCCAAGUAGCAGAAACACCAGCUGAGGGUGCACCCAGGGUUUUCAGCGCUCGCCGGAAACCGAAGAAAACCGGAGGACCUCCCCAGAAAGGCAACCGGGGUGUGGUGAACAACGCAAAGGUGGCUGAUAUUGUGAAAAGCACGGGGAAGAAGAUCGACUUGGACUUUGAUUGGGAAGUGAUUGAUGGACCCCGUAAUUCGGAUGUAUGCAGCCUCUUUGUCAAUAGUCUUGGAAGCAUCAUACGAAAAAGAGUGGCAAUGAAGAAGGGAUCGUGGUAUGAUUUAGACAAGGAGGAGAGGAAGAAGCUUUUUGACGGUUUCACUGUAAGUUAAGAUAACUUUCAGUUAAUUUUUUUGGUAUUUUGAUUCCCUGCAUCUUGGUAUUUUGAUUCCCUUUCAAGUGCUAAAAGCCUAAAAUGCUUUGUUCUGAUAAUAUGUUUGGUUGGAGUAGAAACAGAAUUAGGAAUUUGGCUUAAUUUCAAGUGCUUGUACAUCUAGAUUGUGAUUGUAUCUGAUUGCUUGUACAUAAAGUUUAUCAGCAAGAGAAAAGUUAUCAAAUGACAAAAGAGAUCGAUGAGAUUAGUUACUGUAUUUAAUCAAAUGAAGUAGUGUCUGGGAAAUAAUCAAACUGAUCUCUUUGGAUUUUAUAUAUAGUGUGUGUCUGUUGUUUUUCAUGCAUAGGAAUGAUAGGAUAUAGAUGUGUCAAAUCAGUAUGAGUGCUAAGUAGCAUGAACUUUGCAUGUCUCAGGUUUUUCACAACUUGAUUAUGAGUGUUUGGAUUUGAAUGCAAUAUUUGACUCAUGUUUCAUACCAAUUGUGGGGUUUAUGAUUCCCCUAUCUCAAUCCACGUACUGCUACAUACGUUGAUCAGUUGAUCAAUGAUCUAUUUGAGUUUUUUUCUUCUUCUCCUCACUUGUUUUUUUUUUAUUGAGGACUUAGAAGUAAAGAAUUUGGCUUAAUUGAAUAAACCCUAAGGGAUUACAAAGAAAGAGAACGACUUAGUUAUUCAAAAUACAGAUAAAUCAUGAGAUGGAUCACAUAUGUUUUGUCUUUGGUACUUAUAGUGUUUGUGUACGUUUUGUGUCACUUUCUCAUAGUGUUUCUUGUUCCAAUCAUGGAUGAUGCUCUUAUAUAGUUGCAAGUAGAUAUGCUUAAAGAACUUGAUUGGGACUUUGAUCGACUUGGUUUUUAUGAUUAUUUCUCUCAUAAAGUUCCAUCAUAUCAUCCAAUCAUGAGUCUUGUUAAUUGGUAGGAACUGUGCAUCUAUUCAUAAGUGCAAAGUGGAACUUUCCCUGUCUAGUGCUGCAAGCAGCUAAUACUUUAGAUCAUAAGGUUCAGUUCCGUUAUUUGAAAGUGUUAUCUGUGAAUUCCUAGGCAAGGUGGAAAUCCCAAUUUGUGGAUAAGCAUUUGGGAUUUUCUUCUAAAGAUUGGUUUGUUCCUUUCUCUAGUCUUCUCUGUUGAUAGAACGAAACAUAAUCUCUGUUCUCUGAUAUGGUUCUAAUUUUUUGUAUUGGUAUAUCUCUCAAUUUCCAUGCAUCAUGGUAUUAAUUUUUUUGGUAUUUUGAUUCCCUGCAUCAUUGCAACUUAAUGGUUUCAUGUUUUCUAUGUCUUGCAGUGUUUUUUUAUCAUUGAUUUUAAUGAUGUAAAAGCCAUUAAAUGGAUAAAUAAAAGGGUGGCAAGUGUAUUCCGUGAAUGGAAGCAUGACUUGUCCGAGAUUCACAAGCUCGGGGGGAGAGACAUGAUUCCAGAAGAGCUUUUGCACAGGCGGGAUGAGUGGGAGUGGCUUUGCAUGCAUUUUGAAUCGGACAAGUACAAGGUAUAAAUUAAGUUUUGGUUAUGAGAGUUUGGUGUUAUUUGAUAGGGUAGGUGAUUUGUGGUGAUUUUCCCUGGUAGGGAAGUUAACUACCACUCAUUGUUAUAUCAUGAUAGCACAACAGUGAUCAAUAUCAUUCUAGGAAAAUCUCAAUAUGUGUUUUUAGAAACAAUAAAUUGGCAUGGAUAUUUAUAUUGGUAGUAUCUUACCUGAUGAUGGAUUCUUUUGUUGGAUGUUAUGAUGGAUUCAUUUGUUAGAUGUUAUGCUGCCAUUUAGCUCAUGUAUGACACCAAAAGAAUGAAUAUUCACAUGAGUUUAUGUAUAUAAUAUAUAUAUAUAUAUUUUUUUUUUUGGAGAAGAACGAAAAAGAUGAGUUUAUGUAUAUUGUUUCCAGAAUACAAUCUGCACAGCUAUGGUGCUCAAUAUAGUGUAUGCAAACUGGGAGUACAACUUUCGUUUUGCAUUUCUCAUUUUCUCCCUCUGCAGGUACUUGACUGACGAGGCUACUGCACUUUUGCUUUACUCUUUAUUGCAAGGAAAUGAUGGUUUUGCUGUUGUUUACUUCUUUUUUUCCUUGUAUAUAGCAGUAUUAGUUAAACUCAUAUCUGCAUUUCCUCCAUACAUGCAUAGUCUUAAAAUUGUACUAUACCAUGUCAAACUCAGUACCUCCCAGUAAGUAAUCUAGACUACCUGCAUACAUGUCAUUGCUUUGCUUUCUGUUUACUUGUUUCAUUUGCUGUGUAGUUUUGCUACUGUGUACUUGUGAUUUGAGUGGGAUUUAGGACUCUUAAUGACUUGAAAAUUUGUGCAGAGACGAUCGGUUGCCAACUCCAGCAACCGUGGUAAGAAGGAGUUAGAGCACCACUCAGGGAGGAAACCUAUCAUUUACUAGGUGGCCGAGCUAAGGGAUAAGGGUGCUUCAUUACCGGUGGUUGACGUGUACCCGACGACAUACGACAUCAACAAGCCUAAAGCUGUUGAGCAUUAUGUAAGUAUCAAUACCUACUGCCUUAACAAAGUUUCUAUGCCACUUUGCCUGUUGUAUAUUUCAUGUGAUGUUCAUUUGGUAAUAAGUGUAGUUAAAUUAUAAUGAAUUGCUGAUAACUGUUUUGUGCCGAAACUUUUGGUGUUAUGUGGUGUAGCUGUCUUGAGUUCGAAUUUCAUUAGGAUUGAGGACUCCGUUUGGCUUGAAACUUUGUACCCUUGUCCUUCCAUGUGAUUACCCUUGAUCUGGAAAGUUUGGUGUUGUUUGAUAAGGUAGAUGAUUCAUGGUGAAUUUUUGAAUUUGGGUACACUGCACUGGAAAUUGUGUUUGUGUUCAGCAGUUCAGUUGCUUCGUAUUUGAUUGGGUUUUGGGUCUUUUUUUGGCUUGAAAUUUUGUGCUCUUGUUCUUCCUUAUGUUUACUCUUGGUCUGCAAAUUUUGGUGUUAUUUGAUAAGAUAGAUGAAUUAUGGUGAUUUUCUAAAAUUAAGUGCUUUGUGCUGAAAUUGUAUUCGAGUUAUGCUGCGGAGUUGUGUUAAGUCUGAAUUUGAUCAGGAUUUAAGACUCAUUUUGGUUUGAAACUUUGUACUCUUGUUCUUCUAUAUGAGAACUAUUGAUCUGGAAAGUUUCAGCUUAUUCCAAUGUAAAUUAACAAGUAGGUGAUUUUUCAAAGUUUACCUUGCAGUUGGUAAAGUCCCAAAAUUUUAAGUAUGCUUCCUUGUUUUCUGUUGAGCUAAGUGUGUGUGUGUAUAAGCAUGUUGCUAGUGUAUAGAGAACCGUGCUACAUUCCAGAAUUACAAGGAUCAUUAGAAGCUUUCGUGGUGUGUGAUGAUACUAUGGGUGUCCAUAGUAGUUUGGUGUUUGAUUGUUAUAUUGUAAAGCUGAUGCCUGUUGCAUAUUUCAUGUGAUGUGUAUUUGGUAAAGCUGAUUACUGCUUCAGUUAUCAUGUUUUGAUGAUGUUAUAAUAGUUGCAUAUAUGACUUGUACAUAUUAUUCUUGAAUUGUAGGAAAAGUUGAAGGAACAAGGUGCUAUUGCCAAGACUUUGCAGAGCACUCAACAUCCGGACAUCCCACCGGAUCAGCUACCUCCUUUGGACUGGCCAACUCAACUAAGUGUUGUGCAAAACGCUAUGAGAGAAACAAAAGGGUCUUACUUUCGUGGUAUUGGACGAGCAGGCGUCCUAGAGAAGAGCAGAAGGUCAACAUCUUCCUCUUCAUGCUCUCGACCGAAUAAUGAGGCGAUGACAGAGAUAGUGGCUGCUAGAAAGGAGGCGGCUGAGGCACAAGAGAGGGCUGACAAAGCACAAGAGAAGGCUGAAAAAGCCCAGAAGAUCGCUAAGCAGUCUGUUGCAGAUUAUCAAGUGUUGAAGUUGCAAAUGGAUCAAAUCAUGGCUCGAAUAGGGCUACAGCCUAUGUGUUCACCCUCGGUCCCAAGCCAACAACCUCGAGACGACGAUGAUGAUAGGGGCCUUGACACUUCUCAGAUUAGUUUAGGAAAUCAGUAGACUUUUUUAGUUUAAAUAAUUGUACAAACAAUAUUAGCUAGUAUUUAUUUGGUUGGUACGAUAACUUUAUUAUUAUUAUUAGUAAUAUAAAUAUUUCGGUUAAUUUAUUUUGGUUUUACAGGAAUUAUUUAUAACUUACAUGAAUAUAUUUUUGAGUUAUUAUAAUAUCUCUCUCAGUAAUAAUAAAAACAUUUUUUUUUUUCAAAAAAACUAAAACCUAAGCGACGAAACUUUUUGUCUCUUAAGAUGCUUAUUUUGUCGCUUAAGAGUAAAAAUUAGGCGCCAAAAGUUGACAGGCCAAAAAAGUCUUUUGUCGCAUAAGGCUAUAGCGACGGAACCGUUCGUUGCUAAACCAAACAGGUUCGUCGCUUAACCGUAAAACGACAAGACAACAUACGUCGCUGAACAACUUAAGCGACAAAAUUUUUUGUCGCCUAAGUUAAUUAUUCGUCGCAUUAGAGGUAGCGACAAAAAAGGAUAGUCGCUAAACUAAUAAUUUUCGUCCCUUAACUGUAAAACGACAAAAAAAAUACGUCGCUGGAAAACUUAAGCGACGAAUAUAAUUCGUCGCUUAAGUUAAUUAUUCGUCGCCUGCAGGUCUGUGGCGACAUAAACAAACCCCGUCGCUUUGUUCGUUUUCUUAAGCGACGGAUUAUAUGUUUUUGUCGCUUAAGUACCUAUGAGACGCGUCAUAUGCGACGAAUCUUAAACGACGCCGGUUUCGUCGCUUAAGCUAUAAAGCGACAAAAAUGAGAACUUAGGCGACGAUUUUUUCCCGUCGCUUAAGUCUUUAUUUCUACUAGUGAGAUUAUGUAUGGAAGUACUCAAAUCAUUUUGUGAUAUGAACAACAAGAAGCUUUUGAUAAAAAAAUUAAAAAAAACAACAACAACAAGAAGUUGAAAUAAGUAUAUAUGUCUAAGUUGAAAUAGAGAGUACCAUCAUCAUCUACCUCUUCUUCUUCAAAGAAAAAAAAUUAUCAUACGAUGUAUGUCAUAACAUGUUGGAAAACUUAUGAUCAGAUUAUGUAUGGAAGUACUCAGAUCNNNNNNNNNNNNNNNNNNNNUCACAAGCUUGGGGGGAGAGACGUGAUUCCAGAAGAGCUUUUGCACAGGCGGGAUGAGUGGGAGUGGCUUUGCACGCAUUUUGAAUCGGACAAGUACAAGGUAUAAAUUAAGUUUUGGUUAUGAGAGUUUGGUGUUAUUUGAUAGGGUAGGUGAUUUGUGGUGAUUUUCCCUGGUAGGGAAGUUAGCUACCACUCAUUGUUAUAUCAAGAUAGCACAAUAGUGAUCAAUAUCAUUCUAGGAAAAUCUCAAUAUGUGUUUUUAGAAACAAUAAAUUGGCAUGGAUAUUUAUAUUAGUAGUAUCUUACCUGAUGAUGGAUUCUUUUGUUGGAUGUUAUGAUGGAUUCAUUUGUUGGAUGUUAUGCUGCCAUUUAGCUCAUGUACGACACCAAAAGAAUGAAUAUUCACAUGAGUUUAUGUAUAUAAUAUAUAUAUAUAUUUUUUUUGAGAAGAAACGAAAAAGAUGAGUUUAUGUAUAUUGUUUCCAGAAUACAAUCUGCACAGCUAUGGUGCUCAAUAUAGUGUAUGCAAACUGGGAGUACAACUUUCGUUUUGCAUUUCUCAUUUUCUCCCUCUGCAGGUACUUGACUGAUGAGGCUGCUGCACUUUUGCUUUACUCUUUAUUGCAAGGAAAUGAUGGUUUUGCUGUUGUUUACUUCUUCUUUUUUUCCUUGUAUAUAGCAGUAUUAGUUAAACUCAUAUCUGCAUUUCCUCCAUACAUGCAUAGUCUUAUAAUUGUACUCUACCAUGUCAAACUCAGUACCUCCCAGUAAGUAAUCUAGACUACCUGCAUACAUGUCAUUGCUUUGCUUUCUGUUUACUUGUUUCAUUUGCUGUGUAGUUUUGCUACUGUGUACUUGUGAUUUGAGUGGGAUUUAGGACUCUUAAUGACUUGAAAAUUUGUGCAGAGACGAUCGGUUGCGAACUCCAGCAACCGUGGUAAGAAAGAGUUAGAGCACCACUCAGGGAGGAAACCUAUCAUUUACCGGGUGGCCGAGCUAAGGGAUAAGGGUGCUUCAUUACCGGUGGUUGACGUGUACCCGGUGACAUACGACAUCAACAAGCCUAAAGCUGUUGAGCAUUAUGUAAGUAUCAAUACCUACUGCCUUAACAAAGUUUCUAUGCCACUUUGCCUGUUGUAUAUUUCAUGUGAUGUUCAUUUGGUAAUAAGUGUAGUUAAAUUAUAGUGAAUUGCUGAUAAGUGUUUUGUGCCGAAACUUUUGGUGUUAUGUGGUGUAGCUGUCUUGAGUUCGAAUUUCAUUAGGAUUGAGGACUCCGUUUGGCUUGAAACUUUGUACCCUUGUCCUUCCAUGUGAUUACCCUUGAUCUGGAAAGUUUGGUGUUGUUUGAUAAGGUAGAUGAUUCAUGGUGAAUUUUUGAAUUUGGGUACACUGCACUGGAAAUUGUGUUUGUGUUCAGCAGUUCAGUUGCUUCGUAUUUGAUUGGGUUUUGGGUCUUCGUUUGGCUUGAAAUUUUGUGCUCUUGUUCUUCCUUAUGUUUACUCUUGGUCUACAAAGUUUGGUGUUAUUUGAUAAGAUAGAUGAAUUAUGGUGAUUUUCUAAAAUUAAGUGCUUUGUGCUGAAAUUGUAUUCGAGUUAUGCUGCGGAGUUGUGUUAAGUCUGAAUUUGAUCAGGAUUUAAGACUCAUUUUGGUUUGAAACUUUGUACUCUUGUUCUUCUAUAUGAGAACUAUUGAUCUGGAAAGUUUCAGCUUAUUCCAAUGUAAAUUGACAAGUCGGUGAUUUUUCAAAGUUUCGUCGCUUAGGUUUUAGGAACUAUUAUUCUUGAAUUGUAGGAAAAGUUGAAGGAACAAGGUGCUAUUGCCAAGACUUUGCAGAGCACUCAACACCCGGACAUCCCACCGGAUCAGCUACCUCCUUUGGACUGGCCAACUCAACUAAGUGUUGUGCAAAACGCUAUGGGAGAAACAAAAGGGUCUUACCUUCGUGGUAUUGGACGAGCAGGCGUCCUAGAGAAGAGUAGAAGGUCAACAUCUUCCUCUUCAUGCUCUCGACCGAAUAAUGAGGCGAUGACAAAGAUAGUGGCUGCUAGAAAGGAGGCGGCUGAGGCACAAGAGAGGGCUGACAAAGCACAAGAGAAGGCUGAAAAAGCCCAGAAGAUCGCUGAGCAGUUUGUUGCAGAUUAUCAAGUGUUGAAGUUGCAAAUGGAUCAAAUCAUGGCUCGAAUAGGGCUACAGCCUAUGUGUUCACCCUCGGUCCCAAGCCAACAACCUCGAGACGACGAUGAUGAUAGGGGCCUUGACACUUCUCAGAUUAGUUUAGGAAAUCAGUAGACUUUUUUAGUUUAAAUAAUUGUACAAACAAUAUUAGCUAGUAUUUAUUUGGUUGGUACGAUAACUUUAUUAUUAUUAUUAUUAGUAAUAUAAAUAUUUCGGUUAAUUUAUUUUGGUUUUACAGGAAUUAUUUAUAACUUACAUGAAUAUAUUUUUGAGUUAUUAUAAUAUCUCUCUCAAUAAUAAUAAAAACUAUUUUUUUUUUCAAAAAAACUAAAACCUAAGCGACGAAACUUUUUGUCUCUUAAGAUGCUUAUUUUGUCGCUUAAGAGUAAAAAUUAGGCGCCAAAAGUUGACAGGCUAAAAAAGUCUUUUGUCGCAUAAGGCUAUAGCGACGGAACCGUUCAUCGCUAAACCAAACAGGUUCAUCGCUUAACCGUAAAACGACAACACAACAUACGUCGCUGAACAACUUAAGCGACAAAAAUUUUUGUCGCCUAAGUUAAUUCUUCGUCGCAUUAGAGGUAGCGACAAAAAAGGAUCGUCGCUAAACUAAUAAUUUUCGUCCCUUAACUGUAAAACGACAAAAAAAAUACGUCGUUGGAAAACUUAAGCGACGAAUAUAAUUCGUCGCUUAAGUUAAUUAUUCGUCGCCAGGUCUGUGGCGACAUAAACAAACCCCGUCGCUUUGUUCAUUUUCUUAAGCGACGGAUUAUAUGUUUUUGUCGCUUAAGUACCUAUGAGACGCGUCAUAUGCGAUGAAUCUUAAGCGACACCGGUUUCGUCGCUUAAGCUAUAAAGCGACAAAAAUGAGAACUUAGGCGACGAUUUUUUCCCGUCGCUUAAGUCUUUCUUUCUACUAGUGUAAUAGGCUUACUUGUCCUUUAAAUCCUGAUGCAAAAAGAAAAACUAUUGUUUCUACUAAUCAAAGUAAGUUAACUUUUCUCUUCUUUUUAUUUAUCAGAUCAUAUAGUGUUAUGAUAAUUACUAACACACACUUUUGUCUUUUGUAUUUGUAGAGAGUAAAAAUAUGCAAGAGACGCUCACAGUUUCGGACAAGGAAGAUUCAGACAAGGAGGAUUCAGACGAGGAGGAUUCAGACAACAACUAUGAAGAAUAAAUUUACCUCCCUAUUGAUUUUUUUUCCUUCCUUUUCGUGGCUACAAUUUCUUUUAGGGAGUUUUGGUUAGUUUUGUUAUUGUACAAGAGGAUGUUAUUUUUGUUUUUAUAAGAAGAUGAUGUACUCCUAUAUAUUGAUUUCGUAUUAAAUGCAUUGAGAGGAUGAUAUGUACGAUUUAUCAUACAAACAUGGGAUCUACAGACAUGAUACUCUUGCAUCCAAAUUUGAUGAUGUAAAAUGUGCAAAUAUCUUGUGUGAAUGUAGGGAGAGAUUGAUGAAAUCUAGGCAUCAAAACUGAUGACUUCAGACGUUGCUUUGCUUCUGUAGUGAACGAAUUUUCAGGCAAAAACUGAAACCAUUGCAACAAGGUACAAUAAUAAAAUUCAACUUGCUGCCAGUACGUUGUCUUUGUAAAUAUCCUUUUGUAAAAGUAGUGCUUCAAUUGUCAUCGCUGAUUAAAGGUAAUUAAGUGAACCAUGAGAGGCAACAAUUGCAUCAUUCACAUGAUUCAUCAACUCAAUACUAUUGGAACAUGAGAAGCUAGCAAACAAACUAUGUCAACCAUGGCUUGGAUUAACGUGCGUAUGUGGUCUGGGUGUUAUUCUACAAAUUGGUUCUUUUUGUUUUUAGCACAACAUAGAACCUAGAUCGAGGUUCUUAAUUAUAGCCUCACAUUAGGGAAAGAAAAUAUACUAAAUUGGUUCUUUGCUCGUCUGUUCUCUUCUCUCUCUUGAUCUGUGAUCUUCUGGUCUUCUGCUGUCGUUCUCUUUUUUUUUUUUUUUUUCUUCUUCUCUUUUAUCGCGAUCAAACUUGAUUUUCAGAUUUUAGGUUUUGAUUUUGUUUUUUUAAUUUGAUUUGAUUUGUUAUAAAAUAAGUAAUGCCACGUCAAUUGCCACGUUAGUUUUUAUAAGUUGACAUCAUAUCUACAAUUGAUCUAGUCUAUCGAUUUUUUUAAAAUCUAAUGGACAGGAAACGGUGUCAAAAUUAGUGUCAAAUGUAAUGUCCCAGGAACCGGACCCAUCAAAUAUAUAACAAUAUAAGUUCUAAUUAAAUUAGAACUUCGUUGCUCACCUUUUUUUGAUUUUGUGUAGAGAUGCCAACUACUAAUCAUAUACCAAUAAAUAAUCAGAUCAGAAAAAUGAAAAGUUAUGAAAUAUUGUCUGAGCCAUAACUAUGCAAAUCCAGAUUUCUCAGCCACCUUUUUAACUUUCUUACCAAACUUGAGUAUUCAAUCAAUUAUGAUUCCAAUUCUCCAUGUUAUUUCUUCUCAAUAAAAAAAUCUUCAUGUUUUCAUUGAGAGAUGAUUUACUCGAAUUUGUAUUUAUUUCGAAAUUCUUCUCUCUUUGUCUUAAAGUUGAAGGAUUUGGCUUGAGAAAUUGCAAUUAAUCGUGUCUUCUUUGUUCAACAGCCCUCAGAUUUAUUCUCUGCGAGAUCAGAACUUUAGAAAACAAGCGUUGUCUGAACUCAACGACUCCAAUUCAGCCUGAAUUCAAUUCGUUUGAAAUAUGAACUGAUUGGUUUAGUAUAGUUAACAAAGUUAGGAAUUAGAAGUCAAAAAAUUUGUGCGCCCUCUGUUGAUUAGCCUAAAUCAUUACACGAUCCUGCAUCCGUCACUCACUGGUUGAAUAUGGUGUGGUCGCUCAGGCAAUAUUUCCCGACUACAAUCCUUGCAUGCAAUCACUGUUUAGUGUUCAAGAGAGCAAGUUGACAUAUCGAUCAGAGUUGCAGAGGUAGUAGUCGUGCAUGGGGCCAUUUCUCGUACUCACCUAUCCCUUUCUGUGUAAGUUAACUUUUUGUGUCCAUGCAUAUUAUUAUUGGCCGGGACCUCUACUCUUCCUUCUUCAUCAGUCUUUAUCAUUUUCCCAGUUUCUCUGCAUGUACAGGUUUGCCUUUCUUUCAUUUUCAUUCAUUCAAUUCACAUAUCCAUCUCUCAAUCUAUCCGUCGUUCCCUAUCUUCAAUCUUUGGCCAUGAGAGACUUCAUGUACGGAUCAUCAAUCAUCUUCGUUUAUAUAUCUAACUAACCCCAGUUGUAGAAUCUGAAAUGAAAUGUCGUGUCGUGGGGGCCGGGGUUUUCAGAGAGAUUGAUUCCAGUUCACCAAACAGAGAUAACAACUUAAACCUUAACUAAACACACAGUUAGAUCGAGCUAACUUGUUUAUCUUGUGACUCUUGUCCACAAACAAGCUAGUUAACUUUUCCUAUUACGAUGAGACUGAUCUUUUAGAUCUUCCAGAGUUUGGAUUUCUUUAACUUAAGUUUAGAAAAAAAAAAAAAAAAAUUGCUAUAAUAUAUGGAGAACUAAUAUGAAAAAUCUGAAAAAUGAAAAAUCUCAUAUACAUGAAUCUUUCUUGCUCCAUGUCAAAUUGGUCGAGACGCGUUUUGUGUUAGAAAAAAGGAUGGAAAAUUGUAAAGCAGAUAGUAAAGUUGUCUGAUAAGUCUUAAUCCUCAAUUCGUUUAUCGAAUUAGCUAGCUAGGGAUGUCCCAAAUAUGUCGUCAACCUCCCCAUCAUAAUCAAUCACCGACCAACAUCAUUAAACCUUAAUCGUCUUCCAAGUUCCAACAUCAUCAUUUCAUCACUAUCAAACCUUUUUUAUUCACGCAUUAAUUUUAGGGUUCGAACUCCAUGCAAGCCAAUAACUAGACAUCAUGUUCCUUUGUAACAGUUGUACUUGCUACAUAUUUUUUGAUCACAUAUUACAACUUCGUGAGUUAAAUUCACAAUCUCUUACUUUUUAAGGAGAAAUUAUGCCGUUAGACCACUUACUAAGUUGUGCUACAUAUUUGUAUUAAAAAAUUGAGUAAGAGCUUUUUUAUUCUUUAUUUUAUUUUUUACAAUUUAGAAAUUAUAUAUUUUUUUCUGUCAUAUGUAGUCCUUCAAAUAUGUUUGCAUUUCUUAAGUUUGGAAAAAUUGCUUAAAAUUCUAUUCCAUUGUGUACAAACUCUUAAACUUCUUUUUCAUACACGGAACGAAAACUAUUAUAAAUCUAUUUUAAAAGAAAGAAAAGAGAAAUGAAUUUAAAUACUAUGCAUCAUAAUUUGCCGGGUUCUUUGGUAUGCCUUUUUGUUUGAUGGAAGGUUUCAAGUCGAUCAAUUGCAGUUGAGUCUGAUGCUUUGAAUGUUAUCAAAGCUAUCAAACAAUCUGGGCAUGAUCUCAGCCAAAUUGGAGCAGUUACACAUGAAAUAAAAGAGCUCAAAUCAGCUUUUGAUGUUAUUCACUAAAUGGAGAUUUCUCGAAGUUGUAACAGUGGCACACAGCCUAGCUAAGAAGGCUACCAAAGUUGAUCGAUGACAUGUUUGCAUGAUGUAGUGUUUGAUGACAUGUCUAUGUGACUUUAGGGGUGUGAUACUUUUUUCAUGAUGCCAGGUUAAGCUACGUAAUAUCCCCUUGUUUCAAUCAAAUUUCUUUUGAUAAAAAAAAAAUACAUGCAACAUAUUGUAUAAUAUUCUCGUAUAAUACAUGUUUCGUACUCUAGUCUGUUAUAGUUUGAAGCAGGAUGAAAGUUUGAUGAAGUUGGGGGUCAAUCAAUCACUAACUUAUAACUUAUUAUAGAACCAGGUAAACCAAAAAGAAUAGAGAUGGCAUCUAUUGUUUUAUACCCACACACCAGGAAUGCAGGAGAGCACCGGAAGUCCAGAAUCAGACUUUAUAUAAUGGAAAUAAGUUGGGAUUACUUUUCUGGUCAUGUAGUUAGGUUGUGAUCAACUUGACAAUGAUGCAUGCUUAGGGUCGUUUAUGUAAAAAUCUUCUUUUAUGGAGUUUUCAUCAUCUCUCGCGCCUAAAUGUUUGGACUUUUCAACAGACCCAGUUUAGCCUUUAGUCUUUUCCUUUUUGGGGUGACUACUGACUAGCCCAGUUGCUAAAGUUCUAUAAAUGUUUCACUUUACUUUUCAAUUUGUAUUCUAAUUUAAUCAGGGGAGCUGCACUUACAUGACAAUUUGGCAUAACGAAGAAGACAAUUAUGAACAAUGUGAUGGAGUAUAGCCCUUUUUGAUUUCUUACAGUUCACUGUACAAAUUGAGAGUGAGAAUAGCACAUCUAUACAGUUUGAAUGUGACUCCAGAAAUGACUAUAGAGAUCUUCGAUUUCCGCUAACCCCGGAUAACUGCUUCAGACUAGUAAGAGCAUCUUGCGCAUUUCGCUUUGUGUUGGCAUCGCCAUGCUUGAAGGCUUCCACCAAUGCCCACACCAGAGCCUGGUUGAGGGAAUGUCUAUGGUUUUCGACUCUCAGUAUCCUCUCAAUGAUCCAAACCGUUUUCUCUUGCAGCUCCCCAGGUCGAACUUCUGUGAAUAGAGUAAUCACGGCUUCAAUGACACCCAAUUGCUCAAGUUCGUCGACUGCUCUUUUGAAGUUGCUUGAACUGAAAGUGUCUAUUACUAGAGUUGAUAGUGCCUCCACUGCAGCAAUCUGAACACUAGUGUCGUUGUCGUUGAGUAGAUCAACAAGGGGCUUGAUGCAGUUGUUCUUUAGCAAACACAAUUGACUAUCUUCUUCGCAUGGAAUGUUGUGUAUCGGACACUUGGAAGUUUGUAUAGAAGACCUCCCGCACAUGAACGUCAAAUGAGAACAUAAUCCAUGGUGAGGUUGUGGUUCUGACUCCAUAGCAGCUACUGAUCUUGCAUAUCCAGACAAGUUUUUCAAGCCAAGGGUGGCUAGUUGUUUUACUCUUGGGUUUGAAGGAUAAUUAAGGUGACGAUGGAAAAUAGUAAUAAGGCUGUGCUCCUUUAGUGUACUUAGAGUUUGAGGAUUCAGGUUCUUUGUAAUCUCAAGUAAAAGGCCCAGAAGACCUUCCAACAUGCUUGAUGCAGGUCGAGAAAUCCUCCCAUUCGAAGUUUGGCACUGGUUGAUGAGAGUAGAAGCUAUCCAUCUAACAAAAUUAACUUCUAGGAGUGUCUUCACUUCAUCUUCUGAGAGGGAAAGGUUUGCAAGUAUGCAUGCAGCAUCAGCUCUCUCACUAUCUGCCGAUUGUUCGUCUAAUAGUUUGUCUUUGAACAAGGAAAGCUUGUGACAAGGCCUUAGCUCAUCAGCAAUAUCCUGACCAUACCUCUCUGAGAGUAAUCUUGUAAGCCUAAAAGCUUGAAUUCUGUUUUCCACUUCAGGGUGCUCAAGAAAUGGUAAAAUGAUUUUAAUCCCUUCCCCAGAUUUUAUAUGACAAGCGACCGAAUCUGUAAUUAGAAACAACAAAGCAUAGGUACCAUGUCAGAAAAUGGAUAUGAGAACUGCUUAGCACACAAAAAAAGAGAGCUAAAUUUCACGACCAUAAAAUGUAGCUAGAAAAACAAAAUCCCCUUCUCUGCAGCUAACUUUAGGUACAAUGGUAUUUUUCUUUAAUCUCCUAGCUAGGCAACUUAAUAUAUACAAUUAUAUAUACCAGCAGCAUAUUAUUUCAAGAUUUUCAGAGCAAGAGCAUCUAUAACAAAUUUAAAUAUAAUGAUUUCAGAAUAGCAUUUAAAAUCUUGAGGCUACAAUGUAGAUGAGAAGAGAAACACAGGUAACUACUGUCAUGAUGGUGUUAGAAAUUAGAUUCUUCACAUUAGCCAUUGCCCUGCUACUGUUGGAGCAUAAACAUAUAGGUAGCUUUUGAAAGUAUUCUCAAACAAACUCGAGUAUUCUGGUCUCCUAUGUGGGGACUGGGGAGAUAAUCUCCAGACACUUCUCCACAAAGAUGCUAAGCACAAAAGACUCUUCAGGAACAAGAUACAACCCUAAUCACAACAAUACGAUUCCAUUUGAAUGAUAGCAACUAUCUUUUGUUGGUUUUCAGAACAAACAAACCAAGGAACUAAAAUGCGCCAACUUACUAAUCGGUGAAUACAAAAUAAAUGCAGCCAAGUUUUAGGUAUAUGUGGUACUAAUCAUAAAUUCACACAUUAAGUUAUACAUAGAGAACAAACCCAUAGUUGAUAGUUCCAUGAAUAAUAAACGAAUAUCAGAUGGAGCCUGUGUGAAAACUAAAGGAAGAAUUACCUGAUGCCUGUGGAGACGAGGCAAUUCCAUAUAGGAUCUGGAGAAUGGAUAUCUGACAGGGAAGGGAUGCAAGAGAUAAAACCCCCAAUAGAUUAUAUAUAAAUGAUUCUGACUGCAUAGAGUUCCCUUCUUUGUCAGCUGAAGCCAAUUCCCAGUGUCCUGGAUUUGAUACUAUAUUUGCCAUGGUUGAUGCAGCCAACUCUUUCAGUUCCGACGAAGUAUCCUGGUUGAUGAAAAGGAUACCUGUCAAAGCAGGAAGUACAGCAGAAUCAACAAGGAUGGUUGCAUUGUCAUCUAGACUUGACAAGUUAUACAAGGCUUUCAAGCUCGCUGCCCUUCCUUCUGGAUUAGAAAGCAUCUCGACUAGUAUUUUAGCACUUUGCCUAGCUAUUUGUUCCUUGCUGCUAUUUGUCAACGUCAGAGUUCCCACCAUAGAUGCCAUCUCAAUUUUGACAUUUUCAGAACCUGCUUCCAGAAAUACACAUUCCAAUACAACAGGUGAAUACUAAAUACCACAAUGCUAUGAGCUACCUAAUGAGAAAGAAAAACAAGAAACAAAAACAGCGAAUCUCCCCAAGUCUACUGUUUUCCGAUCGUUGCAUUACUUUGUCCAAGAAGAUUGCAAAAUUGAUCUUUCUUAUACAAUCAAUUAUGAUUAACAAUUUUCAGCUGGUGCAAAAAUUAAUAGAAGGCAUACCUUCACAAAGUCGAGUAAGCAAGGGAUUGAAUCUCCCUGCUGCGGCCAAAUGCUGUACAUUACCCUCCACCUUCUCCAUCUGCUUUAAUACCUCCUCAGCUAGAUUGGAUAAACCAGGAUGCUCCAGGUUCCCUGCCAUGCUUGAGAGAAGAACCAAAGCUCCUUUCUCUGCUGCAAUUUUAAUGCAACAAGCUUCAUCACUCGAGAACUCAAGUAAUAAUUUCACAGCACACUCUCUCUCCUUCUCUGAGCUCCCGAUAAGACUAUGUAUGGCCAAUCUAGUGAUACCUUCUUGAAGCAUGAUCUCCUAGAAAUGUUCAAAAAGGUUCAAUCACAAACUUGUAACAAUAGCAGAACUCACCAAUACAUUAAAUAGACAAAGCUAUAGUUCACAAGAGAAGCAACCAAAGCAAACCUUGCUUUCUUCAUCUUUGGCCAUGCUAACCAAAGCCAUAAGAGCUUUGCUUCUCAAAUGAGUCCCAAUACUCUUCGCACUAUUCCUCAGCAAUUUAACAAUAAGCACAACAAUGCCGGCAUUCCUAACUCUAAAUCUACAACUGGGAUACUCUUCUGAGAUGUUAUAAACAUUGUCCAACACUACCUCUAUACCAUCCACCAAGGGAGGCUCUUCACUCAGCUUUUGAGCCCCAAUUUUGACCAGAAUAUCCACAUUCCUAUUCACCCACUCCUCAAUAGCUCCGGCUAGUCCAAUGUUCGGUUUCAUCUCCAGUGACUGGAGCACCUGACCGGUGACCGGACAAGUCGGUUCCCUGCCGUCGUCCAAACACCGCUCAAACCAGUACUUCACGGCGGACCGUUCGUACGUCUGCGACGACUGGAGCACCACCGGGUCUCUCAUCACCUCUUUAGUCAACGGACAGAGAAAAUUCUUGAACGGAGAGAUUUGCGCGUCGUCUUCGAACUCCAGGCCCGUGGUGAGAUUGGGCUGCGCGGCCCAAUUCUCCACAAUCCUCUCCAACGACACCAAAAUCCGGCGCUCCGACGCCGUAUUCGUUCCGGCGAUGUCGUUUCUGAGCUGCUUGAUUUGCUUGGAAAGCUCGGCGUGAUUCUCCGGUUCGAUUCCGAGAGCUCGGGAUAAAUCCAUGAUGAUCGCGCUCUCGACGGCUUUGCUGGUCUUCGUCCGCGUCGUUUCUCCUUCUCUCCGGAGCGUGUGGUGCACUCUCUCUUCGUUCGCUGUGACCUAAAAUUUCAAAAAAUUGAGUUCCAUUUUCAAAGAAGAUUGAGAGAAUAAAUUAUAUUACUUGUCUUACUUCAAAUUGAACUUGCUUCAUGUCUCUAGAAAGAUCGGCGAUUUUCUUGCGGAGAUCGGGGAGGUCAUCGACGGCGGAGUCGAGGAGGGCGAGCCAGCCGGAGACGGCCGCGGUUGUUUCGUUGAGGGAUUUACAGAGGGAGAGGCAGUGGAUGAGGACGAAGAUUUUGCCUUUAGAGUAAAACGACAUCGUUUUGAGGGCGGCUGGGAGCUCGGCGGCGAUUCCUUUGAGGGCGGUGAGGACGGAAGGCGGGAAGGAGUCGAGGGAUGAGGUGGAGCGGGCGAGGUGGGUGAGGGCGAGAUGGAGGCGGUGGGCGAAGGCGGAGAAGCGGCGGGGGAGGUCGAAGGGGGAGUUAGUGUAGUGAGGGGUGGAGAGGUCGGCGAGGGAGGUGUGGAUGGAGUCCAGCAGCAGCGCCGCCGAGGAGGAGGAUGAUGACGUCAUUCCGGUGAGUGUUCGGGCAUAUGGGGGUUUUGCCGUUUGGUUUUUUGCCGCGUUUUUCCAAUACUCUGGUUUUGUAGAAACUGGGAAAAUGGAGCGAAAGGUCAAAUCAUCGAGUGUUGACUUUUGAGCACAGUUUCAAGCGACGGCUUUAUGUGCAACGGUUUUUGACAUGUGUAAAUUUCGUUUCGGUCCGUGGUAUAUUGCUAACAAGGUGAAUAAGUAAUCAAAAGUGUUAUUAUUUUUUUUAAAUUUCACAUAAUAAAAUUAUUAUGAAAUAGAACGACAAGAGUUCAAACCUCAUUAUCAUAUAUAAAGUAUGCGUGUUAUUUAAUAAUUUUUUCCUAAAGAAAAGUAAGGAAUUUUUUUAUUAUCAAUGUGCUAUUGCAUAAGCCAAAUGCUAGCCGGUUUAAAACCUAUCUUUUGUCCUUCAAAUCUUACUAGAAAUUACUUCUGUGUUUUCAAUUAUUUGAGACAUGUAAGUUGUUACCCAUUUUUCAAAACUUGAAGAUAAAUGCCUUUUGCUUUGUAAUCUCUUGAACACUUAGGCAUUGAGCAAAGCAAUUUGAUGGGAAGUCUCGAGAAACACGAGUUUUUCUAAGUUCUGGAUCAAGCUUUGAGGACCGAGAGAUUAAACGAAGAAUAUUUCCUAUCUACUUUGGGCCAGAAACAAAAAUACAAAAAGAUUAGGUUAAGGCCCAUGGAAAGAACCCAAAUGGUUUUGAGGUCCAAACAAUUUCACCUCAUUAGUCAAGAAGAGACACUACAUCGUCUUCAACUACCUCUUUCUCUCACUCUUUCUCUCUGAAGCCAAAGCCAUGGAUCGCGCCCAGAUCAUUCUGCUAGGGUUACCACUCUUCCUCUUCUGCUUCGAUAUCCUUAACCUCUUCACUCUCCGACCACCACCGCCUCCGCCGCACAAGGCUCCCCAUCACCUCCAAAACAAACCUCCACCGUUGCCCAAAGACUCCCUAGCCUUCCCCUCACAGGUACUUCAAGCUCUUCCGCUUUUCUCGCCUUCAUAUGCUAAUUUGCGUCGUCUUUCUUUGACUUUGUUGACCAAUUUCAGAAACCAAGGGAUGGAGCAAUCGGCGUCGGCAACACAGUCAAGAUUAGCUUCUGCACCUCUUGCUCUUACAAGUAAUAAUAAUUCUCUACUUUCUUCUCCUUUUGGUCUUCAAUUUUCAGCUGCUCUGAAAAAUCUGUUUCCUUUGCUUAUUGCUGAUGUAUGUUUACAGUGCUAGAUGUGAUCAAAUUGAAAUCUUUGCUCUUUUCAGUUGAUUCGGCGGUUCGUAUUGUUCUUUUCCUGUAAUGGGUUUUUGAUUUUGUAUCGAAUCGUAUGUUUCUGUUAUUUUUGAAUUUUGUCCACUCAACUAUGCAUAGGGUCUCAAUUUUAUAUCAAAUCAUAUUUACCUUCUUGUAGAAAUUGGUAAGUUCAUAUCGGUAGCGUGUAGACGGUAGGUUUCGGUAGAACUGGAGAAGAUAGAUGACCAAAGUUCACUGUAUCUCUUAGAAGUUUUUUUAUUUUUAAAUUUAUCGAAUUUUUGUUUCUCCUGUACUGUUUUUUUGAUGUUAUAUUGAACUGAACAGCUAGGAACUUACUUGAAGUCUUGAAUGUGUUUCUAGACCAAGGUUUAUCUUUCUACCUAAAAUGGUCUUUACUCUAUCUAUAUAAGGGAUUUGGAAGAGAUAUGAGAUCUACGUGUUAGAUAGUUGUGGAAUUGAGCCUUCUUUACUAACAUAAAGAUAUGCUUCUGGUAGGGGGACUGCAGUAACAAUGACCAAGAUGAUAGAGUCUGCUUUUCCUGGGAUUGACAUUGUUCUUUCAAACUAUCCCCCAGCUUUACCAAAGCGUGUGCUUAGCAAACUAGUUCCUGUUGUUCAAUUUGGAAUGUUUGGGCUUGUCAUGGGGGGUGAGCAACUUUUCCCUAUGGUGGGGAUGGCACCUCCUCCUUGGCUUUAUUCUUUGCGUGCGAAUAGGUUUGGAACCAUGGCGUCGACUUGGCUUCUUGGUAAUGCGCUCCAGUCCUUCCUUCAAGGCACUGGCGCUUUUGAAGUCUCUCUCAACGAUGAAUUGGUGGGUGAACCUUCUUUCUACAUUUAGUCAUAUUGAUUUGAGCUAGAAUGUUGUUGCUAGUUGUUCCUUUUUAUUUAGGUUCUGUGUUCUUAUUGCAGAUUUUCUCCAAGCUCGAGGAAGGAAGAUUUCCAGGAGAGAUUGAACUAAGAGAUGCAAUUGGCAGGAAGUUGGUCAAUUCAGGAAUCACAGGUGAUGGGGCAUUAUGGACCUAGUCUGCUUAUAAAGUUCUGAUUGUACACCACUUUUAUAGUUGGUUCGUGUUGGGAGUGAACUAGUUAAUCAUCAAUAUUGUUUGAAGAAGUAGUAUCAGUAAAUGUUUUGCAGAUAGGUUGGACCUUUUGUGUACAAUAUCUGAUUCUCCAUUUCUGUGAGACAGGUCUUGGAUGUUGUUAGUAUACAUUAACAUCCCUCUAUAUAAUACCUGUUCUAAUCUAAAUUUGAACACAGUUGGCGUCGAGAGAAAUAUUUGAACACAGUUUUUUUAUGUCAAUAUAACACUGCAUUUCGGCCUUCGAUCCCUCUACUGGGAGGACCGGUUUAGGAGGUAUUUUCCGUGAUCAUAAUGGAUGUUGUCUUGGUGUUUUUACCAAAUUCAUUAUUGCUGCUAGUUCUCCUCAGCAUGGUGAAAUUCUUGCUUUACUUGAGGGUGUAGGCUGGGCAUGUGUGCACCAUUUUGUUCCCUUAAUUGUGGAAACGGACCGUCGGUUGCUAGUUGAGGUUCAAUGGAAAAUUCAGGUCUUGGUUUCCUUCUAUCUGACUUGAAAGAAAGCCUUAGUUUGGCUUCUAAUGCUAGAGUGAUUUUUACCAAGAGAGAAGCUGAUUGUGUUGCUCAUUCUCUAGCUCAAUUAGUUUUGUUUUCUUGUAUGAGCACAUGUUUCACCAUUGUUAUUCUUUCGCAUGUGGAGGACAUUAUAUCUUUUGAUCGUAAUGAACCUUGAUCCAUUCCCCUCAAAAAGAUAAAAUAUAACACUGCAUUUAUGCAGUGUGGUUCCUCAAAGUAGGCAAAACUUCCGCAGGAAAGGGAAAAUCGUCAAACCGUGCCUGAACGUUUUAUGUUUACCCGUUAAACUUGUCAAUGGUGUGUUCGUCCUUUCAGGAUCCAGCUCCUACGAAAUUCUCUGGCAACUUCGCUCUUUGUUGUCUCUUUUGGUUUCAUUCAGCCUCCCCAUUGAUAACUGUUGCUCUAGAUUAUUGGUGCAUUUGUUUCUUGAGUGUGACUAUUGGGAUUUCUAAAUUUGCUCAAUUAACCUCACUCUAUUAUGAAUUAUUAAAUGACAUAUUUAUCUUCUUACAUAAUGACUAUUAAGGACGUCAAUUAAACAACAAAUAAUAUUACAUUUAUUCUCUCUAAACUUUCUAAUUCAAUAAUAAUGGAUUGCAUUUUAUUAUUUUACUUAUUGAUAUUUUAUUUUCUAGUUUUACCACAUACUUAUUAAAGCAUUUAUAUAUUUAUACUAUCAUACAUGUCACAUGCAUAUACAAAGUGAAAAAAAUAUUUUUACAAAAAUUAUGAUAUAUAAAUUAUUAAAAAAUAAAUAAAUAAGUAUCAUAAUAUUUUUACAAAAAUUAUGAUCUAUCAAUUAUUAAAAUAAGUUAUCAUCAUGAGGUAUAAAAACAAAAAACUUACAAAAAACACAUAGAAUAUGUAAAAUAGAAAUACAAAAGUAAUAAAAAUAUAUAAUAGUUCAUGUAAGAACAUUCUUUUGAUGAUCUAUAAAUAAAAUUUGAGACAUAAUCCUUGUUUUAUUUUUAUUUUUAAGAGAAUAGUAUUUUUCAUGAUUCGAAUUAACUUUUCUCGAAAAUUGAUGUCAUUAAAAAUGAUUUCUUACAAUUUGAUCAAAAAAUGAAUGUCUAGCGAGUGAGAUUUUAUGCAAAAAAAAAAUACAUAAAAUAAAGAAAUCAAGGUCGAGAAUGGAGGUUUGCGUUAAAAAGAAAACAUAAAAAAUUAACGAAUGGAAGUCGGAAUGGAUGAGUGAAUAAGAGGUGUAAUGAGUAAUAUAUUAAUAUAUAUGUGAAUUACAUAAACAAGGUUAUUUUAGGAAUUUGAAAAGGAGGUCUAAUGAGCAAAUGCUUGUAUUUAAAAGUAAAAUAGAGGUGUAAAGAGAUUAAGAGUAUACUGAGUAAAUUUGGAGGUCCCAAUACCCGCACUCUUGUUUCUUCGGAUAAUCGGGUUAAUUUAUAAUAGAAUCUAUAAAGGAAAUAAUUAACAGUUACCAUUUACAAUAUAUAUAUAUAUAUAUAUAUAUAUAUAUAUAUAUACUACUUANNNNNNNNNNNNNNNNNNNNUAGCCCUAUUUGUAGUGUUUAAUUCAUAUAGGGGGUAGUGGACACAUAUUUAUACACCCGUCUGUACCACCUUGAUGGCGUAGUGUAGCACCGCAUUAAGGCGUGAUGUGAGCGUUGGACGCGAGCGUAGUAGCCUUAUAUAGACCCAUGAAUUUAUAUAGGGAGUAUAGACGAGUGUAAAUACAUACAUAUAUUAUAGAGUCUGAGAGGCUCGAUAUUUUAUGGGAUAAAGGUUUUAUCGCUUGCGGCAUGCUAUUCGAUUUUUCCUUAGAAAUUAAUUUGGGGAAACAUAAAUAUUUUUAUUUAUUAUUUUAUUUUUGUCCACUCACUCUAACGUUAUUAAAUGUUUUCCCCUGGGCCCUUCGUUUUAAAUUGCCCAGUCUGCAGAGUUCGGGUUGGAUCUAGUAGGAGACGAGGCAUAGUCACCCGCUUUUCGGCCAGUUUUCAUCAGUAGGUUACCUGUUCAACCUACUCGUGUUUUCUUGCUUCCGCUUGUGUUUAGUAGCUCUGAAUACUUUAGAAUUUUUGUAUAUUAUGUGAUGUUCAGAAGUGUAAUAUGAAAUUUUCGAGUUAGGGUUGUCCAUCUGCAAGGGAGAUUUUCUUAAUCUUUUCAGUAAAUUUUCCUUGGAGGUGGUCCCCGCACGACUUACUCUGGGUUUCAGGGUGAAAUUCGGGGUGGGUCGUGUCAAAAUAUGUUAACAGAAACAACGUACACUUGGUCAUGCAGUGGAUACGAAACCUAAUCGUAUACUAGGUAGUCGACUUCAUGAAUUGAUGCAUGGAUACACCAGCUGGGGCACUAAACUCAUUUUGAUAUAAUGACUUCUGUUAAUGUGACUUUGCAAGUAUGGUUUUGGCAAGGAAGUAUUUCCGUGCGCAUCUUGAUACGAAUUACCCAUGUGAUACUAUUAAUAGCGGAAUUAUUAAUAGCACUAAAACAUACAGGUAAUGUAGUUCGAAGAAAAUGUAUUCCUCUCUUAUUAUUGUGCAAAAGGGUACAAUGUUUAUUGUCUAAUGCCUUCUCUCACAAUUAGGGCUGCCACUCAGUCGGUUCGAAUCGGUAAUGGGCGUUACCAACUUCAAAACCAAACCUUUCGGUAAUGAAAUAUGACUUUCAAUUACCAAACCAAAAACUUCGGUAUGAGAUAAAUCUUACCAACUUCGGAUGUCGGUUUUUCGGUAUUACCAAACUUCACAACAAAUAUAUUUUCAAAAUAUAACAAAACAAUACAAAACUAUAAAAUUUAAAUAUCACUUGAGUUUCUAGAGUCUGAUAAUACAUAUACAAAAGAUAGUCAUUUCAGUACACAUUAUCGAGUAUGAUUUAAUUUUCUACCGAAAUAGUCAGGAUGUAAAUGUUUCCAAAUUUUUAUAUGAACAAGUUAUGUGUCAUCUAUGUGAAAGUAUGUGUGUGGAAGAGUCGACCAAAAUAAGUCACAUAAGGGCAGUAAAACUUUUCGUGUAAUAAGUGACGUUAAUUAUGGUUGACCGUUUUGAUCAAGACCCGAGCAUUAUUGAGUACAAUUGAAUUUUCUAUCAUAAUUGUAUUAUACUAUAAUGAUCACAUCAGACGGUCGAAUUUUAAUUUUGUGAAUUGUAAUAAUUGGAACCACAACAUGCCUGGUAAUGUGGUAUAACUUAUUUAGUAAGUUAUAUGCAUAUGUACAUCUUUGUGAACCAACUACAAAGAGGAAGCAAAAUUUUCAAAAAGCUUGUGAACUAUGAUGUGAUCAAUAUAGUGAAAUACGACUAUGGUAGAAAAAUUAGGUAUUUUUGAUAAUGUUUUGGCCUUGAUCAAGGCGGCUAACCCUAUUUACGUUUGUACUUCCUAUGGGGAGCUCUAUCAUCAAGAGAGGUAAAAACAUUCCUAAAUUUUUACAUGGGCGGUUACAUGUCAUCUAAGUGGGUUUGUCUAUGUGUGUGUGUGAUGAAUCGACUAAGACGGGUAGGUAAGAGCGUUUUUAUAUAACAAGUAACAUUGAAUUAAAGUUGAUCGCUUUAAUUGAGACCCGAACGGUACCAAGUAUAGUUGAAUUUUUCUAUUCAUUGUCUUUUUUUUUACUAAAUGGUAUAUACAAUUGAAAACGUGAGAUAAGAUUAUUAGUCUGUGUGUUUUUAGAAAUAUAAGUCUUUAAAUAAUUAGAAUUUCGGUAAAUUCAGUAUUUACCAAAAACCAAACCAACUUUUUCGGUACUUCUCGGUUUCGGUUUUUUUGAUUUCGAUUACCAAAAUUCGGUUUACUAAAUCAUAAAUUUUCGGUCGGUUUUCGAUCGGUUUGGUAUUUACCAAACCAAGUGGCAGCCCUACUCACAAUAACACUCUAGCUCUCUAAUUCGCUCCGCUCUCUAGCACUAAGCUAGACACCUCUAUUUAUAGAGUCUAAAUCUCUAUAAAUCCUUAUCUAACUUGGAGAAUACUCCCUAACUAAGUUAGACAACUAAUCCCAAACUAAGUUGGAAAACUAUUCUCCUAACAAGCUAGAAAAGCUAUAUCCUUAACUAACUUGGAGAAGGAAUCGACUAAUCCCUAAAAGGCUAGGAUACACCCGUAUCAUGGCUCCCCCUUUUAGGAACUUAAAACUCCCGUUUAAGUUAAAACUGGAGAUUAGGAAACUCAAGAGUUCCCUUCUCUUUGCUGAACCAUUUAGCUUUACUUGGAACCUGACCUGCACGCCCAAUGCGGAACAUUGUACGCUCCCCUCGACGUGUCGUAGCCACUUGCUGCUCUAAAAUGCAAUCUUCUAGCAACGGAUCCUCUUUAAGGCGCUCUUUACUCCGCCUUAACCAUAAUAAGUCAUUAAUACCAAAGUUACAAGGUAAGGUCUGGUCUUGUACUUUGCUUGUGACUUAUUCAAUUUUGUCUUCUCAACAUCUUGACUUGAUUGCCCUUCAUGUGGACGUGCCAACAAGACAAAUUUCCUAUAAGCACUUACUAAUCUUUUAGCCUGAGUUGCUGCUACCAAGCUUGCCUCUGGUGGGAGUGACGCCGCCCGAAUAACGAAUCGUUGUCCGUCUUUCGUAAAUGUGUACUUCUGAGCCUUCCUUUCGUAGAUAGCAUCUCUAUCCCAUAAGUAAGGAUUUCCCAGAAUCACCUGACAAACAUCCAAUGGCACCACAUCGCAUGUCACUUCGUCGAUGUAAGAUUCAUGAAGAGCAAACUUGAAUGUGCAUUGACUGGUAAUACUUAGUCAUGUGUCCUUCUGAAUCCAUCCUAAUGGAUAUGGCUUCGGAUGUUUGACCGUUUGAAGACCUAACUUUUGAACCAAAGCUUCCGAGAUAAGGUUCUUCUGACUUCCCGGAUCCACAAUGGCAUCAACUAAACUGGUCUUCACCUGCAGCUUNNNNNNNNNNNNNNNNNNNNUGUUUUAACGGCAAAUGCGUCUGCCUCUAGUUCUAGAUUCAACUCAAUAUGUACCGAGUCUGAUACGCUGCACUACAGAUAAAGGACUGAUAAAACCAAUCCAGAUUCAACUAAAUAAGUAUGAACCUGAAAUACUUGUUUACUAAUAAAUCAAUGCUGAAAUCAAUUAUGAGUUUUUUUCUUCUUUAUUUAUGCAUGUUCUACUAUGGAAGAUCAUAUGUCUGAAAAAAAUUAUAUUAUUGUGUUCGAUCAAAAUGUAAAAUAAAGAUGAAGAAAAGAGAGGAAAUAUGUCACAUCCCGACCCUUAUAUUUUUACCUUAUUUACUAGCGUGAUUAUAAUAAGAAUUUUACCGUCUCGAUCAUUGAGUAAAUAGUUUAAUUGGUCCCUAGAGGGGUUUCGGGGACGAUUAUGUGCGGAGGAUUAUUCGUAUGAGGAAAAUACGACGACGGUAAAAAUGGUAAAUUUUAGCUAGUAAAAGGUAAUUUUUAUUCGGGUAUUAUUUUUCGGGGUGUUUUUAUUUUGGAAAGUUUGGGUUAAAAGGGAGUGUUGGGUCGGCUGGGCCGAGCCCAACCCAUUUCUUCUUCUUUUCUUUCUCUCUCCCUCCCGAUUUCCUCUCCGCACCCGAGCCUCCCGCUGCCCGGUUUUCCGGCUGCCCUCCCGCCGCCGUCCGACCUCCGUUCGCCGCCGGACCGGUCACGUUCGGUCGGUCUCCCUCCCAGCAACAUUUCUAGACCGGUGAGAGGAGCCCUAGCGCCGCCGUGAGAGAGCGGUGCCGCCCGAAAGCAAGGGCUGCCCCGAGCUUCCCUUCGCCGGAACUUCCUCCUCCGGCCACCAAUCCGGGCAAGCUUAGUAUGGUUUUUGUAGCCCUCCAACCCAGCAACCUUGCCCUAAAGGACUCACUCCCUCUUGAGCUAGGUAAGGAGAAAUUUGAG
RNAcentral lists this long non-coding RNA (105856 nucleotides) under Fragaria vesca (wild strawberry). RNAcentral describes it as "long non-coding RNA (FVES_LNC001330)". The record is from RNAcentral. Lineage: Eukaryota; Viridiplantae; Streptophyta; Magnoliopsida; Rosales; Rosaceae.